This 100591-nucleotide long non-coding RNA is filed under the name Lactuca sativa (garden lettuce). RNAcentral's name for it is "long non-coding RNA (LSAT_LNC000561)". The stretch from base 18142 to 18225 matches the Rfam family "tRNA". The record is from RNAcentral. Lineage: Eukaryota; Viridiplantae; Streptophyta; Magnoliopsida; Asterales; Asteraceae.
ACCCCAAAACUGUCAGAGCCCACGACGUGGCACGUAGUGCCACGACGUGGCAAGUCUCCUGACACCUCCGGGAGUCCCCCAGAUGCAACUUGCGAUGACGCAUGCAGUGACGACCAAGCCCACGACGUGGAAAAAGGUUGCCACGACGUGGCAAGGGCCAAAUUUGCCCUAUAAAUAGAUUUGAAGGGCCAGCCGUUUAGGGUUGCUAUUUUCUCUCUUCUCUCUCCCGUUUUGCAUCGAUUUGCGUGCCAGAAAUACCCCGAAGCCCCGGUAUUAUUCUCGAGCCCCGAGGCAAGUCCCGAGAUCCCGAAGAUCCCGAGAAGUGCGGUUCCCGAGCCGAAGCUCUGCCCGCGAGAAGUUCGAUUUUUGUGGAGAUCUUCCAGAUCUGCUGAGGAUUACUACUUCUGCAAGUCGUAGUGCUGUCCGAUCAUCUUCUGAUCAAGUGAGUGUAUACUACCUUUCAUAAACACGAUAAUAAUACAAGUAUGGUUUGAGUGUAUUAAGUAUAUUGUUGUUUAUAUGUGUGAGUGUGUAGUUACUUUCUUCUAACACAUAAAUAUUAAGUAUUUUCUAUAAAAUACGUGCUAUGUGUAUAAUAUAAAGUUGUUUAUACGUGUGGGUGUAUAGUCCCUUUCAUAAACACGGGUAUAAUACAAGUAUUGUUUGAAUGUAUUAAGUAUAUGUUUGGGAGAGUGUGUGGUUACUUUCUUCUAACACAUAAAUAUGAAGUAUUUGUUAUAAAAUACGUGCUAUGUGUUUAUAUAUUGUUGUUUAUUUGAGAUGAGUAUGGAAUGAAUGUUUUAUAUAGUUUUUAAAUGAGUUAAACUGUAUAUGUAUUUUAUAUCUACAAAUAUGUUGGGUAGAACAUGGGUAGAUGAGAUAGUUGGUAUGUGAUAAAAUGAUGAGGUAUGAAAGAUGAUUAAGAAUGAUAUUGGUAGAUGCACCAAUUAAGGAAUGUCAUAAAACUAGCAGAUGCGCUUGAGAAUAAUAUCGGUAGAUGCACCAAGUAGUAAAUGUCGUGAUCUUGGCAGACGCGCCAAAUAGAGAUUGUCGUAACAAUAGUAGAUGCGCUUAUAGGGUAAUCUUGGCAGAUGCGCUUAUAGGAUAAUCUUGGCAGAUGCGCUUAUAAGAUAAUGUCGGCAGAUGCGCCUAAAAAAGAAUGUCAUAAACCUGGCAGUCGCGCCUCAUAGUGUAUGACGUAAUCCUGGCAGAGGCGCUUAAAGGAUAAUAUUGGCAGAUGCGCCUUAUGUAGAAAUGGAAGUUUGUGCUAAUUCCUUAGGUCAAUCCUUAGGAAUGAAUGAAGGAAGGAUAGUUGAUUAAUAGGGUAAAACCUUAAGAAAAUAAAGAAGAUAAUGGUGAUGGGUAAUUGGGUUGAUUGUUUAAUGGUUGACUAUAAUAAUUAUAUUAUUGUGGGUCGAAAACCCUAUAUGCUCACCAGGCUCCCAAGCCUGACCCACUCAGUUUAAUUGUAUCACAGGUAUCGAUACGAAGCUGCUUUGCACUGAGAGAUUAAAGGAUAUGUAAAUCUUUAGUGUAAAUAAUGUAAGUUCUGUUUAUGCUUAUGUGUCUGUAUCGGAACAUGACAUCCCGAGAUUUUGUUAUAUAAUAAAAAUACAUUUCUUUAAAGAAAUGCUUUGAUAAAUCUUUAUCAUAUUUUGGGAACAAAUUCCGCAACUGUUUUCUUUAAAAUAUUAUUCUGAUUUUAAAAACAAGCAUAAACAAAUCGGUCUUUUCUGGCCGUGAAAUUGAGGAUGUCACAAUCUAUUAAUGCAAAUUUCGAAAUGUUUAAUGCAGAUUUGGUGAUCUUAUGUUAAAAAAAAUUCAUCAUUGUUACCUUAGUAUUUGUCUAUAUGAUAAAUUAAACUCAAAAAAUGUAAGGUAAAAUCCUUUUAAUUAUUGUUGGGUUGUUUGAUGAAGUUAAGGAAUAAGGUUUAUACAAAAUCCACUUAUAUUGGAGCUUUGAUGCCUUGAAGGUUAUGUGAUGAAGUGAUAUUCAUAUGAAACAUAUAAUUCAUGUAAUUAUUCUAUUAAUCAAGUAGUAAUUAUAUUCUAUUAAUCAUUCCAAAAUUAAGCAAGUUGAGAUCUAACCAUAAAUACUAACAUUAAAAAAAUAUACUAAAAUAAUUUAAAAAUCGGUUUAAUAACUGUCAUAAGUCAUACCAAAAAUAUUUUAAAUCAUAUCAAAAUUAUAAUAUUUUAAUUAAGAUAAUAUAAUACUAAAAAUAUUUUAAAUCAUACCAAAAAUAAUUAAAAACUGCUUUAUCAGUAGUCCUUAUUAAAAAAAACUAAUUAAAAAUUGUGUUUUUUUUUUAUUUCUUAAAAUUGGCAUCAUUUUCAAGGAUAAAAAAACUUGUAUUGGUUUUUUUGAAAAACAUGUAAGCAACAAAGUUGUAUUAAAAUCAUUAGUUGAAAAAUUAUUUUAAUAUUUUUUUAAUGUCAGUAUUUAUGGUUAGAUCUCAAUUUUCUUAAUUUUAAGUCAUACCAAAAAUAUUUUAAAUCAUACCAAAAUUAUAAUAUUUUAAUUAAGAUAAUAUAAUAUUAAAAAUAUUUUAAGUCAUACCAAAAAUAUUUUACAUCACACCAAAAAUAAUUAAAAACCUUUUUAUUAGUAGUCCUCACUAAAAAAUCAUUAAAAAUUGUGAUAUUUUUUUAUUUCGCAAAAUUGACAUCAUUUUCAAAGAUAAAAAAAAUUGUAUUGGAUUGAUUUUUUUUGAAAAGCAUGUAAGNNNNNNNNNNNNNNNNNNNNNNNNNNNNNNNNNNNNNNNNNNNNNNNNNNNNNNNNNNNNNNNNNNNNNNNNNNNNNNNNNNNNNNNNNNNNNNNNNNNNNNNNNNNNNNNNNNNNNNNNNNNNNNNNNNNNNNNNNNNNNNNNNNNNNNNNNNNNNNNNNNNNNNNNNNNNNNNNNNNNNNNNNNNNNNNNNNNNNNNNNNNNNNNNNNNNNNNNNNNNNNNNNNNNNNNNNNNNNNNNNNNNNNNNNNNNNNNNNNNUAUAUAUAUAUAUAUAUAUCAAGGUUGUAAAAAUCGCUCGUCGGUAGCUCGGCGGUCGACUAAGGUCAAGCGAUUAAUCGAUUUGGCGGGGAUUAAUCGGAGGAUUAAUCGGGGACCAAAGAUUAUUAAUAAAACUAUUUUAAAACUUAGUAUAUCCUAAGAACAAAUAGUAUUUGAAAAUUUAAAAUUUUGAAAUUUUGAAAUAGUUGGUAUAAUAUUUGAAAAUUUGAAUAUUUAAACAUUUAAAAUUAUGAUGUUUUGAAAAUUUUGGUGUAAUAUUUGAAAAUUUGAACAUUUUAAUUUUUUGAAAUCUUCCCGCCAAGAGCCGUCGAGGACCGCCUAGNUUUCAUAAAUAAAAAUGGAAAAAGUGAAAUAAAAUUAGAUUAUUUAUUAAUCUAUAUAGCAAAAUUUAUUUAUCUUAUUAUUAAAAUAGAACAACAAAGAACAUGAAACAGUUUCAGCACAACAGCCAUGGCCAGAUUCUAAUUGGUUAUUAGUGCAUAUAGCAAAAAAGUGCAAUAAAAUUAGAUUAUUUUAUUAAUCUAUAUAGCAUAAUUUAUUUAUCUUAUUUGCAUAAAAAGUUAUUAUUUUAUGAAACAUAAAAGGGUAUUGGAUCAACAGACAGUUUAUGAAACAAAGGUAACAUGAUUUUUUUUGUUGGAAUGGAGUUUCAGAUGUUUACCCCUUGAGGAAUAUCUUCCUAUGAUGCAAGUUCAUCAGAGGUAACAAAUCCAACAACUUCAACACAACCUGUGUUAAAUUCAAACAUAAAAUUUACAUUGCUUUUAGUGAUAUUACCGAAUGUAUAUUAAAUGAACAAAAAAAUAGAAAGAUGCAUCACCUAAUAAUCUUGAAACUGGAUGUGUUUUUCAAGUUCUGUAAUGAGAAAUGAUAAAAAAAACUGAGUGUGUAUACAUAAUUACAUAUAGACUUAAAAUAAAUGUAAUGUCAGAAACUUAAAAAUGGAGUAAAAUUAAGAGCUUACCACAAUCUAGUCCUUCUUUGUCAUCAGUGACUAUGUACUCAUGGCCCUGUGAUUCCAACCAGUUGCGAAUGCCUAAUGCAUUUUCUGCACAACCCAAGAAAUUGGGGUUCAUCUCAGCAUACUCAUGUGCCUUGUAGAAAACACCUACAAUCUUCUUUUUGCCAGAAGAAGCCUACAGAAGCAAUCAUUUCUCUCAUACUCAUCAUCUUUUACUUCUGUUUAAUCAAGGCCAUAAAAAUUAGAUCAUUUGUAAUUCCCUUACAUCAUCACUGCUUUGGAUCAAAUUAAGAUGCAACUGGUAAUUGUAAAGAAUUCAUGAACCUAAAAUUAAACUCAACACAAUUUUAGACAUGCUUUACCUGACAUGAUUGUGAAUAGCAAAGGAGACUGAAAUGUACAGAUGAAUAAGAAAUUCUCAGAAUAUGAAGCACUUUUGGUGGAACAUAAUAUGGAUUUCCUACGAUACCAUUAUCAGAAAACCCAAAAUCAAUAAGCUUCAUAUGAGAAUCUUAACUUUUUCACAUGAGAAGGAAGCUAAAAAGAAACAAUAAUAUAUGUACAUUUCCCAUUAACAAAUUAAACUCAUAAUUUGAAUAUAAAUUACCCGAUUGAGCAACAUGGAUCAACUUUUGCGACUGAGAUGCCGAUUAGGGUUCGUGGAGGGAAAAUGAAGCAUCUAUGUUGCUUCUUAACAAUGUUUUCCUCUUGGAGUACAUCUUCAUCAUCUGGAUACGUAUGUUCCGAUGUUAGAACAGACCGCAUGCAACUACAAAUCGACCCAUCUUAAGAAAAAACACAGAUUAAGAUUUUUUAGUAAAGUUAAUUGCCAUUACAAGUGUAUAAAGAAUACAUAGUUACAGAGGAGAUAUCAAAAUUGAAAAAAGUAGUGAUUAUCAAAUAAGUAGAUACCAUAUUUAUUAGACAGUCAUUCUUAUUUGGUGCACAUUCCCCUAUACGGCUCCAAUUGAUACCAAGGUCUUCAGGAGUGGAAGUGGCAUCAGAAAGCAACUGAAGGGCUUUAGCAAGAAGAUUAGGUGGGAAGAAAGACAAAGGUCCUGUAUGUGUUAGAGAAGCUGUCAGUAUAGAGAAAUCCAAAUACAGUAACCUGCAUAAAGAAAAAAGCUAAAUCUUAAAUCCGAAAAAUGAUAGAGUAAGUAGUGUUUGUUAAAUGAAAUUAAUAAUGAAGUUACAUGUGCAGAAAUCCAACUAUAUACAUGGAGAAAACAUGAACGCAAAACCGAUCUGUCAGCAAAAGCUAGAAAAUGUUAAUCCACCAACAUAUGGAAUGGAUUUAGGUUUUUUACAUAUAACUUGGAAAGAAAAACGACUCUUAAUUACCAUGUUUAAUUGGAAGAGAAAGAACACAAGAAACACAACUUCAAAGUUGUUGUUCAUGAAGAAAUCAACCCGAAUUUGAGAUAUAACUUCAUAUAUGUAAACAGAACCGAAUAUAAAAAUGACAGAGUUGUAUAUUUGAAAGGGAAAGAAGGAAGAGAAGUACUCACAGUUGGGUGAUGUGGCAAGUAGAAUUGGGGAAAUUACAGCCGCAUUUGCAUUUGAUGCCAGGAUCACACAUUGAAGGCAUUUUCUAGCGCUUCUAACCACAUAGCAUCCAUGCGUGUUAGUGGUUACCAUUUAGGGAAAAGAGAAAUAGACAUUGGAAUGGAGAUAGUAGUCACCGUUUGGGGAAGGGAGAAAGAGAUCAAUUCAGAAAUUACCCUGAAAGCACCAAAUCAAUCAUCAAUUUUUAAACGUAAACCACUUUCAAGUAAAUAGAGAUGUAGAGAAAGAGAGAGCGAUAGAAGAAACAAAAGGCGGUGAUGGAAGUAACUCACUGUUCGAGAUAGGGAAAGAGCAAGAAGAUAAUAGUCAGUGUGAAGGAAAGCAUCGAUGAAUAUAGUUUGGAACAACAAUGUGUAGAUACCUGUUCGGUGUUCAGGGCAUGAUUGUGCUUGUAGUUUCUGAUCUUCGUCGACAGAUGAUGACGGUUACAGAGGAUAAAUGACUUGGGAAAAGAAAUCGAUGAUGUUCAUUUGAAGAUGUCGAUGGUGGUUUUGUACAUUUUUAUGUGUGUGGUAACUAAUGGGGUGAAAUUAGUAAGAAAAGGGAGAGCUCGAUGAUAGCAAUUGUAGAUGAUGGUGGUGAUAACAUAUUUACUGAAAACAAAAGACAGAGAAUGUAUGAGAGAGGUCGUGAGGUUUGUGAGUUUGUAAUCACAGUAAACGGGGACACACCUCGCCAUAGGGAUCUCGAAUACAUGGUAAUUUGAAAUUAGGGUUUCCAUUUCAUUCUGAUGGCGAUCGAGAGAGAUAGAGAGAGAGAGAGAGGGAGAAAGAGAGAAAAGAGAGGAGAGAGACAAAGAGAGGCGAGAGAGAUCACUACAUCUUUGGUGGGGGAAGUCGGCAGCCGUGGACCUUCGGUGGGAGACGUUGGUGGAGAUCACUGCAUCUUUGGUGGAGACAAUGAGAAUAUGUUUGAUGGCGGCUGUGUUUAGGAGAUUAGGGUAAGGUCUGUGUAGUGUAAUACAUAUAUGAUCGGUGUAGUGUAAUACGUAUAAGAUUGGUUGUAUGCUUAAUAUUAUUGUACAUGAGGUAAUAUAUGUUGUAUCUCUUAAUUUUCAUGAAAUAAGCAAUAUCCUUAAUAAUAUAUAUAUAUAUAUAUAUACAUACCCAUGGAAUAGACUGGACUUGGACCUUUUUUUGGACCCUCGGGCCGGUUAUCAGUUCUAGGAUUUGAUCAAAACCGGUGCGGUCGGGUCCGGGAAAAAAAGUUUUGAACCUAAUUUUAAAAAGCUUUUCAAAUAUAUUUUCUAUUUAUCCCUGUCAUAUUGACGGUUUGACCGAAUAUGAAAUAUCUAUUGCGUCCUUUCUCGGGUUUAUCUACAUUUUGACGUAAUUAUUUUACGUUUCCGUGGUUAUUUUAUGAAGUAUUUUGCUUGACAUUGCUUUGGUCCCUGUUCUGUUGCUAUUGAAAAAAUUCUUUUUAAAUCCAUAUAAUUUUAAAUUAAUAUAAAAAUAACUUAUUUAGAUGUUUUCCAAUUUUAUUUAAAAAUAGUUUUGGAGCAAUUUUAAGCUUAUUUAACAUUUAAAUUUAGAAUUUACAUUUACCACUAUAUUUAAAAAAAAUCACUUUUUUAUAUUCAUCUCUAUAUUCAAAAGUAACAAAUUAAAUAUAUUAAGUAGCAAGUUACCGACAUUUCAUAUUUGAACAUAUCGGGAACAAGCAAACCACUAAUACUCGACAGGGUGAGGGAUAGGUGAUCAUGGAACCUUAUUGAGCUUGAUUUGGCGGGGAUCAUUGAAUCUAUCUUAGAUUUUUAUCGUGAAACAUAAACUAUAUUCUUGAAUGUUUAUUGGUGGUAUCUUGUGUUAGAAUAAGCUUGUUCAUGAACUCAUAAUCAUACGUUGCAAACAUUAUGGUCAUUUUGUUAAAGUCAGAUAUACAUUGACUUUGUGAUAACAUAAUACCACUUUAUAUAGUUAUUUUAGUGAAGAUUUCAAAUUUCCAUUGAUUUUUAAUAAGAAAAGCGGUUGACCACCACUUUGAAGGUGCCCAAUUUGCAAAGUGAAUAUGCCCUCAGAGGCGACAAUGGUGAAAUGUGUGCGUAAAGAACCUAUGAGUGGUAUGGGCUACUUCGAGAAUGAGCAUGAAUUACUCUAAAAGGUACCAUAGGGAAAAGGUUUUUAGUUAUGUGUAUAAUGGAUUUUUAAUCUCUAAGUUUUAUGGAAAGAUAUUUUAAACUCUUUAGACAAUAGAUUUUGAUAAAAUAAUGGUUACUUAUUUUUUUUUUCAAAGUCUUCUACUCUUUCUAUUUAUUUGAAGGGAUAUUUCCCCUAUUGACUAGGUUUGUCAGAUAUGCACAAAAAAAAACCUGAACCAAGGCAAAUGGUAGCAACUAUGUUUGGGAGCCAAAAUAUGAUGAUGGCUUAUAUGAGACAAAGAAGGUGUGUGGAGGGUUUUGGUAGGAUUAGUGUUUGAAUGUGAUGGUGGUGGAUGAUGUUUUCAACGGUCCUAGUGGAUGCCAACGGCGAUUUCAAGGGUGGGAGUAAGUGGCGUUGGAGUCUUAUGUGAAAUCAGUGAUAUCAAGGGUGUGACCGGAGGUGUGAUGGGGUAGGUGGGGUCCGUUAUUCAAUAUUUAAAAUAAAUAUAAGGAAAAAGCAAAACAGUGAAGUAAAAUAACAUAGGCAUUUUCGUCAUUUCACACGUCAUUAAAGUUGGGACCCUUAUGGUAAAUGGAUAAAGGACCAAUCUUGUUAGAUUUUGAAAUCAAGAGGACCAUUAGAAUCAAUUUUUAAAAAUAUGGAUUAAAACUGCAGAUUAGUGUGAACCAUAAGGACCAAAGCUGUAAUUUAGUCAAGAAUAAAAAAAGAAAUUCAAAAGUGGCAAAACCCUAAGGUUGCGUUUAGUUACGGAAAAACAAUUUUCAUUUUCCGUUUUUUGUUUUCCUUUUCGAUUUUCAUUUUUCGUUUUUAUUUUUCAUUGAAAAAUUUAGAAAACGCGUUUAGUUAAACUUAUUCGUUUUUCAUUUUCAAUUUUAGAAAAUUAGAAAACAUGUUUAGAUCUGUAUUUUUCCAUCGGUUUUUAUUUUUAGAAAACGGUAGCGGUGGUAGGGUGUGGGUGGGGGCGGUGACGGUAGCGGGUCGACGACGGUGGUGGUGAUGACAGGCGAUGGUGGUGGCGGCGGCAAUUGUGUCAGUAGUGGUGGUGAUGGUGGCGGCAGCGGUGGUGGUGGUGCUAGUGACGGGUUAGUAGUGGUGGUGGUAGGUCGGUGAUUGUGGUGGUGGUGUUGGGUGGUUGGGGGUGCGAGUGUGUGUUUUUAUGUGUGUAUGUGUGUGUUUGUGGGGGUAUGUGUGGGUUUGUGUGUGUAUGGGUGUGUGUCUGUGAGGGUGGGGGUGNGGUGUGUGCGGGUGGGUGAGUGUGUGGGUGGGUAUGUAUGUGUGUGUUUGUGGGUUGGUGUGUGUGUGCGGGUGGGUGGGUGUGUGUGGGGGUGGGUAUGUAUGUGUGGGUGGGUGAAGGGUGUUAAGGUGGGGGUAGGUAGAGGUGAAUGGGGUGGGAGUGGGUGUGUUUAUAUUUUAGAAAAAUUUUUAAUUAGAAAAAUAUAGAAAACAAUGAUUAUCAGUUUUCCAAAAAUUUCCAACCUAUUUGUAAUUUUAGAAAACGGAAAAUUUUCAUUUUCCAUGAAAAAUUUAGAAAAAUAGACGAACUAAACGUGUUUUCAAAAUUCUCAUUUUUCUUGGAAAAUUUUUCCGGAAAACGGCUCAUUUUUCCGCAACUAAACGCACCCUAACAUUCUCAUUCUCGCCGUUCCCCUUCGUUCUUCGUCGUCUGCUUCAGGUAAAAACAAAGGCAGUUUGUCUUGUUAGACAAUGUCACUUACUAAUCACAGAUAUCAGAUCACAUAUCACAUCAUAAUCAUUCGUUUUUUCAUUAAAAUUUUGUUUAUUUAGCUACUUUUGUUUAGUUUUCCAUAUCAUUUAGGAUAUCUUCUAAUCGUAAUCACGGUUUUUUUUGUUCAUUUGAUUCUUUUUGAAUAAUUUUAUCUGCUUCCUAAUGGUAACUCAACAAACUUCAAUAUCCAAUUGUAGUAAUUCUAAAUUUCCUGUUCCAUUGUGCAAAACUUGCUGAUCAGUUGAAGCCAGAUUAGGUUUUGUUACUAAAUCAAUCAGUUAAUGCUCUGUUUAAUGCAAAUAACCUGUAUUUGGUUUAUUCUUCAUGGUACAAAAUUGAUAGUGAAUUUAUUUUCAAAUUAGUCAGCUAAGAUUGUGUCAUAAAAAUCUGUCAAAAGGGAAAGAGAGCAGCUAAUAUGUAAAAUAUAUUUUAUCUGUAACAUAUAUAAUGUAAACUAAAUUAUAUAAAGAAACCAACAAUUAAAACCUAAAAAUAAAGGUCGUCUUCCUUUCUCCAAAACAACAGGUUAAUGUGAAAAUACAGACUUGGGACAUAUUUUAGCCUUGGGGCCAAAUUACAUAUAUGGUCCCUGUGGUAUGUCAAUAGUUACAGAUCCAGUCCCUAAAACUUUUUUUUUUUGAAACUCUGACCAUCUCUUUGGUUAUUUUUAUUGCACCCAUGGUCCUGAUGCUGGAUGCCAUCAAUAUUUGGCGGUUAAAGUAAUGUAAAAUGUCUAAUUUACCCCUGCUUAAUUAUUUGUUAGUUUUUUUAAACUUUUAUGCCCUUAUCUCCUCUCUCUAUUUUGGUUAUUGAUCAUGUAAAACACAUACAAUCACACACUAAUAUAAAUCCCCUGCUACACUUUGUUAUAUCCAGACUGUUUCUGCUUGAAAUAAGAAAAUCCAGCAGCUUCUAUGGUGUCACUUUUCCAGUUUUAGAUGCUUAAGCUUGAUUCCCAUGCAUCCCUUGAACACAAAGCAACCAAAUUUAACACUAAUUAAGCUGUAGAAUGGCAUUUGAACAAGAAAAUCAAAAUCAAAGGUCAAAACACACAUAAACAUUAUGUACUACAUAGUUCCAAAAUCAACUUGAUGCUAGAAGUUUGGGUAUAAAAGUUGGAAUAUUAUGACAUUUAGAGUUCAUAUAAUGAACUUUAAACAUUUUUUAGGCAAAUGAAUUCACAUGGAAAAGUUUGGAGGUGCAUCUGUAAUACAUUAUAAUCACUUAAGUUAUAUUUUAUUCAAAGGUAUCAUUAUUAUUAUCGAGAUUUAAAUUUUUUGGUGAGAUUUAAGUUGCAUAUUAUAAUAUUAAUAAUUUUGGAUUUUAUGUAGAGACAUUUUGUAGUGGAUCCUGACAUCAAGCACACGUGAGGCAUUUUGUAGUGGACAAGCGUAAUUCUUGGACAACACGAUGAUAAAAGUCCGAGAUAAGGAGAAACAUGAAAUAUCAGUACCUUGUUGGGUGAUGUAGAGAUUGAAAAAGGGGAAGAUCUGAAAUCGGAAUUGGAGAGUGCAAUUAAGGCAUCUAGGGCUUCUGUUAUCGUGUUGUCUAAGAAUUAUGCUACUUCAACAUGGUGUCUCGAUGAAUUAGUGUUGAUCCUUGAGCAGUGUAUCACAUCCAACCAUAUUGUUAUCCCAAUAUUUUAUCAUGUGGAGCCCACACAAUGUCAAGAAGCAACAAAGUAGCUUUGGAGAUGCAAUGGCUAAGCAUAAAGAAACAAUGAGGGAAGAGACAAAUGCAAAUAAAAAAGUCAACGGGCUAAAGCGAUUAUAGAAGUUGCUAAUAUAAUAGGAAAUGACAUUAAUAGAACGUAACCACUUUCUUGCCUGUAUUUUCAUAUGCUCUUUAGUUUUGUUUGAUUAACGUAUGAAGUGAUAAUAUCAUCUUCGCUAUAUGCAUUUCAAUAAGUUUCCUCAAUAUUAUCAAAUAGGCAUAUAUUUCAUUUUUAUGGAUAAAGAAGAUGCACAACAUAGAAUCGAAGUUUCAUGUUAUGUUAUGCGUUUAUUGUGGUCAUAAACUAAAAUAACAGAUAAGAACUGUAAAGGGAUGGUCGGGUAAAAUUCUGUAAUUUUUACCUUUUUAGGUGCUUAGUUUUAUAUUAUUAGUUGAUAGUUAUGGUUUAUUGUUAAUUAGUUUAUUGAUAAGGAUCAAGGACUAGGGUUAGUUUAGGAAACUUUUGUAUAAAUAGGUCGGGAGGCAGAAAUUGAGUUUAGAAAAACUGGGAGAUUACCUACUUCUCGAAUUGUAGGUACUAAAUGAAAGUCCCAAUCAGGGGCGGACCCAAGAAUUUUCCGAAGAGAGGACAAAUUUUUAUGGAAGGCUUAAAAUAUAUUUUUUUUGAAAAAAAAAAACUAUUUUUUAAUGAAUUUUCUUUUUGUUGUGGGGGCAAUUGCCCCCACUGUAGGACCGCCAGUGCAUGCAAUGUAUAUUGAAUGAGAACUGAUUCGUAUACAACAAUUUUUUUCCAUACACAACAAUUUGUGCAUUAAAGUAUUGUAUUGUAUAACUCCAUAAAAUAUGAAUUGUUGUGUAUGGAUAAAAAUUGUUAUGUACGAAUCAUUUAUCUUUUUAAUAAAUAACAAGGGUUAUUGUCACUCUGACCCAACUAUCGUUCGUAUAUUGGUUUAAAUGGUCCCUCGUGACUAUUUUUUGCUUUUAAAGGGCUUAUACUUGUCAUUUUAUGGUUUAAAAGGUCACAUUUCUAGAUUUGAAGGGUGCAACCGGUCACACCCAUCUGACUAGGACGUUUUCUUAUUCCACCUCAAUGCCAAAUAUGUCAGGUCAUUGCCACGUGUUAUGUCACUAAAUGAAACUUAUAUCCGUUUAAACCCUCUCAAUUGUCCCUUUCAUUUAUUCUGCUACCAUUUGCAUUCGUAUACUUUUUUCAAACCGUGAUUGACAUGAAUCCGUUUCUUAAACUCUUCCUCCCUGAAAUCGGCCAACAUAAUCAAUCCUAUGGUUGUCUACAUGAAGAUAGAAGUCCAUUUUGCCAGAAUUUUUUCGAGGUACCCUGCUAUUUGUUACUCAGAUGGUGUAGAACAAAGGUUCGAUGAUGUCGAUUUUGUUGGAAUGGACAAGAACGAGUUUGUGGGGUUCAUUCAAAGAUUCGCUAAUGAGGUAUGCAUCAAUGUUUACUUUUGCAUGCCCGAUGUGGUGUUCCCUGAUGGAUUGAGGUUAAUAGCUAUUGAUAUAGACUAUAUGGACUUCAUCGAAGUAGGAUAUGCUUCUGGUAGUGUUAUUAAUGUAUACAUGGACCAUCUUGGUGUUAAUGUGCAUCAAUGGAUCCUUAAGGAGCAAGGCGAAAUAUGCAGUUCAUUAAAUGAAUUGUCUGAUAAAAUUGAAGUUGGUGAAGAAGUGCAAGGUGGUAUGGAUAUGGAUGAUGGAAUUGAAAUUGAGGAUCUGUUGGGUCAUAAUUGGCAAGGUGUUACGGAGGAUUUGCAAGGCACUAGGGAAGAGUUGCAAGAUGGGGAAGGUGAUGACAUUAACAUUGAAGUUGAGAAUGAUCAAGGUGAUAUGGAGGAUCUGCAAGGUAGUACGGAGGAUUGGCAAGGUAAGGAAGAUGAUGGCAUUGACUUGGAAGUUGACAAUGAACCUGAUGAAUGUAUUCCUAUGAAUAGGACAAAAGAUGAUGAGUUUUUGAGCAAACUGUGCCCAAAUGACCAAGUUACCCCUAACAGUCCUCCUCAUGAAGAGCUAUAUGAGCAUGUAGUCGAUGAUGAAGUAAUAUCUAAUGAGCAAGCUAUUUAUAAUGACAAUGUUCAUUGGAAAAAACAGAAGCCUGUAUUAGGUAUGAGAUUUGUGAAUCCUAAACAACUGAAACACAUGUUGUGUAACUAUGCUGUUGCAAAUGGUUAUCAGUUAUGCUACAAGAAAAAUGAUAGCAGGAGACUUUUAGUGAAAUGUUGUUCCGGUGUUUGCAAGUUUAGAUUGUGGGCAUCUUGGAUGAGUGAGGAUAAAUCUUUCCAAAUUAAGAGUCUCAUAAAUGAGCAUAACUGUGCAAGAAACUUCAAAUUAGGUUCAAUUGUCAACUAUGCUUGGAUAAGUACCCAUUACACCACCCAAUUCUAUAGAAACAAAAGGUUAGUGUUAGGCUCCUUAGGGAUGAGGUUAAAGAGAAAUUUGGGAUAGAUGUAAGUAUGGGACAGUGUAGAAGAGCUAAGAAGUAUGCAAUUGAGUUGAUUGAGGGAACAUUAGUGGAUCACUAUGCAAAGCUAUGGUCAUAUGGUGAGGAGAUAAGAAGAUCAAAUCUUGGAUCAAUAGUUAAAAUGGAUGUCAAUGCUAUGCCAGAUGGUAAGACUUAUUUUAGCAAGUUUUACAUUUGUUUUGAUGCCCUAAAGCAAGGGUGGAGAGGGAGCUGCAGAAGAAUUAUAAUUUGGAUGGGUGUUUCUUAAAGGGUUUAUGUUCACGAGAGCUAAUUGUUGCUGUAGGAAGGGAUGUUAAUAAUCACAUAUUCCCAAUUGCAUGGGCAGUUGUAUGUGUAGAAAACAAAACAAAUUGGAAAUGGUUCUUGGAAAAUCUAAAAUAUGACCUUCAUCUAGAGGAUGGUUUUGGUAUAUCAUUGAUGUCAGAUCAACACAAGGUAUGUCAUAUACUUACAACUUUUAUAUAUUUCACAAUUAAGUUACAUGAUGUUUAAAAUAUGACUAUUAUUAUGUAGGGGUUGUUAGAGGCUGUUAAGGAAGUGCUUCCUAUUGCUGAACAUAGGCAAUGUGCAAGGCAUAUUGUAGCCAACUUUAGGAAAAGAUUUAGUGGUGUACACUAUGAGAACAUGUUUUGGAAGGCAAGCAAAGCAUCCACUGAGCCUUUAUUCAAUGCUGCCAUGAAGGAGAUUCAAGUACUUAAUCCUACAGCCUAUGAUUACCUUAUGGAAACAAACCCAAAAUCUUGUAGUAGAGCAUUCUUUCAAGAAGGAAAGAUGUGUGAUGCAGUGGAAAAUGGAUUGUCUAAGAGCUUUAAUAGUGCCAUCAGGGAUGCAAGGAAAAAGCCAAUCAUCACCAUGUUAGAGAAGAUUAGACUAUAUGUUAUGGAGAGGCUAUACAAUUUGAAGAUGAAAGGUUGUUCAUGGCCUGAUUACAAACCCUGCCCAUCAAUAACACUCCUACUAAAUAAAUUGAAAAGAGCUCAAAGGUACUUUCUAGUCUUUACACUUUUAAUAUAAGUGACAUACUAACUAAUAAGGUGAGUUUAAUAGGUAUUGGCAGGUUUUACCAAGUGGUCUUAACCAAUUUGAAACCAGAAACCUGGCAGAAUCAUAUGCUGUUGACCAUGACAAGAAGACUUGUACUUGUAGAGUAUGGCAACUUAAUGGGUAUGGUUGUGUGCACUCAGUAUAUACUAUAUCAUAUUUGAAUAGAGAUGUAGCCACUUAUAUUGAUCCAAUGUUGUAUGCUGCCUUCUACAAGAACACUUACAAAUACCAUAUACAUGGGAUGAAUGGAAGCAACAUGUGGCCAGUUACUGAGUUCAUACCACCCUUACCACCAUUGAAAAGAAGAAUGCCAGGUAGAUCAAAGGUAAAUAGAAGAAGAGAUGCAUCAUAAAAGCUUCCACGGCACACUGUGUCUAAGGCAGGGAAAAUAAUCUUGUGUAGUGUGUGUAGACAAUCAGGGCAUAACAAGGUUACUUGUCCCAAAGUUGAAAGGCCAAGAAAAGGAAAACAGUUGACAAGGGUAAAGAUAGUGAAGGAAGUAGUGGACCAACUAGAGGUGGUAAAAGGAAAAAAUCUGAGAGGAUCAUAAAAAAGAAACUUGCAAAGAAGGUUAAGACCAAGGAUGGGAAAGGUGAAACUAGUGCAAACCCGGUAGACCUUAAUGAGUAGGUAUAAUUUGAUGGUUUCCUAUGGGUAUGUUUGACAAUGGUUUUAUGUUGUACUUGUUUGUUUGGUUUGACAUUUACUUGUUUGUGUGAAGUUAGUAUGUUUACAUUGACAAUGGUUUGUAAUAUUAUCAUGCUUUAGUUCUUUAAGACUUUUGGAUUCCUAUUACUUUUCACCUAGCAUGCAGUCAAUUCCCAUUAUUUUCAUGUGCUAUUUGUGUGCUUAAUGGACAAAAAUGUGGUCCUUGUAAGUAAGGGUAUUGGCACAAGACAUUAUACGUAAUGACAUUAAGCAACUCAAGAACAUUAACAGUUACUUUUAUUUGACUAGAUUAAGGGUAAUGACACAACAACACAUCAAUGAACCAUCACAUAACUACAUAGUGUUCUUAAUUCACCAAUCCAAGUAAAUAACUUAUAAAUGAUUAAAGUACAUUUGAUUACAACUUAUAAAUGAUUAAACCCAAAAAAACACCUAACUACAAAGUAAAAGCAGCUUCAACUUCAACACCUCUGCUUGUAGGGUUUUUCGACCUCAGGAGUACACUUAAAAUUAUGUCUUCAUUGUUGCAUUUUAUUUCAUCCGCCCAAGAAAUGAAACCUGAUCGUGGUCCUUAAAACAGAAAUUAAGGUAACAUUAAAAAACCGAUCAUCAAACUAGGGUUCUAAACAUAUGAAUACAAUUACCUGGUUUGGACAUGCAUAAAAUGGUCUUCCAGGGUUAUUGACAGUCUUCGGUGUGCGAAUUAUUGCUGGACUUCCACACCCACACACAAUCUUCAUGUGCGAAUUUUUGAAUCUCACUCCACAGUUCCUUUGAAAAAGAGAAAACAAAAUGAAGGAUCAUAGUUGCUUUGAAAAAGAGAAAACAAAAUGGUCUUCCAGGGUUAUUUACAGCCAUUAAAAGCAUCAAAUGACAAAAAUACCCUCACUGUGCAACACACGUGGGGUACAACAACCCAACAUAUGUUAUCAUUCUUGUUCUUGCAUGAUCUUACAACCAAACUAAAAAUGGUCAAAUGUACUUUGAUACAAAACGCUUGAGAGCUACUCAGGUCCUUUUCCAUUAAAAAACUUAACAUACGCACAAAAUGCCUGUCAUUAACACAAACACAAGUCCUUUAACAUGAUCGUUAUAUAUGAAACACAAAAAAACAAAAAAAAAAACUAAGAAUAGAAAAUCCAUAGCUAUCCUAGCUUCAUAAUGUACCCAAAGCAUCUUAUCCAAGCUUUAUAAGGACUUUGACCCCCAACCAUCAUCAUCCCAAGCAUUGCCACCAUGACGCCGCCCAUCACCAGAGCAAUCGCUUUUAACUUCCUCUCAUGAUCUUCCAACUUGUGAUGCAGACUGAUGUGAUCAACAUGACACACAAUGAAAUCUUUACCCACUUGAUCUUUGAGCGUCUGCAUCUCGAUCUGGUUGACAGCAAUCUUGUGUCCAUAAUCGCAAAAAAUCGAAUGCAGGUCGCUGAGGUUAACAAACUCUCCAAAAUUUAUCGAGUCAGGUGAGGGAGGUGGUGGAGCUGACAUUGAUAGAUUUUAGGGUGUUGGUCGGAAUCGUGUUUGGCUUAUUAGGGUAAAAAGGUAUCGAUUUCUGCUACCUUAAGCACCAAAGAUUUGUGAAGAAGACUUUAUGCCCCUACCACUGACUCUUCCUUGUCCUCUACGGGUUGUUGGAUGGUUGGUAGACAUAAUGGCUAAUUAAUGAAGGUUAGUUGGACGUUUAGGUGGAGGAUGAGUACACGAGUCCAGUUCAAUGUUGAGUAAGCGGCUUAGUUGGCAAGUCAAAAAGUUCUUUUACCUUCGAUUGUGGGUUAAAGUCCCAUAUUAACCGGUCAUUUACAAGUAUAAGCCCUUUAAAAGCAAAAAAUAGUCACGAGGGACCAUUUAAACCAAUAUACGAAAGAUAGUUGGGCCAGAGUGACAAUAACCCAAAUAACAAUAAGCUAUUUCUUUUUAUAGUAUUUGAUUUUCUACGGAUCCAUUUGUUGUAUAAAAUAAAUAUUAAUUAGUCUGGCCAAAAGCUAUAAUCGAAUAAGUCAUAGAAAACCCUAACUUUCAGAUAAUGUGUAGUUGCAAACAGUUUGAUACAACUUAUCUUCUAGUAGAAAGUGAAAACCGUAUAAAGCAUUCAAAUUUCAUUCUACUUUAUUUUUAUUUAUUUAUUUAUUUUAAACAUUCCACGAAAAGAUAUAUCAAUCAAAUAGUUGAAGAUUCAUAAUGAUAUGAAUCUCAUCACAAAAUCAUUUUCACUUGUUGUACCCUUGUCUAUCAUGAAUAGUUAAUUUCAGACAAAGAAACAAAAUUCGUUUUGUGAUGCAACGUGUUUGAAUGUUAAUCUUUGCUAUUGGUUUUUUUUACUAUUGUUUGAAUAGCACUUGUUCUAGUAUACAUGCUUUAAAUAUAUAUAGCGUUUCCUUAAUUUAUAUACCAGCCAAACAUGAACAUUUGAUACUGCAUUCCAUCUACAAAAGCGACAAUUUCAACUCGUUUUACAUAAAUAUUCAAUUUUAGUUUCUAUUUUAUAUCUUUUGGGUCAAACGGAUGUGAAUAAAAACUUUGGCUAAAUAGAGAUAAACCAAACAUAUGCCUAAAGUUGUCGAAAUGCAUAUAAAUGUGCAAACCAUCGAAAUAAAAUCAAGUAGUUUUGGAUAUGUAUAUGCAAAAGUCAAGUGAGACUAUGUUAAUGAAAACAUGUUUAAAAAAAAUAUAUGAUUUAUCAAUCAUAUAUAACGGGAUAUGUUAAUGAAAUGGUCGAGAGUUUCAUACUAAAAAGCUUUUGGCCUAACAAUACUACUUAUUAAGUGUCUUGGAAAUGUGUCUCUAAGUCUUGUCGUGGACAAAGUAUAUGAUUUAGAAUGUGAGUUAUAUUGUUCUAAAAAAAUGAGGGUUUCCUUAUGUGUGAAAGUUAAUGUUAUACCACAUUAGGUGUCGAGUAUAUAACAUUAAACCAUAAUUUAAACACAUAAGUCAGGAUGGCCGAGUGGUCUAAGGCGCCAGACUCAAGUUCUGGUCUUCGUGAGAGGGCGUGGGUUCAAAUCCCACUUCUGACAUUUAAAGAAAUUGCUUUUUAUUGCUUUACCGUUUAUGUGAAAUAUGGUUUUUAUUGCUUUCCUGUUUCCAUGACCAAUUGUUUUUUAUUUAAUCAAUUUGACAAGUUAUAUAUCAAAAUCAAACCUCAUCAAUGCAAUAGAAUGUCUCAUGCUCAAUAUAUGAUACCACAAUACUAUUAAAGUAAUAAUAUACUUGAUUUAUUUCAUAACAAAACUAUACAACUUUUAUUUCAAAACAAUCAUUUAUGCCCAAGAGAUGACGUGUGUUAGUUCCGUCUUGGAACAAAUUCAACAUGUCACAAAAUCAAAUUACAAAUGAAUUGUAAUCAAGCAUCUUAUCUUAUCAAAACAUAAAACAUUAUAAACACAUCACAAUCACAAGCAAAAAAAACAUGCAAAAAAAAUAGUUUUAACAAACAAUACUUAAACUCUCAACCACCCCACAAUCAUUAAGAUAGGUGGAUGGGAGGCCAGCCAUCAAAAGAUACACCAUAUGGUUUCAACAUGGGAAUUUCUGAAGUGGCUUCCCUAAGAAAAUUAAAGCACUCGUCAUCAACUCCGUUGGUACACGACCUAUCCUCUAAGAUAUAAGUAGACAUAACAAUAGGACGGGUUUGAAGCGAAUAGACCUUUAUCCAAACCCUUUAAACAAAUUUUAAAAUUUGAUUCAAACUCGCUCGGUAACCCUCAAAGUUUUACAUAAUCAAGCUCAUAUCCUUAUUCACCGAAUCAACAUAUAUCCAAAUCUGCCCCAUAACUCAUAUGUUUUUUGAAUAAUCAAACAAAUUUUACUUAAUUCUUAAAAUAACAUUUAUUAAAUAAAACAAAUGCUGAUUUAGUUAAUGUAUUAGUAAUUCAAGGACUUUCGAUUGAAAUUAAAAACACUAUUAUAAUAACUUCCGAUUGAUUUUUGACUUUCGAUUGGAAUUAAAAUCACACUUGUCCUUAUGCUCUAGAGCCACAACCAAUGCAAUCACAAACAACAUACAAAACACACCUUUCAUUUUCCGUUCUCAACUUUUUUUUUGAGCUAAAAAACAAUACUUACAACUUGGGGUUAACUUAUAGACCUUUUAUCCAAUUUUAAUGUAUCUUUUUGCCACUUGCUUAUUUUUAGUAUUAGUUUUUUUAUUUUUGCCAUUCACAUGCAACUUGCAAGUUUGAGAUGAAAGCUGACUAAAUUAUUUUACAUGUGCACGUACCAUUGACUAAUUUUAUUCCUUAAAUAAAUAAAACUUAUGAUUUUUUUUAUUAUCCAAUAUUAGUACUGCACUAGGGAAUAAAAAUAUUACAUGUAAAAAAGGUUAUUUUAUAAUUUAUAAUAAAGAUUACUUUAUAAUAAAAUCUUUUUUUUUUCAACAUAACAUUUUUAUGACUAUAUAUGAUUAAUAGUUAACAAAUCUUGAUUAAAUUAAUGCAAAAUUGUGUUUUUUUAAGCUAAAAGACGUCUGAAUAGGUUUGAAGACUUUAGUCCACAUCUAACCUAGAAGAUGGCGUAGAGACCUUCUUAAAAUAACAUUUCUUAAAUAAAACAAAUGUUGAUUUAGUUAAUAUAUUACUAAUUCGAGGACUUUCGAUUGAAACUAAAAUUAUAAUUAUAAUAACUUUCGAUUGAUUUUUUACUUUUGAUUAGAAGUAAAAUCACACUUGUCCUUGUGCUCUAGAGCCGCAACCAAUGCAAUCACAACACAACAUACAAAACACACCUUUCAUUUUCGCGCUCACCUUUUUUUUGGGGCUCAAAAACAAUACUUACAACUUGGGGUUAACUUGGUUUAUAGACCAUUUAUCCAAUUUUAAUAUAUCUUUUUGGCACUUGCUUAUUUUUAGUUUUAGUUUUAUUAUUUUUGCCAUUCACAUGCAAUUUGCAAGUUUGACAUGAAAGCCAACUAAAUUAUUUUAUAUAUGCACGUACUAUUGACUAAUUUUAUUCCAUAAAUAGAUAAAACUUAUGAAUUUUUUUAUUAUCCAAUAUUAGUAUUGCACUAUGGAAUUAAAAAUAUUACAUGUAAAAAAGGUUACUUUAUAAUUUAUAGUAAAUGUUACUUUAUAAUAAAAUCUUUUUUUUCAACCUAACAUUUUUAUGACUAUAUAUGAUUAAUAGUUAACAAAUCUUGAUUAAAUUAAUAUAAAUUGUGUUUUUUAAGCUAAAAGACGUUUGAAGACUCUAGUCCACAUCUAUACCAAGAAGAUGGCGUAGAGACUUUCUUAAAAUAACAUUUCUUAAAUAAAACAAAUGUUGAUUUAGCUAAUAUAUUACUAAUUCGAGGACUUUGGAUUGAAAUUAAAAUCAAUAUUAUUAUAACUUCCGAUUGAUUUUUGACUUUCGAUUGGAAUUGAAAUCGCACUUGUCCUUGUGCUCUAGAGCCGCAACCAAUGCAAUCACACACAACAUACAAAACACACCUUUCAUUUUCCGCGCUCACCUUUUUUUUUGGAAGUUGAUAUUUCCACUUAAUAAAUUAAUUCAUCCAUAUGAAGUACAACACCUUUGCAACUAUCAUACAAGUUAGUAAAACAUACAUUUCAAAUUGAUGAAUCAAUUUAUUAAGUGGAAAUAUCACAAAUUUUUUUGGGCUAAAAAACAAUACUUACAACUUGGGGUUAACUUAGUUUAUAGACCCUUUAUCCAAUUUUAAUAUAUCUCUUUGGCACUUGCUUACUUUUAAUAUUAGUUUUAUUAUUUAUGCCACUCACAUGCAACUUGCAAGUUUGAGAUGGAAGCCGACUAAAUUAUUUUACAUGUGUACGUACCAUUUACUAAUUUUAUUCCUUAAAUAGAUAAAAUUUAUGAUUUUUUUUAUUAUCCAAUAUUAGUAUUGCACUAGGGUAUUAAAAAUAUUACAUGUAAAAAAGGUUAUUUUAUAAUUUAUAAUAAAGGUUACUUUAUAAUAAUUUUUUUUUCAACAUAACAUUUUUAUGACUAUAUAUGAUUAAUAGUUAACAAAUCUUGAUUAAAUUAAUGUAAAAUGUGUUUUUUAAGCUAAAAGACGUCUGAAAAGGUUUGAAGACUCUAGUCCACAUCUAUACCAAAAAGAUGGUGUAGAGACUUUCUUAAAAUAACAUUUCUUAAAUAAAACAAAUGUUGAUUUAGUUAAUAUAUUACUAAUUCGAGGACUUUCGAUUGAAAUUAAAAUCACUAUUAUACUAACUUCCGAUUGAUUUUUGACUUUUGAUUGGAAUUAAAAUCACACUUGUCCUUGUGCUCUAGAGCCGCAACCAAUGCAAUCACACACAACAUAUAAAACACACCUUUCAUUUUCUGCGCUCACCUUUUUUUUGGGCCCAAAAACAAUACUUAAUACUUGGGGUUAACUUGGUUUAUAGAACCUUUAUCCAAUUUUAACAUAUCUUUUUGGCACUUGCUUAUUUUUAAUACUAGAUUAUGACCCUGCGUAAAACGCGGGGGAACAUAAAAAUGUACAUGUAAAUGUAUAAAAAAGUUGGCACUAUAAAAAUAUAAAGUAACAUAAACAGACUUAGCAUUAUUGCUAACAUUUAAAUGUUUGAAAAAAAACAAAGAAACACUUGAAUAUCUAUAAUAGUUGAAGGACCUCUUUUGUAAACAUAACUUUUUGUUUUAUUAGUUGGACAACCUUCCUCGUAAUAUAUGAGUACCUUCAAUCCCUUUUCACUUGUGACACGAGAAACAAAAAAUAUAUAACUGAAAAUGAGUGAGGACAAGCUUAUGCAAGUAUAAUCCAACAUUUGAUAAUUAUUGUCAUUGACUUUUGUUAGUGGCCAUAACAAAAUAAACUACUAUAGGGAAUUGCCUCCGUUGAAAAUAGAAUGAGAUUCUUUCAUUAGACGGAGUUAAAUUCAUGCAAGGUAUAUAAGUAGUCUCCAUAAAGAUUCUAUCAUAUAUGAUUUAGGCUUCAAUGACGUUUCUUGCAAGCCUAACAAUCUAUAAUCUACUACAAUUGCAUAGUCCUUUGGUUUGGUCGAUAUUACAAAGUAAUAUGACUGGAACACAUAUUUUUAGUGUAAGUUUAUGGUUGGAAAUUCUAGAUGCCUUAAAAUCAUUCAACACAACUGAAGAGUAAAUUGAUUCCUCAAAAAAAACCUGGUAACUCUGUAUCACGUAAAGAAUUUGAACUCAUAUGUUUUCCCUUCAUCUUUCAUCAAUCCUAAAAUGUAGUCAUUGGUAGCAUCAAAUUCUUCAUUUGUAGGGACCAAAAUAGCUUUAUCUUGAAAAUAUGAUUGAUCAUCAAGAUGAUUUUCAAAGGAUAGAUAAAUGAUGGAAACAAUUGAAUGAAUAUGGUCACCUAUAGAGCGAACAACAAUGUCUUCUGGAAAUUCAAUUUCAGCUUCACCAUCAUUAGGGCCACCAAUAUUACCAUCACCAAUUUUAACAAUCCACUCAUCAAAUGCUUUUGUCUCAUCCAAAUCUUAGUUAUACAACCAAAAUAAAUCUCAUGUUUACGGUUAAACGUAAAACUGUACAUCACGCCGUAAUUUAGACGAAUAUGAUGCAUGCACAGUAUCUGAACAAUUGCCUCUUUGUAUUGCUAGAAUAAUUUUUCUAAAGCCAUCUCCAUAUAAAAUGGUCUUGCCUCCAAACAAUUCUUAAAGAUAAAUACCUACAGAGUAAUGAUAUCCUCUUUGCUGACCAUAUUUGAUGUAUAAACUUCAUUGUCGUUGAAUUGUUUGUCAGAGUUCACUAAUACUUUUGUAUUGGCACGCGAUAUCCCUCUAGACAAUGCCACAUAAAGUUGGCUAUGCGUGAAACCGAUUCUGGGAGAUAAAUACCUACAUUUGGAAUUGUUUCUCUAUAAGCUUUAUUGAUUGCCACCGCGAAACAUAAUUUGAUUAGAAAUUGUUUUCUUAUCAACUUGAAUGGUAAUAUGUCAUCUUCAUACGGACAUAAAGGAAACCUUGGACCAAAUCUCUAGAUAGUUUAUUUUGACUAUUAGUAAUACAACGGUACCAAAUAGUUUCUUUUGAUGAUAAGUUUUAGACGACUAUUUAGGGGCUUAAGGUUUAGAGGGAGGGUGUGUUGCAAUAAAUAUUAGCAAAUUGGUUAAAAAAUGAGACUUAUUUAUGAAUGCGAAUUUUCAUAUGUUCUUAGCAGGAACAUGCUAUACUUUAAAGAAUACGUAAUAUAUUGUUCUUGUAUCACCUCUUAUUCAUAUAUAAGUAUACAUUAAUCUUAAAAAAAUAGUUAUUUUGUCAAAAUAUUUGUUUAAAAACUAAAAUAAUAUGUGAAAUUUAUUUUAAAACGGGUAGAUGCUAACACUUUUUUUCGUAAUAUGAUUUUCAUAUAUGAAAAACAUAAACCAUGAUUACUUUUAUAAUUUGAAAAAUUAAAACAUGAUUACUUUUAUAUAUCUGACAAAAUUUUCGUAUAACAAAACUUUAGAACAUAAUUAAUCGUUUAAAGAUAAUAAUGAAAUAUUGAAAUAAAGAAUCAAUUAAUUGGUUGCUAUCUUAUUUUUAUUUUUAUAAGGUGAUAAUCUCGUUAUGUCUUAUUUAAAAACUUAUAUUAUAAUAUAACUUAUAUAUAUAUANAAAAUAAUAUUUUUUUUAAAGUACAAUGCCGUUAAUCUACUUUUUUUUUUUUUUUUUUGCAAAUUUCAAUACCAAAAAAAAAUUUUCCCUAGAAAAUUGUCAUAUUAAUGACUUACUAAUUAACAAUUAAAUUUAUAUAUUUUUUUUGAACCGGCAAUUCUAAUCUACUCCUAAGCUAACAACACUUAUUCCACCUAUGUCCAUGACGGGACUUGAACCCUCGACCUCAAAGAGGGAAGACNCAUAUUAAUGACCUACUAAUUAACAAUUAAAUUUAUAUACUACAUAAAUGGUUCACAUGUGAACAAAAGUACACAAAUGGUCCAUAUUUGAAAUGUUUUUCUUACAUAAAUGGUCUAUUACGCGAAAGAAAAUGAAAACGUACUUUUUAUUAAUGAAAUGUUUUCAAAAAAAUCCUAUUAAUUAUAUCUAAUGUAGAAAAAAAUAAAUUUUUCUAGAUUAGCCAAAAAGAAUACGGAAAAGUCAUUUUUUGAAACUACGAUGCUAUUAAUGAACUUUUUUGCAAAAUUUAAUGUUAUUAAUGAUUUUUUUUCCAGAAAACAAUUGGUUAAAUGAGCUUCAAUAUACAAAAAAUAUAACUUUUCCAUAUCAACUAAAAAUAAUCCAAAAAAGUCAUUUUUUAAGAAUAUGAUGCUAUAUAUGAACUUUUUUUUUUCAAAGUUUAAUAUUANGUUAAUAUUAAAAGCAAUUUUUUUUCCAAAAAAGGUCCUAAUAUAAGGUUAAAAGAACAUAUUGUAAAAUAUUUAUCGAUUUACAUGAGCAAGAAUUAAACGUUUCCAUCAAUACCCAAUAAAGUAUAUAAAUCAUGCCUCCUUCUGUAAUGAAUUCCAACGCCCCACAAUGUGGAAUCCCCUCAGUCGCAGCAUUCCAUAACUCAAACCACAUCCGAUAAUCAAUAUGAAGAGAAGCUGCAAUAAAAAAUAAUAAUUGUCACCAUCUUAUACAAAUAUUAGAGAUUAUUUGGGUAUUAGAUAGUGUAAUAACUUGCAAUUAAAUAUAAUUUUCAAAUAAAACUUAGUAUGAGAAACUAACCAAUGUGAUCAAGGGUCAAAGAAGGCAUUAUAACUAAAACAUAAACAAAGAACUAUUAGGGAUGAAACAUGAAACUUUAAGGAGAAACAUACAAAUUUAAACCGUGAAGGAUAACAAAAAUCGACAAGUAUAUUUUUUAAGUAAUUUAAACCAAUAUAUUUUUAAAGUAAUUUAAACCGGGCCACAAGUUUAUCCCAAUAUUGUUCCCUUAAGCAUUUCAUCGAACAGGUAGUAGACAGGUAGACCAAAAUUUUUUUUUCCAAGUAUCCAAAUCAAGGUCUCAAAUCCUAACACAUCAAAAAAAAAUUGUGAUUUUAACAACCAAAAGCAAAGGAUAUGACAUACAUUGUGUAUGAGUCUAUUGUUUAUAAUUUGAUUGCUCAACUUAUUGAACAAUUCGUCAAUAGUAUGAAAAAAUGGGGAAUCCCAUAGAAAGAUCCGAUUCAAAUUUCUAAAUAGCACAACUAUGACAAUUAAUUUUCAAACCAUAAAAUUUGACACCCUCAUAACAUAAAAAUCAAAAUAUAUUUUACUUACGUUCACAAGAACCCAGAUGAAUUCGACCAUUUCUGUUGUGUGUCAACUCCAAUGUCGACCUACAGGAAAUCUAAAAAAAAAAUCAAGCAACUUGAGUAACAAUCAUUUUCAUGUUGUCACAACUUUAGCAUAAAUAUCGAUAAAUAGUACGAAUAUUAGUUAUCAAGAAAUAAGCAUAUAUAAGAUGACUAAAAAGUUGUCAAGUGGAAUUUGAGUUACUUGUUUUCUUACCUUUAUCUGAUGUAUUUAUAAUUCUAGUCGUUCGACUACAAAUCUAAAUCGUUAAGUAAAAAUCAAAACAACAUGUUUUCCCUAUUUUCUUCUCCACUACAAAACUUAGGUUAGAUAUAUUAUGUGAAGAAUUGUGGGAGUCAGGGUAUUUUUGUAUUUUAUUUUUUGUGAGAUUUAAUUGUCAUUAAUAGAAUUCCAAAUUUAAUUCAUUUUAUUUUUGGUGAUAUUUAAUUGUCAUUAAUAGAAUUCCUUAUUUGAUUCAUUUUAUUNGAAUUCCUUAUUUAAUUCAUUUUAUUUUUGGUGAGAUUUAAGUGUCAUUAAUGAAAUUCUAAUUUAAAACGUAAUAUACGUUUUAUAAAAUCUAUUGACAAAAAUAAAUAGGUUGACAAAGAUGAUGUGAUCAAAUAAUCUAAAGGUUGAAAAUAUAUGAUUGAAAUGCAAUCAAUGGUCCUGAUUUCUUCAGUUUAGAAUUAAAGGUUCUCUUUUAAUAAUAUUUAGAUAUUAGUUUUAUUAUUUUUUCUAUUCACAUGCAACUUUCAAGUUUUACAUGAAAGCCGACUAAAUUAUUUUACAUAUGCACGUACCAUUGACUAAUUUUAUUCCUUAAAUAGAUAAAACUUAUGAUUUUUUUAUUAUCCAAUAUUAGUAUUACACUAGGGAAUCAAAAAUAUUACAUGUAAAAAAGGUUAUUUUAUAAUUUAUAAUAAAGGUUACUUUAUAAUAAAAUCUUUUUUUUUUUCAUCCUAACAUUUUUAUGACUAUAUAUAAUUAAUAGUUAACAAAUCUUGACUAAAUUAACGUAAAUUGUGUUUUUUAAGCUAAAAAUGUCUGAAGAGUUUUGAAGACUCUAGUCCACAUCUGUACUAAGAAAAUGGCAUAGAGACCGUCUUAAAAUAACAUUUCUUAAAUAAAACAAAUGUUGAUUUAGUUAAUAUAUUACUAAUUCGAGGACUUUCGAUUGAAAUUAAAAUCAUUAUUAAAAUAACUUCCGAUUGAUUUUUGACUUUCGAUUGGAAUUAAAAUCACACUUGUCCUUGUGCUCUUGAGCCACAACUAAUGCAAUCACAAACAACAUACAAAACACACCUUUCAUUUUUCGCGCUCACCUUUUUUUUGGGGAGUUGAUAUUCCCACUUAAUAAAUUGAUUCAUCCACAUGAAGUACAACACCUUUGCAACUAUCGUACAAGUUAGUAAAACAUACAUUUUAAGUGGAUGAAUCAAUUUAUUAAGUGGAAAUAUCACAAACUUUUUUUUGGGCUCAAAAACAAUACUUACAACUUGGGGUUAACUUGGUUUAUAGACCCUUUAUCCAAUUUUAAUAUAUCUUUUUUGUCACUUGCUUAUUUUUAGUGUUAGUUUUAUUAUUUUUGCCAUUCACAUGCAACUUGCCAGUUUGACAUGAAAGCCGACUAAAUUAGUUUACAUGUGCACGUAUUAUUGACUAUUUUUAUUCCUUAAAUAGAUGUCACACCCUCGAACCAGACGGCGGAAACGUCCGAGGGCUCACGUGACUCAAAUUGAAUAUCAUGACAAUGAAUAUACAUGAAACAUAACAUAAACUUCACCAUGCAUCAAUACAUUACAACUGACAUUGUUCACAUCAAGUACAUUGUCUAAAUAUUGCAUUUUCAUAUCAUAAAUUGUUUGAAAGUUUUCAAAAGCAUAACACCCUAACAUACUUGGUACUACUCCUCAGCUUACCUGUUACCUGAGAAUACAAGUUAUUUUGAAAAACAUCAACAUAUGGAAUGUUGGUGAGUUCAUAAGUAGGGUUGUUCUGAAAAUUUUUGUAUAGUUUAUAGAACCCAGAAAAUCCGAUAUUUUCUGAAAAGACAAUUGUUUUUACCAAAGUGUGAAGAUCCAUAGUUUUGUACGUGAGUGAUUUCAAAGCUUGUAUAAAUAAGAAGUUUUGCAUGAUAGUUAUUGAAAAGUACGAGUGAAUGAUGUUGGUCUCCUCGAAAAAUCCGAUGUUUUCCGAUAACAUAAUAUAAUAUAAUUGUUUCCAAUUGUUAUACCAUUACAACGAAUGAUUAUGAUUUUCCUUGAUUACUCAGAUGGUAUUGGAUUUAUUUAUGUGAGUCAUUAUAACCAUGCAUGAUAAUGACUAGUGCGUCUGUCUUGGCAUUCUAAUGAAUGCCGGAAUUGAUCUUAAGAUUUUGUCACCCUAGACUGGCCGAGUCUAACUGUAGCGAACAACUGAGGUGUGGGGGAGUCACCCCCGUAUAGAUAUAUACACAAACUCUCGCUCUCCCUCCAUGAGACUUUGAUUAUAACUACAGACUACAAACAACUCAUAAAGGUGCCACCUGUUAUUUCUCACUGAAUCCAAAUUGAAUUUGAUUACCAUUGAUUAACGACCUGUAUUUGUUUACUGAAUUGAAGGUAAGCCUAACAAAUGAGGAGAAGAGGAUUACAAAGUCCUGCUAAUUACGUGUAUUAUUUAAGGCUGUUGGGUAUACGAAGGACACGUUGGCCCAUUUUGCAUUUGAUUUAUUUGGACCUUACUAGAAAUGCUAAUGGGCCACUGAGGCCCAAUAUCACUUGAAAGCCAUUGAGGGUCCCAUAAACAUGUAAUUGGGUCACAGGAGGCCCAAUAAACGUUUAUUUUUAUCGUUGGGCUCAAAAGUUAUGUUAAUGGGUCACGAAGGCCCAAUAAGCAUGAUUAGAGACUUUCAAGCCCAAAGAUUUGAAUAUUUACUUGUUUUAGGUAUAGUAUAACUGUUGGAAAGUUUGAAUGAACGAUUGUUAAUUUCGUAUCGGCACGAGGCCGGUCGGUUGUUUAUAACGAUAUUUGGAAUUUUACGUAUAUUCAUCUUUCUAUUUUCAUGAGUUGUGGUUUGGUAUUUUUUUUUGACUCAAAUAUCUUAAUAAUAAAAUAAUUGGUUCAAAAUAUUGGUUUGACCUUUUCAGCCCUUCUUUAAUAAAAAUGACAAUUUUAGUCCUUUAUUUAAAAAAAAAGACAUUUUAGGCUCUUAAACCAUUUUUUUUACAUUUUUGACCCAUAGACUUGUUUAAGUGAUGUUUUUAGUUCAAAGUUUAAUAUUUGGCAGUUUCAGCCCCUCCAGUAAAGAGUUUUUCAGUUAAAGUCCACACUUUUCGCAACUUUUACAAUUUUGGCCCAAAAUCCAAAAAGUUUACAUUUUUGAUCCUUGUUUGGAAAAAAAUCAUUUUAACCCCUGAAUUAGUUUUGUUUACCCUAUUACCCCUGUUUUGAGAAGUUUACCAUUUCAAUCCCUUGAAAAUUAUAUUUUUCACAAUUUUUGGCUCAAUGGGCCGAAAAGCCCAAAAAUUGGCCCAUUAAGCUACAAAUUACAUUUCUAGCCCUUUAAAGAGUAUGAUAUUCAUAAAAGCAUUUAUUUUUACUGUUUUGACUCUUUUAGUCCUUAAGAAAACCGUGAAUGAUAACUUUCGACUCAACUUUUGUUUAUUUGUCAAAUUAAGCCCAAAAAUGAGUUUUAUGUUGCAAUAUGUUUAUUAUCACCUUAGAGGGUAAUUUUUCUUGACUUGUUUAGUGUAAUAUAGAUUAGAUCAUGUUUAUCUUCCUCCUAGAGCCAUAGAUCUCGAGAUUUCUUUCCUUUUUGUUACAUAUUUACCACAUAAACACAUGAAAUCACACAUAACAUACACAUACACAUAAAUCUACACAUUUUACUUGUAUUCUCCGCCAUAAAACUUAGGAAAACCGAAAAGAGAGGGGUAUGAACUCACCUUUUCUUGUGGAUCAUGGUUUUGAAGAAGAAAUGGAAGAAAAUGAGGUGAUUUUCGGCCCUAGCAACACUUGAUAAUGAUCUCGAGCUUGAGGUGUUUCUAAGAGUAUGAUUACCACAAUUAUUUAAGAGAAGGGAUCUCAUCAUGAGAAAAGAGUUAUAAAAUCAUAGGAUAUGUGUAACUAACCAAGAAGUGAUGAUAAUCUCUUGAAAUCCUUUUGUUGCACAAGUAAAAUUUCGAGACUUUUGGAGUGGGAAAGAGGAGAAUUUUGAGAGAGUUUAGAAGAGUUUUGGUGUUGUGUGUGUGUGUGUGGUUUGGCUCUUUCUUUUGGGCCGAGAAUUAAGAAGAAGAAAGGAGAAGAGAGAGAGGUGAAGAGAUGGUGCAUGGAGACAUGUGAGGUUUUGCAUGGAAAUCCAUGAUAUAAUAAGGUGGUGGCUAACCCUCCUUAUUUCAUUAAUUUUUUUUGUUUUCCUUUUGGGCCAAGAAAGAGAGAAAAGAGAAGAGGAUUUGGGCCUUUUGUGCUUAAGUCCGUAUUACGGGCCCAUUUUGAUGAUUUUCGGCCCAAUUGGUCUUUGGAGAUGGUUCGCAACCCAUUAUAAAUCAAAGUAUGAGUUUUAUGGCCCAUUAGGUUAAUUAGUUUUGUUAUGGCCCAAUAAGGGUAUUUUAUUUCAUUCUAGGCCCAUUAUGGCCCAAAAUGUUAAAAUAAAUGAAAGUGGGUCCAAUUAGAGCCCAUUUAAGAGUUCUAAGCCCAAAAUAGUCAAAUUGGAAGCUAAUUGAUCCAUUAGGCCCAAUAAGAAAAUCCUAGUCUAAAAUGGACUUAAACCGGGAUUUUUAGGGUUUCCAACUUUUGUUGACUAUUUGAAAGUUUGUAUAGGGUAUUUGAUGGAAUUUUGUUCUCAUUGAAUAAACACCAAACAUGUUUUAGCUACAAUGUCAUUCUUUGUUAAGUGUUUACAACGUAUCAGAAUUCCUAGUUGUGACAAUAGAUAAAAAUUAUGAUUUUUUUAUUAUCCAAUAUUAGUAUUGCACUAGGGAAUUAAAUAUAUUACAUGUAAAAAAGGUUAUUUUAUAAUUUAUAAUAAAGGUUACUUUAUAAUAAAAUCUUUUUUUUUCAACAUAACAUUUUUAUGACUAUAUAUGAUUAAUAGUUAACAAAUCUUGAUUAAAUUAAUGUAAAUUGUGUUUUUUAAGCUAAAAGACGACUGAAGAGGUUUGAAGACUCUAGUCCACAUCUAUACCUAGAAGAUGGCGUGGAGACCUUUUUAAAAUAACAUUUCUUAAAUAAAACAAAUGUUGAUUUAGUUAAUAUAUUACUAAUUCGAGGACUUUCGAUUGAAACUAAAAUCACUUUUAUAAUAACUUCCGAUUGAUUUUUGACUUUCGAUUGGAAUUAAAAUCGCACUUGUUCUUGUGCUUGAGAGCCACAACCAAUACAAUCACAAACAACAUAAAAAACACACCUUUCAUUUUCCGCUCACCUUUUUUUUGGGCUAAAAAACAAUACUUACAACUUGGGGUUAGCUUGGUUUAUAGACCCUUUAUCCAAUUUUAAUAUAUCUUUUUGGCACUUGCUUAUUUUUAGUAUUAGUUUUAUUAUUUUUGCCAUUCACAUGCAACUUGCAAAUUUGACAUGAAAACCGACUAAAUUAUUUUACACGUGCACGUACCAUUGACUAAUUUUAUUCAUUUAAUAGAUAAAACUUAUGAUUUUUUUUAUUAUCCAAUAUUAGUAUUGCACUAGGGAAUUAAAAAUAUUACAUGUAAAAAAAGGUUAUUUUAUAAUUUAUAAUAAAGGUUACUUUAUAAUAAUUUUUUUUUUCGACAUAACAUUUUUAUGACUAUAUAUGAUUAAUAGUUAACAAAUCUUGAUUAAAUUAAUGUAAAUUGUGUUUUUUUAAGCUAAAAGACAUCUAAAAAGGUGUGAAGACUCUAGUCCACAUCUAUACCAAGAAGACGACGUAGAGACCUUCUUAGGUCUGCAAUCUUCUAAAAACAAACAAAGGUUAAUGUGUGUACACAAAGGAGAUCAAGAAGAUUUAUAGAUAAAAAACAAACACCACCUAAAUAUACUAACUCCGUUAUUAAUUAUAUAAGCAAAUAAACGUUAAAGUUCGAUUAUGUUCAAGAUAUAUAAAUAUAAUACCCACCUAAAUAUUGAAUACCAAGUGUUACAUAAAGUAAUCAACAACGAAUUGUCACCAAAACUAAAAUUUGUCAUUGCAGCUAAAAACCAAAAAAGUGCCACUAAUGCCCCCUAGACAAUUAGUGACACAAAAAAAAGUGCCACUAAAAGCACUCACACUAAAGGCCUUUCAUGACAUUUUUUUAUUGUGUCGCUGCAGCCUUACUAGGUUUUAGUGGCACUUUUCUGCUAUGCCACUAUAGCACUUGUAGCUUUUAGUGACACUAUUUUUUUGCUACUAUUUAAUUGUUAUAAUAAACAUUAUUUUCAUGUUUUUAGUUGAUUUUUUAACAAAAAAAAAUCAUACUAAUAAAUUAGAUCCGAUUUUUAUAAAAAAAAAAUAAAUAGAAUAUAAAGUAAUAACAAGACAAUUAAGAUAUAAAUAGAAAACACAAUAUUAUUACUUCCAUUCAAACUUGUCUAUCAACCAUACUCUCAACUUCUUGAAACACAAAUGUCAACAAAAAAUAAAUGUUUCGAUUCCAGCAACUGAUUCUUCCCCUCUUUGCCAGUUUUACAUACCAUAGCAUCCUCAAAAUCUUUUAAAUUCAACAUGCAUUUAUAACCUUGUGAUGUUUUGUUGGAUUCUUCGUCGUCAUGACCAAAAUAGUCCUACACAACCUAUAAGAAAAAAAAAUGAGAAAUGCUAGAGUGAGAAUUAUUGAGAAAUGCUAUAAUUAUAUUACCAAUAUAUAUGUUAGUAAUUAAUUGAUAAACAUGGGCAUUAAGUCAUCAAAUGAUAACGCUAUAAAAACUGCUAUCAUUAAGAAUUACCUCUUUAUCACCACUUUUUACCUCAUAUAUGCCUUUCUUACAUGCAUCAGGUUUAUCAACUACCUGAUCAACAACAAAAAAAGAAGAAAAAAACUUGUCACAAUAAUUUGCUAGUCCAUAUAAAUUAAAACAUAAAAAUAAGCAACACCAUACAUUUAAAGUAAUAAUCAAAGAACAAAUCAUUAAAGUUUAUAAAAAGAAUGUUGGGAUGAAACUAUGAGCUUCUAAUUUUAUGAAAUUGACUAAAGAGACCUUUGGAUCAAACAUCUAACAUUCUAACAUUCGAAUGAUAGAUUGUUGGAAUAAUAUAACCCAGCAUAAAGUCAAUAAGUGUAUUCAUUCAUGGAAUUAUUUCCUCUGCACAUUAUCUUCAGCUAAAUUCCUUGAAAAAUGCUAAAGGAAUAAAAAAAAUCAGAUUUUUAAAUCUAAUUAUUUGAUAGAUAUGAACGGGUAAGAAAAAGAGAUAGACUGAAAAAUAUAGAAAAUCACAAAUACUUCUAAAAAUGUUGCAGCUGUGUAGAUCUUGUCCUUGCAUGCAAAUUGAAGUGUAACGUAUUUUGACAAUAAGAUAUGAACAAAUACACUUACGGUUGAAUCCCAUCAACAAAUUGAUGAAAUGAGCUUCUAUUUUGCAGCAAACCUUCUUCCCACGACAUUUAAUUUAUUUCUGAAGCAUUCUACAUCAAAAAUUUCUAAAAAUUCUUCAUUGCACAUUUGAAUUUGGAAAUCAGAAAUUAGCUUUACUUAGAUGAAACAGAAAUAAAUUUGAGAGUUGAUACACAUAGAGAAAACGGUAUUAUCAUGAAAUUCUGAGCAAUUAUAAACCCUAAAUCAACAAUUAGGAUCACAAACAUCCAUAUAUAAAUCUUAAAUAAAAAAACAGGAACGCUAUGAUGCACAUUUAACCCUAAACUGAAAUUGACGUACUAUUACCUCUCAUCGCCUUGUAAAAGGGGAACCCAAUGCUAACUUCUCGAAUUUAUCGAUAACAACAACAUUAAUAAUCUGAAUCAUGAACUGAAAUAGUCAUUUUCAAACCUAAAACCACUAACAACUUUGUCUUCGCUAUCAGAUCGUGAACGUGGUAAGACGGUGAGUUGUGAUUUCAUGAAGAGCUCUAUAGGACGAGGGGUGAGUAAGGCGGGCAUGAAUUGAAUUUUAAGAAGAGUCGAUGGAAAACUUAGGUCGAUUUGGGGUUUGUGUGGUAGGAGAAAUGAUGGUGUGAAUUUUAGGUGGAUGAAAUUAGGUUAAAAUUCUAACAUCGGUGGGAAAAUAAAAGUUAAAAAUUAAAAUAAUCUUUUGGGCAGCAGAAAGCUUUUAGUUUUUGGGGAAUCAAAAGCGGGGAAAACAAAAAUAGAGGUGAUAUAGUGGCACAAAAUAAUAACUGCCACUAAAAAUAUGAUACAGUGGCACAAAAACGAAUAUCUCCUAAAAAUUUAUGUCAUUAAAUGUAAUUUUGUUUGUAUUGUGUUAGCUGGCCUAAAUUAUUAUUACGAGGAGUGUCAAAUUUACUAAUUAAUUAUACGUUUUACAAAUUUAUAAAUUAAUUAUAUUGUUUACCAAGGGAAGAAGAAUACUUAGGGGUAUUUAGAAUUGCUUAUUUGCGGUGUGUUUGGAAGUAUUUAAAACAUCUCUAUAAUCUCUCUUAUGUUGAAGACAGUGACGGAUCCAGGAUUAAAGCAAAGGGGUAUCCAAAAAAUAAAAGUGUGUAAUAUACAAUAAAAAACACAAUUUCAAUAAGAAAAAACAAGUAAUUACAUUUAUAGUCUUAACAUUCUGAACUACAAAUCAAAGUACCAUUCAUAAAAUCUCACAUGAGGCAUACUCAAGUUGUUGUUGGUAAAUACGAUAUCGAUGGGUGCCUUAAGAGUCAAAAAAGAUGGCGAUGCCCAUUUCGAUUUUCGGUAUGUCAUUUUUUUAUAUAGUUAAAAAUAAUAUCAAUAAUAAUAAUAAUUAAAAUAAAUCAAUUUAUUUAAUAUAAAUAAAAUUUAUAUGUCCAAGGGGGUAUUGUGCUAAUUCUAUAAAUAAGUUUGUUAAAGAAUUUCGGUUUAAGGGUAGAUUCCGUCACAAUGGACAUCUUCAAGGACUAAAGAUGACAUUUUUGAAAACUGCUUUGUCUUUGUCUUCUCUAAACAGCAAGCAGCGACGCAGGUUCUUUUUCUUGGCCGCCAUAGCUAGGGCUUGAGAAGAACGAUGUUCUAACACUUGAUCUAAACCAUCUUGUAGGUAUUACACUACUGGAAAAUUUUUGAGGGGUAUCCUGGGCUACCCCGGGCUCUACAUUGGAUCCGCCUGUGGUUGAAGAACUUAUACUUUGAUUACUUUCACAAAAAAAUGUUGCAUUAAAUGGAUGUAUUUAAAGUUAAAAUAUAAAAUGAAAAGUUAUUUAUCGUUAUGUAGGAUUUUGAAUAACAACACUCCCUCAAGCUAACAGACAUUAAAUGUGGAACACAGUGGUGGACGCAGACUGUUUUAGUAGGGGUGUCCCUCGUACUUCAAGCGGGUGCACCUAAUAGAAAAAACAUUUUUUUUUUUACAGUGCGUGCCGGAAAUUGAGCAGUGGCCUGGGACCCCAAAGGCCCUACAUAGGUCCGCCAGUGGUGGAACAAUGGUCUUCAUUUUCCUGCAAUUUUCAUGAUGACAUUAACCAUUAAGCUUCCAUCAUACUCCAAAAAAAAUGCUAAGUUCAACGAAAUAUGGUAGCUUUCAUUUAACUGCUUUGUAAAUAGGAAUGGAAAGAGAACAAAUCAAAACAAAAGAGGUCAAAGGAUGUAUGACUGUAUUUUUAUAAGAAAACCUCUCCAAUGGCUUCAAACAAUAAAUGUAGCCAUAACAUAUGGGGUAAUCCCCGCAAUAUCUUCACUCAAUUAUGAUUUACAUAUCACCAUAUCAUUUAGAUAGAUCCAUAAAAAUGAUAUUAAAACUAAAAAUAAUGCUCUUAAAAGACGAACACAAUACAUAAGCUGUGUGUUCAUUUCACUAUCAAUGUCAUAACAUAAACGAUAUUGAAAACAAAGGCUUUGCAAAACUAGUAGCAGAACAAAAAAGCCAACGUUGUUAUUCUUCAAGGUGCACCAAAAAAUAACAAACUCCACUCAAGAAGUAAUUUUUAAAAUCAAUUCAAAUAGGGAAGGAAUUAAGAACCAUUAAACGCCCCUUUCUCAUCCUUUAUAAAAUGAUCAUUAUACAAGGCAAGGAUAAGAGUAUGGAGAAACUUGUAGUUAUCAAUUUAAUUGGUUUGAGUCUCGAAAAAUAACUAUUUGCAAAAUGCAAGGAUAAAACUUUUAGACUUCAUCCCCAACCCUCUUAUGGCCAAAUAAGCCUUGAUGAUGGGGAUCUUUAUUUUUUAUAAAAUUAAACAUCAACUUGAAACCCUACACCAGAAUCGUAUACAAAUUGCAAUGCUCGGUAAUUCACCAAGGUAUUAUUUAUGUAUUGGAUUAAUUAUUUAUAUUGAUUGGGCUUGGAUCCAUUGGGUCCUUGCUAAAUGGGCUUAAGGGGUGUCGUACGCUGGGCGUACAACCCUAUGUAAUACUAAUGAAAGUUGAUCGCGCAUGCCAUGCACGUACGCGCAACGUACGUGUGCAGUCCCUAAAACCCUAAGUUUAGGAUUUUAUCCCUAUAUAAAGAACAUUAUGCCCUAAAGUCCAGCCUCCCUCUCACCCUUAAGCUACUCCAACGAAACCCUAAUCCAUAUUUUGUGUGUUCUUGUUCUUGGAAGGCUUCUUGAGAGUAUUUUUAGUGUUUUGAUCGACUCUACAAGGAAGUGAAUAGCAAAGCAAGGUGGUGGUUCAAAGGUGAAGGGGUAGAUCUGGGAUUGUUGCUUCAUUUCUGACCUUUUCAAGGUAUAAAGUCUUGAACUUGCUCCAUAAAUGCUUAAAUCUCUUAUGUUGAGUUUUUGGACCUAUUUUGGUCCCAAGAAUGGAGCUUUAUGGUUCUAAAUCCGUUCCUAGGCUUAGGGUUUCCACCCUUAGUGCUAUUUGAGUCCUAAAGAUAGAAAAGUUACCAUCUUGAAGGUCCUGAUGUGGUGAUGCAUGUGUAUUAGUCAUUUCUAUGGAAGUAGGUUGUCAUAUUUCAAGUUUGGGUCCAUUUGGGGGUUUGCAAGAUACCAAGUAAUCGAAUUUAUGGGUUAAGACACUUUAUUGGACUCAGAUAUGUGUUUGGAGCUUUAGGUCUUAAGGGGUUAAGCUCUUUUUGAGAUUAUGGAUUAACAAGGGAGUAUGCUGAGCGUACAAGCCAUGUAGCCUGUAUGCUUAGCGUACAGAGGAGUAUGCCCCACGUACUUACUAGAUUUGGGCUUUGCGUCAUUUGCGCCUCGGUUUGGGUCAUUUCUUGGACUUUGCUAUUUUGGGCUUUUGUGGGCCAUUUGAGUUAAACAUUUGGACUAGAUAAGCAUUAUUAGGCCUUAGGUUGAGGUCCAUGUGAAGGGAUUAGGCCCAAUUGGAAAUUAGGCCAUAUAUUAGGCCUUGUAGGAGUGUUUAUCUUUUUAGGCCAAGGGUUGAGUAGAGUUUAUUUUGGGACAAGAGUAUGUGAGGGGUAGAAUGGUCUUUUACCCCAGCGAGGACUUAUGAUUAAGUUAUGUGAAUCCCGAACAUAACUAGUUUAUAUGAUGAUUAAUAGCUCGGGGAGUCGAGAGAUCAGCAGUUCAUGGAUCUGCCAGUUAGUAGCCAGAGGAUUAUCCGCGUGAUUCAACUUGACGAGGUGUGUUUCCUCCUGUAUGAAUGGGUCAAAGGCACCAAUUUCGGCCCCGUAUGUUUAUGUUAGUAUGUUUUGGACUAAGGUCCGAUGCUGGGCGGUGCCCGAUGUAAGCUUAUAUGAUUUCCGGAAUUCGGUCCGAUGUCGGGCGAUGACCGAGGAACGUUUGUAUGCUUGAUGUCUUUGUGAUUCUUGCAUGUGUCUGUAUUUGUAUGUUUCCGGAUUUCGGUCCGAUGUCGGGUGGUGCCUGAUGAAUGUUUAUAUGCUUUUGUUUAUGUGAUAUUUUUAUGUGUAUUGUGAUAUGUUUAUAUGCAUGUCAGGCUCAGCUCGAUGCCAGGCGGGGGCCGAUGCCGGACAUUGUCCGAUGUCGGGCGGGGCCCACGAUAUGUUUAUAUGUGAUUAUGGAAUUAUGUGUAUGGUAUGUGGUAGUUUGGGGAAACUCACUAAGCUUUGUGCUUAUGGUUUUCAGUUUUGGUUUCAGGUACUUUUGGUAGCAAGGGGAAGAGCCCAGGAUGACUACAUUGCACAUACCACGAUGUUUUAGCCUCGGAUGUUUACUCUGAUAUUUUGACAUAUGUUUUUGAUAUGGAUUAUGAUGUUUUGAGAUACUAUAACUUAUGUUUUGAUGAGCGGUUUUGAUAACUAUGGUUUUAUUUAACAAUUAAAAAUGAAAUUUUUGGUCAUGAUAUUUGGGAUGUUACACGAAUGUAAAAUGUGAACUGGGUAGAGGAGCCAAUGAGAAGAAGUUGAAUUGCAUAACUUACAUAUAUUCGUUGAUCAUGUUUCUUUUUAACCCCAUGACAAGUAUCUACAAACUUGAAGAAAAAACUAUCAGGAGAGAAUAUUUAGAAACCAAAAUCAUUCUCUUCUAUUGAAGAAUAGUUGCUCCAUCCCUCCUUCCUUUUUCUCAGUGGUCGAAUCCUCUUAGGGCCAGGGGUCAUGGCCNUGGGGUUCUAGUGGUUGGUGAGAAUGGAUAUAUAUAUUAUGGCCAGUUAGAAGAGAUUAUGGAGGUGCAAUAUCCAUAUGAUUAUUUGAUUGUCGUAUUUUGGUACAAGUGGUUUGAUAUGGGAGAUAUUCCUGAUGAUAAUUUCAUUAGUAUCAACACAGAACAAGAAGCGUACCAAGAUAAUCAACUGAUAUAUGCUUCGCAAUCUAACUAAGUGUUCUACAUCCGCAAGCCUGUUAAUCAUCGAAGAAACCAAAACAACAACCCUCAUUGUGUCAUCGAGCAUGUUAAUCAUCGAAGUGUUUUGGAUCUACCAUCCGACAAUACUCGUGUCCAAAAUGCUUACAGUGACUCUGUCCAAAUGUCGACAGUGUGGAGGUCGGAAAUGUUGACGUAGUUCAAAACAACUCUUCAUCCGGUGCUAGACUUUCAAAAUAAUAUUGAUGUAGCUCAAAAAAAUGUUGAUUAUGAUGAUGAGUACGAAACUGAAGCACCUCCGCCAAAGGGUAGAAUCAAUAAUGUUUUCGAGGAAGAGACUGAUUAAGAUGAUGACGAUUCUAAUAGUGAUAUUGAGGAAGAAGACAUUCAGUAUACGGGGGAGAUUCUGAUUAAAAAAAUCAUAUGUUUUUUUGUAAUAGAAACUUUAUUUUAAUUCGAACAUUUAUUCAUAUUGUUUGUCUAACUUUUAUUCAUGUUGUUUAUCUAUAUUAUACAUCUUAUAAUUUUUGCAGGGUAGCUAACUUUUAUUCAUAUUGUGUUUCUAUAUUGUACAUCUUGUAAUUUUGUAGCACCCGGUUCCUGGUAUGUAUUUCAUUCAAGUACUUUUCACAAUUUGGACUGAGACUCGGCGAGUUGAUGGCCCAACUGGUCAAGUAGGAGCAACUUGGACCCGGGGGUUAAGUGGCGGACUCGUCGAGUCGGUGGCAUGACUCGACGACCAGACGACUAGACUCUGUCUGGACAAAACCCUAAUCCAAGGGUUUGCACCCUAUUUAAACGUCUUAUUCAGCCUCCCUUGUCCCUUAUGCUCUUAGAACCCCCUCACAUCAAACCCUAAUCAUCCUUGUUGAAGAUCUAAGGCCUUUUGGGUGAUUCUUGGUGGUUUGUGGUGACAAGAAGGAAGGAGAAGCUUGAGGAACAAAGAGGUUGGCCAGAGGAGUCAAACUUGUGCAUCAUCUACAAUUCUUGGAAGGUAUAAAGUCGACACCUUGCUCCUUCUUGUAUUAGAUCCCAUUUUGGGGAGAUUUAGGGCAUUUAUGAACCAUUCUUGGUGACCAACCAUGAUUGCAAGCAUGGUGGGGGUUAAGAUUUCAGAUCCAUGCUCAUUAAGGGGUUAGAAGGAAGAAAGGGACUGCCUUUUCACCCAUAGAAAGCCCCAUGCAACUCAAGAGCUUCUUUUAGGGUCUUUUUAGCUUAUAAUCCCAUGCAUGCACGUAAAAUUCGUAACUUUACAUGCUAGAUAGAUCUUAGGAGCCUAGAUCUAUCAUUUGGACAAGUGUUGUACAUCAGAAAUCAAGAAAUGAGACUUGGACAACCUCAACUCGGCGAGUUGUUCUUGGAACUCGACGAGUCCGUGACUUGACUCCCUUUCUCCUGUUAGGGUUCAAAGGAAACCAGUGAGUGUUAGAAUUGUCUUAGAAGGGUCCGGGGGAGUGAUCCAACGCAUUGGGCUUAGCCAUUGACAUGGAGUUCAUAGGGCUCGACGAGUGCAUGAGCAAACUUGGCGAGUCUAAGGCAAUCUCCCAACUUUUGAAGAUGAACUCGACGAGUUGUUCAUGGAACUCGGCGAGUCAAGGAUAGGACUUGGUUGUAGGAUGAGGGUGAACUCGACGGGUUGUUCAUAUAACUCGAAGAGUAGGAUGAAGGUUCAUUCGAGGUUGUUUUAGAAGGAGAACUCGUCGAGUCAUUGCUAAACUCGACGAGUAGAAGCGUGAAGAAGGACAGAUGAAGGGUAGGGAGUUGAUGAGUUGGAGGCCCAACUUGGCGAGUCAGGUCAACUGGAGGUUGACUUUGACUUUGAAUUGGUCAGGGGUAAAGUAGUCAUUUUACCCUAGGAACAGUUAUCAGUGUCUGACUAAGUGUUUUAUGCGAAUUAUAGCCGGAGGAUCACCGGAGCAGCAGUCAGACAUCUGUCGAUCAACUCUUCAGCAGUCAGCCUUAUGAGGUGAGUUACCUUCCAGUAGGGGUGGGUCUAAGGCUCUAAUGCCGGCCCACCAGUAGAUGAUUAUGGUUGAGAUGGUUAUCUUUGUGAUAAUUUUCUGGUUGCUAUUUCUGUGCUGAGUAUAUGUUAAGUAGUAGUAGGGCACACUAGCCCUGGUUACUGGUUGAAAGAUACCGAGGCCGAUUACCGGUUGAAAGAUACCGAAGGGGUAGACAAAACCCACGCAUGUAUAGUAGUAUGAUUAUGAUAUGUCAUUAUGUGACUCAGUAUGCUUAUGUAUGUUAUUAUGAAACCAGUAUGUUUAUGAACUGUAGUAUGUGAUAGGGAUAGAGGGUGAAAUAGUCCCCAGAUACCGGCUGAAAGAUACCGAAGGGGAGGUUAGUUCCUGGAUACUGGUUGAAAGAUACCAAAGGGGAGAGUAGCUCUCAGUUACCGAUUGAAAGAUACCGAAGGCGAGGGUAGCUCCCGGUUACCGGUUGAAAGAUACCGAUGAUUAUGUGCUAUGGGUAUGACGGGGGAACUCACUAAGCUUCGUGCUUACAGUUUCAGUUUUGGUUUCAGGUACCUCUUCUUCUAAGGGGAAGGAGCCGGCAGUGUAGUAGCGCAUCACACACACAUGUUUUCUGCAUGGAGUUUCCUGGGAAUGUACUAUGAUUUAAUUUACUUUUGACAAAAUGGUUUAUGGUGACAUGUUUUGGAUUAUUGAGACAUUGGUUGUGACAUGAGAUAUCAUUGUGAAUGUUUUUAUACUGAUGGUUUUAAUGUUAUAAUUUAUUUAAAAACGAAAUUUUGGUCUUGAAUUUUGGAAUGUUACAAGUUGGUAUCAGAUCCCUGGUUUGAGGGAUUCGGACACACCCUCGGGGGUGUCUGGACUCAAACCGUGGGGCUAAAGGAUUUUUUUCAAGAAAUGGUUUUCUAAAUCUAAGAAAAAGAGUUUGAGAAAGAACAAGGUGUGUGGUGCGUGUGACCGAUUGAGCUCAAGUAAGUUUUCCCCAAGAUACCCAUACUUGUUAUGUUAUGUUAUAUGAUAUAUGUGUUGGAUUAAUGUCUAAGUCCAUAACUAUAACUGGUAAGACUUGACCCGACCCGACAUGGUCCAUUUGGGUUGCAUGGCAUCAUGCACUUGGAUAGACUAAAUGAGAGAAAUAAGACACUUAUGGUUAUUAAUAUAUUAUAAGUUCUAGUAUAUUAAUAAUAAGAAUAAGAUUAUUUAAUUAGUAUUGAUCAAGAAUUAAUCUAGGAUUAAUUAAGUGAUCAAAAGAAGACUAAUUAAAUAUAUGGGUUGAUUGUGCAAAUCAUCCAUAACUUAUAUAGUGGGCCAAAGCUCCAUGGAUAAUCAAGUUGGGUUAAACCCAUAGGAUGGUCCAUGGAUACUCCAUGGAGGUUACAUAACCCAUGGGUCAUGGAAAUGAAAGGUCAUGACAAUUAGGGUUUACAUGGUGUAACUCUAAUUGUAACAUACUAUAUAAGCAUCAUAUUAUUCACCAAAAUCGGCACUAGUGGGUGUACUAGAAGGGCUAGCCGAUUUCAUGAAGUGUGGGUUUUCUCUCAAGUCAUUCCAUGUGUAUUUGGUGUUGUGUGAACCAUUUGAGGUGUCACACUUGGGGCACUAGGCACUCAAGCUUCAUGAAGACUUUCUACAUCAAAGAGGUAUGUAUUCUAUCUUGCUAUAGUCAUUGUUUUGUAUGCUAGAUUAGGAUAAUACCUUGGAAGUUCUUAUUUGCAUGUAUAAUAGAGAAAACAUAGAUCCAAGGUAUUUAGGGUUGCAUGUACACUUAGGAGUGUUAGAAUGCUCAAAACCCAACAGUGGUAUCAGAGCCUAGGCUUGUUUUCUUGUUAUACCUGCAAUAGAAGCUGAAAAAACGAAUCUGGUGCUGUCUGGCCAUCAGACUCGGCGAGUCCAUCAGGAGACUCGACGAGUCCAUGCCUAAAAAGUGAUGAAUUCGAUCCAACUCGCCGAGUUUGUUCAUGCACUCGACGAGUUGGACCCCCAGACAGCAUAUUUUCGAGUUUUUUGGCUAGAAAUGGACUAGGAACAUUACCCUAAGUUGUUUUUGAACUUAUAAACUUGUUUUUGAUGUGGUAAUGUUCAUGCUAAUCCAUUUUCAAAGAUAAUUGUCAAUAGAUUCAUGUUUUGUAUUAGUUUAAGGUUUAGACUAAUUACAUGAAAAAGUUUGAUUUGAAUUAUCUUGUUCUUAUGAGUUGCUUAGAUUAAUAGAAAUGUUGAGUGAAAUAGUUGUUUUCAAUCCAUUUUAAUCUAAGAGUUGAGUAUAAAAUGUGUUUGUGUAACUUGUCCUCAAGUUACAUGAAGAGUCACAUUAAAGACUCAUAAAAUUCAUAAAAGUUGGCAAUGGUUACAAAAUGAAGAGUCUUGUGUCAUUGAAUAAUUUUUUUUGACUCCAUAACUUGUCCUCAAGUUAUGGAAGUUCAAGAGUCACUUCAUUAAAGAAAAAUAUGUAACCAUAAUUAAAUCCAUAAGUUAUAAAAUAAAGAAAAAGUUAGUUCUUUUAUUAGUUUAAAGUCUUCCAUAACUUGUCCUCAAGUUAUGGAACUUGAAGAGUUUUUGGAUUAAAACUACUUUAAACACAUAAGUUAUGGAAUUAAUUAGUUUUGAAUAGUUUCAAAACUUGCCCUCAAGUUUUGGAAUUUGAAAAGUUUUCAAGUAUGAAUACUUUAAUUCCAAGUUAGCCCUUAGAAUUUUAAAAGUUAAAAUUCAACCCUUAUACUUUAUAAUAUUAUAAGUUAAUAAUAUAUAUAUGUAUAAGAGUAAAGUCAGUCUUACCGCUAGUACGCCUCAUUCACGAAGCCGGUCUAUAAGGUGGGUAUAAGGUUGUUGCCUAUAAAAUGGCAACUUAAUGGGUGUCCACUCUCACCCACCGCUUGCUUGACUGGUGGAGGGUCGUUAGCCGAACGGGUUUGACAGGACUAGAAUUCUCCCUUCAUUAAAAGUAUUAAUGAUAAUACUAAGUAACUAAACUCUUAAUAAUACCCAAUCUUAGUUACUUAGGAAAAAUGUGAAUAAGGUGCUAAUCCAUGAAAUUACACUUUACACUUUGUCUAAGUCGUUAGUGGAGCGUGUGUGGUUAACCGGCACACUAACUUGGACUUAACAAGGUAGGUAAAGGGUGACUUAAUAUUUAUCAUAGUAUCGAUGGAGCGUGUGUGGUUAACCGGCACAUCGAUUGAGGGGUAAUUUAUUAAGGGUACCAAGUGAUUUGCAUGGUUACUUCACACCUUGUUUUGUGAUCCUCGGCAUCCCAGUCACAAAACCUGAAGGGCACACUCGAGAUUGAAACAUGCCUUUGAAAAGUUCAAUGAAUCUCAAAGAUCUAGGAGUUUCAAAACCAAUUAAAACCUAAUAAUACAUUUCGUUUAUCUUGGUGGAAAUUGGUGAAUCGUCAUUCACCUACCUUCAAAUAUUUUAUAGCUUGGAUUACGGCAUACCUCUUCUAAGUUAUAAAAUAGUUUGUUGGGUCCUAGCCUUAAUAUUUCAUAUUGGGUGUCAUAUUAAGGACUUUAAAUCAACUAUCUUGAAUAUCUCCCAAAAGAUGUCUGGUUUAGACACCUAUGAUCUUCCCAAAUCUCUUGAAACAAGGUUUCCUAAUGAAGAUGAUGUCCCAUGGAUAUCAUACUUCUUCACCUCUUCAAAUUAUUCUCCCUAACCCACAAGUUCUUGAAAAGUUUAAGGUCACUCAGGCCCUAUUGGCAAGGCAAGGUCUAGGUGUGGUCACAUCUUGGAGAUGUAGUCACAUAUUGACAAGCCGGGAGAGUUGGGUGUCAAAGUCUUGAGAAAGUUGGUGGUUCAACCACUUUCUAAGUCACAUAGUGAGUUCCUUUGGGACACCUAUGAAACAGACUAUGACAAGACCCUUAAUGAUCUUAUCUAUUUGCUAAGAUCAACUUCCUAAAACUUUAUGGACAUUGACAAUGAUGACAUUGGAUAUCCAGUAAAGCAUUCUCUUCCCAAUGGAAAGGGAUCGGCCAUAGUCAACUCGGUUGACCAAAUGGUAAAGAGAAAAGCUAAGUCUGUGAUAGUCCCGUGUACCAUUAUCAAAGGGUCCAUAUGUUUAUAUUGCCAAAGGAAGGGGCAUUGGUUGCGAAGCUGCCAAAUUUACCUAAGGAUGUUAAAGUCAAUAAGUUUGACUCUACUUCAGGUAAAGUCCACUAUCUAACUCUGUUAAGUUUCUAUUCUGAGAUUCUUGAUACAUGAUGUGACUGGGUCACAUGGUGAUGUUUUAAGAAUCAAAGAAAAGUGAAGAAACUUAAAGAAAGAAUAUGCUGAAUCUGAUGGCGUAGAUGGAUUUCUAUCGCAUAGUUUGAAGAUCGGAUUCUUGAGCUACUUCUUAGGAGUUAUGAGAUAUUGCUUAGGAAUAGAUAACAACAAGUUUUCAUAUGGAUUGUAAGGAUAAGUUUUUCCGCAAAGUUUUAAAAUAAAAGAAAAUUUUUUUGAUUUUAUUUAUUUUAAAAUAUCCUUACAAUGGCAUUUGAGGAAAAAUUGUUGCUUAUAUGAUUCCAUUAAGAGCAAGAGUGGAAAUAUGAAAUUGAUUCUUUCAUUUGUGGUAAUGUCUAAAUUUACCAAAUAAGGAAAGAUUCUCAUCACCCAAGUUUCAAUUGGACCGGAACUUGGAAUCAUGCAAGUUGUAUAGCAUGAUGAAUGAGAACUUUCAAGUUUUGGAAAAUUAAGACUAAUUACUUGUUCACAUGGAUGUGUGAGUCAAGUAAAGGACUUAGGGAUCGAGUACACAUUCUUGUGCACUGAUUAAGUCCACCACUAAAGAUCGAUAAGAAGAAUCAAAUAAGGCAGAAGGAUAAAAGUUUCUCAAAUCUGAAAAGAUGGGAGAGUACUUUAGUAUCAGUUUUGUGAUCAUCUUAAUGAUUAAGAAACCAUAUCAAAAUUAGUUCUCUAAGGAAAUCUUAGUGCAUUCUUAUGACUAAGAAGAGGAACUUGAAUUGUUGAAAUGGUUAAAUCAAGAAGAUGAGUCAUACUUCGUUCCAAUACAAGUCUUAGAGUCAUACUCCAAGAUUGUCAUUUGAGUGACAUGUCUUAAAGAAGGUUUAAAACACUUGUCAAAUGUAAGAGUAAAAGUUUUCUACUCUUGUACAUUUGAAAUUGGUAAGUUGUGAUGUUUUGGAUAAAACAAAGACCAACUUAGGCCAAUUGGGUAAAGUGUUUUUCUUGAUUAGAAUCCGCACUAUCUCUUGGAUGUUUGACAAGGGAGUCUUAUAUGUCAAGAGGACAGUGGGAGUCUUAAAGGUCUUGAAAGUCUCAAGAAAUAAUCAAGAAUAAAACCUAAAGUUCUUCACUAGCACACGACUUGAGGUUUAUAACCUAUCGUGUUGACAUAUCUGUGCCCAUUCCAGUUAAAGUUGGCUUUGCAUAUGAGUUCUUAGAGUUCUCAGUUUGUUGCAUAACAACUUGGAAGCAAUGGCAGGCCCUUGAGCUGCCAGGUGGCAAGAAGUUAAGAUUGAGUUCAAUCCAUAUGGUUUUGGAUUUGUCAUUAUCUUUGUCUUGUGAUUAUGGUUUGACAAAUUCAUAUGGGUAGGAACUCAUACACCAUAUAAAUCUAAGUGUCAUAAGGUUUCUCUCCGAUUCAUGAAAAUGAUGGUGAGGAAACGCUUUCACUAAGUAGAUUUUACGAAGAUAUCAAUUGUGUUAUUUGCAUUUUCAAAAGUCGUUAGUGGAGCGCGUGUGGUUAACCGGCACACUAACAUGGACUUGUGAGAAAUGGCAAAUGCCUAAGCAAUUGAGACCAUGAUUACGGUAUCCCUUUUCAUGGUUCUUGAAAUUGCUUAGACACACAGGUGAGCUAUCUACGGAAAGGGUGUAUGAAUCUAAAUUUCAGACUGUCCAGCUGAUUUCUGAGUACAUGUCAAAGCUAGUGGGAGCAUAAGUGUUAUGCUAAUAAUCAUCAUGUUAGUGGGAGCAUGAUAAUUAUGAUAAGUAUUGCAAGUUAGCAAUGUUAAUUAUAGAAAACAAAAGUUUCAAUUGGGAAAAAGUUGUUUUGCUAUAAUUAAGGGAGAGGAAAUUAUGCUUCAUCUCAAAUCUAUAAGCUUAGAUCGUGAGGUUUUAAUCAUUUAGUCAAGGAUAUAUAUGAAUUUCAUGUUGGAAUGGCUCAACAUAAGGAAAUUCUGUAUAUGGGUCCAUUAUUUGCGUUCUAAAAUUCGAUUAUGAUUACGGCAUCCCUUUUCAUAAUCUGAAUUAUGAGAACUUGGCAAAUUGAAAUGGAAAUAUUAUAGCAAAAGACUGGUUUAGUCUUUAUGUAAGACAUCAUGAAUCGUGUCCCAUAUGCUUCGGAUAUAGGAUCGAUUACAUGUGCUAUAUUCAUCCGUUCUAAAAUUUUCCAAAUGCCUGGGGCAUUAAGAAGGGAAAAGGUUUAGAACUGGAUAUGACUAAAAGGAUUAAACAAUUGUCGAGGACAAUCUAAGGUUUACCAAAGAUUGGUUACUCAAGGACAAUUGGAAGUAUAGUGAUAAUUCUGGAAGGACCAUAUUGACAUAAUCUGUAAGGAGGCAACUCUUGUUCAGAAGUGAUAGUCAAAAUGGAAUCUGGAAAUGUUUCAAAGUUAGAAUUUUCAAUCUGUGUAAGAUUAAGGAAACUUAAUGCAAGAAGGAUAUUUCCAAGGAGUUGAUCUCCUUUGGAAUACUCUGUAAUGAUUGUUGCCAAGUCUUUGUGACUUUGUGCAUAAUCAUUACAAGAGGAUCAAUGCAUAUAAGUUUAGAAUCUAACAGAUUUCAGUAAAUGGCAUGAAUUUGGAAUUCUUGCAUUUGCAGUAAGGAUUUGGGAGUGUGAAAAGAGAAUCAUUGAAGUUAUGUUCAAUUGAUCUAGUUCACAAAGUAAAGAUCAUAGACAAACAUAGUAUGCAUACUUGGUGUGUGGCAUGACUAGUGUUUAAGAAAACAUAGUGUACAUGCUUGGAGCAUGGGACAACUAUUGUUUUAAAUUCAAGAAUAAAGUUGAUAGCUGAAACAGUAUACAAUGAAUAAUGUGUAAUCAUAUGGUGAUAAAUAAAAGGUGUUUUAUUUAUGUUCAAAGGGUUGAUACCAUAUUGGAUUCAAUUAUUAUUGUGUUUCAUUUUGCAUGUUUUGACUUCCCGAAUAAACUGGGUUAUUCUUCCGGAAUGACUAAGUUAUUCAAACCAUCCACAGUCGGUCAUAUGUUGGAAGUAGAUAUGAAUUAAGACUGUCAUGGGUUGGCUUGUAGAGGUCUAAGGUGUUGGACAAAGGGCUACAACACUCAUGAGUGCUCAUAAGUUCUGAGUAUUGGAUUCAACCCGCGCUCAUUGGAAUCACUUCAUGGAUUUUAUCACGAGUGAUCAUGAGACGAUAAUAUCUUAUAUUCUUCAAACCUAGAGAUAUGAGUUGUUACUAUGAGUUGAUAGUACAUUGAUUGCACGAAAACGCAUUUGGUAACUCGGUGCUAUAAAACGUGCCUUUGUGUAUGAUUCAACAAGUAGUAGAACAAGCCAUAUGAGUCGAAGUUUAUCCAUUCCUUUUACCUUCGGGAUAAAAGCGAUAUCUGUGGGCCCCUCGAUGAUUUGAUGAUGACAAAUGGAAGUGCUCGGCCGGGCCAGGACUGAUUUGAUUUGUUCAAUUAGUCAGUCGUCAUAAAUCGGAAAUCGGGAAACAACAAAUGGACAGAGAGAAUGAUUAUAAUCCAUGUCUCAGUCCAUAUGAUAUCUAGAAUGGAGGAAUAUAUGAUCCCUUAUCUAAUGGACAAGUCAUUGACAAAGGUCAGAGUUCAUCUACAAGGUCAGAGUUCGACAGAAGCUUUUGAGAGCUACGAUUGCCAGUUGGUUCCUGAAGUCAUACGCAAUAAUAGUUUUAGACUUAUCCAAGUGGGAGACUGUUGGAUUAAUGUCUAAGUCCAUAACUAUAAUUGGUAAGACUUGACCCGACCCGGCAUGGUCCAUUUGGGUUGCAUGGCAUCAUGCACUUGGAUAGACUAAAUGAGAGAAAUAAGACACUUAUGGUUAUUAAUAUAUUAUAAGUUCUAGUAUAUUAAUAAUAAGAAUAAUAGUAUUUAAUUAGUAUUGAUCAAGAAUUAAUCUAGGAUUAAUUAAGUGAUCAAAAGAAGACUAAUUAAAUAUAUGGGUUGAUUGUGCAAAUCAUCCAUAACUUAUAUAGUGGGCCAAAGCUCCAUGGAUAAUCAAGUUGGGUUAAACCCAUAAUGGUCCGUGNGGUCCAUGGAUGCUCCAUGGUGUAUUUGUACCCAUGGAUCCAAGGAAAUGGAAAGUCAUGACAAUUAGGGUUUGCCCUAAUUGUAACACUAUAUAAGCAUCAUAUUAUUCACCAAAAUUGGUACUAGUGGGUGUACUAGAAGGGCUAGCCGAUUUCAUGAAGUGUGGGUUUUCUCUCAAGUCAUUCCAUGUGUAUUUGGUGUUGUGUGAACCAUUUGAGGUGUCACACUUGGGGCACUAGGCACUCAAGCUUCAUGAAGACAUUCUACAUCAAAGAGGUAUGUAUUCUAUCUUGCUAUAGUCAUUGUUUUUGUAUGCUAGAUUAGGAUAAUACCUUGGAAGUUCUUAUUUGCAUGUAUAAUAGAGAAAACAUAGAUCCAAGGUAUUUAGGGUUGCAUGUACACUUAGGAGUGUUAGAAUGCUCAAAACCCAACAAUAUGACUCUAAGAACCGCAUGCUAGAUUAGGGAUGAGGAUCUAGGAGGAUGCCUUUUAUGCCUGAUAUAUGUUUUCAAGAACUGCAUGCUAGAUUAGGGUUGAGGAUCUAGGAAGGAUGCCUUAUAUUCCUGUUGUAUGAGCUGCAUGCUAGGACUACCUAGUCAACAGUAGGAUGGCCUGGUUAGGUAAUGCUUGAUAUGCUUACUCGAUGCACGAAUUCUGCUUGCUUUUUGAUAUAGGGGUCUUGGCUAACUUCUACUAACCAGUGAACGGAUGUGUAAUAGUAUACGCAAGCUAGUUAGGGGAGGAUGGUAAGGACUCCUGGUGCAGCUGAUGGCAGAGAGUAGGUCGGAGAGUGCCCUAGGAAAGCCUAGGAUGGGAAUAGUUGGAAAGGGAUAUUGGUUAAGGGACUUGGUGAAGUCAAAUCAAUCCUUGAGGAAAGUACGGAUAGAUGUGGAAGGUAGUGUGGGGCCGUACUACUGAAAACAGAGGAUCCGUACUCGAGCCAAGGAGGGCCGAGAUGGAACCAGAAAUCUUGGAUAAUGUGUGAGACCUCUCGGGGUAUGUUUUGAUCCUGACAUUUAUGUGUUAUUUUCAGUAUGGUGGUCACACGACAUGGAGCAGGAGGCUCAGGGUCCACUCUCACCUACCGCUUGCUUGACUGGUGGAGGGUCGUUANACGGGUAAGACAAGGACUUAUUAAUUCUCAUUCAAAGUAUGAUGAAUAUUAUAAAGUAACUAAACGUUUUUAUUAAAUUCCCAAUCUUAGUUACUUUAGGAAAAAUGUGAAUAAGGUGCUAAUCCAUGAAAUUACACUUUACACUUUGACUUAAGUCGUUGGUGGAGCGUGUGUGGUUAACCGGCACACUAACUUGGACUUAACAAGGUAGGUAAAGGGUGAAUUAAGGUUUAUCAUAGUAUCGGUGGAGCGUGUGUGGUUUACCGGCACAUCGAUUGAGUGAUAAACUUUAAGGGUACCAAGUGAUUUGCAUGGUUACUUCACACCUCGUUUUGUGAUCCUCGGUAUCCCAGUCACAAAACUUGGAGGGCACACUCGAGAUUGAAACAUGCCUUUGAAAAGUUCAUUGAAUCUCAAAGAAUCUAGGAAUUUCUAAGAACCAUUCAAAAACCUAAUACUAAAAUAUUGCGGUUUUCGUGGUGGAAAUUGGUGAAUCGUCAUUCACCUACCUUUCAAAUAUGAUAUAGCUUAGAUUACGGCAUACCUCUUCUAAGUUAUAUUAUAUUGUGAUUGGAUCCUAGCCUUAAUAUUACAUUUGGGUGUUUUAUUAAGGACUCUCUUAUAUCUAAACUAAUCUUGUCCUCUUUCCUUCAGAUGUCUUUCAACAAUGCUUCUGGCUCUAAUCCUAAUGGCUCCUUUACCCUUAUGAACUUGUGUGGGAAAGUCACCUUUGAUGGAUCCAACUUCAAUGAGUGGAUCAGAAACAUCAGGAUGAUUACCCGCUACGAGGACAAAGAAUAUGUCCUUGACAAGGAGCUUAAGGAGAUUGAUGAGUCCACUGCAACUCCUCAGGAGAUCGCUGAAUUUCGGGCACAUGAAAGGGAUGCUACGAAAGUGGCUUGCAUCAUGAUGGCCACGAUGACAGCGGAACUCCAAAAGUCUUAUGAGGAUUUCUACCCUUAUGACAUGCACCAAGAUUUGAUGGAAAGAUACCAUCAAAGUGCAAGACAAGAGAGGUAUGAAAUCAUCUGCUCCAUGAUAACAACCAUGAUGAAGGACGGGGAAUCCGUCACGAGCCACAUGCAGAAAAUGCAAAGGUAUGUGGAUCGUUUGCUGAAGCUUAAUGUGAACUUCCCGGAGGAUCUUGCAAUAGAUAUUAUUUUGCAUUCCUUACCAUCGUGCUAUGAUCAAUUCCGCAUGACAUAUCACAUGAACAAGGAAGAAGUCACCCUCAGCAAACUUCAGGGACUUCUCAAGACCGCAGAAACAGGUCUUAAGGGGAAGUCGGUUGCUAUCACUCCUACUCAAAACUCUACUCCGGUUUUGGCAAUCGGGAAAAGUCGAGGGAGGAAGAGAAAGAGCUCUUCUAAGGGUACCAAGGCUCGGACCCUUGAUGGCUCUUCUUCAAGUGGAACCAAGAAAGGUUUCGUUACUCCUUCUUCUGACCCAAAAGAGGCUGAAUGCUUCUAUUGCCAUGAAAAAGCUCAUUGGAAGCGGAACUGCCCAAAAUACCAGCAAGAUGUGAAGGAUGGGAAAGUUAAACCCAACCAUGCAGGUAUUUACACUAUCAUUUCUAAUAACUCACCCCAUUCUAAUUCUUGGGUCCUUGAUACCGGGUGUGGUAUUCACAUUUGUUGUGACUUGCAGGGACUAAGAAGAAGUGAGGAUGUGGAGCAAGGAAGGAUAAACUUGAUCAUGGGGAAUAGGAAAGCUAUACCUGUUACCAAGAUUGGAGUUUAUACUUUAUCGCUAAGUAGUGGGUUUAGUUUAGAUUUGAAUAAGUGUUGUUAUUCGCCAGGAAUGGCAAGAAAUAUUAUUUCCUUUCAUGCUUUGUACAAACAAGGGUUUACCUUUUCAUUUAAUAAUGAAGUUGGUUCUAUAGAUGUUUUCUAUAAUAAUGUCUUUUAUUUUAAAGCAUUACCUUGUGAUGGUGUGUAUGAAGCUGUAUCUGUUGUAGAUAACUUGGGAAAUAAUGUUUUGUGUAUUGAUUCUACUAAUAAUAACUUGGAUAAAGCAUCUUUAUGGCAUUGUCGUCUUGGACAUAUAAGCAAGAAACGCAUAGGCCAACUCCAAAAGGAUGGAGUCUUGGAGUCGUUUGACCUAAAGUCAGAUGAUAGUUGCGAAUCAUGCUUACUUGGAAAAAUGACAAAGUCACCCUUCACAGGUUCGUGUGAGAGGGGUGAAGGUUUGUUGGACCUUAUACACACGGAUGUGUGUGGACCAUUCAAACAUGCCACAAGGGAUGCUAAUCGUUAUUAUUUGACUUUUACUGAUGAUUAUAGUAGAUAUGGAUAUGUCUACUUGAUCAAGCAUAAGUCAGAGACUUUCGAGAGGUUUAAGGAAUUUAAACAGGAAGUCGAGAAUCAAUUGGGCAGGAACAUUAAGAUGCUUCGAUCCGAUCGUGGUGGUGAGUAUCUUAGUUCAGAGUUCCUCGACUAUCUAAGGGAAUGUGGGAUAGUCUCACAAUUGACACCUCCCAGGACACCACAGUUGAAUGGUGUGGCUGAGAGGCGUAAUCGAACCUUGUUAGAUAUGGUUCGUUCCAUGAUGAGUCGAGCUACGCUACCAAUCUCAUUCUGGGGGUAUGCCUUAGAGACUGCCGCCCAUAUUCUUAAUCUAGUCCCUACAAAGAAAGUUGCCAAAACUCCUCACGAGAUGUGGACUGGUAAAGUACCUAAACUAGACCACAUCAAGAUUUGGGGUUGCGAGGCUUUCGUGAGACGCGAGACUCAUGAUAAGCUCGAACCUCGAAGCGAGAGGUGUAUUUUCAUCGGUUACCCACAGCGAUCCUUUGGUUACCUCUUCUACAGACCUAGUGACAAUGUGGUCUUUGUAGCAAGAAGAGGAGUCUUUCGAGAAAGAGAGUUUAUAAGCCAAGGAGACAGUGGGAGGCAAAUUGAUCUUGAAGAAAUUCAAGAAUCAAGCGGUGAAGGAACUUCAAACUCUAGCCCUCAACUUGAGGAGGAAACUCCUGUUGAGCCAAUUGACAAAUCUGUACCUCUGAGACGUUCCACGAGAGUUAGGAGUGCACCUGAGCAUUACUAUGGAUUCCAUAUUACUGCAGAAGGUGAGACACUUAUUAGUGAUGAGACACUAGUAAGUCAAGAUGACCCUAACAGCUACGAGGAAGCCAUGGCAGGCCCCGAGUCUGCUAAAUGGAAAGAGGCUAUGGAUAGCGAGAUACAAUCCAUGUAUGACAAUCAAGUUUGGAACUUGGUUGAAAAUGUACCAGGUCGUAAGACAGUAGGGUGCAAAUGGGUCUUCAAGAAGAAGACCGACAUGGAUGGUAAAGUACACACUUAUAAGGCUAGACUGGUUGCAAAGGGCUUCUCUCAAAUUCCUGGAGUGGAUUAUGAUGAGACCUUUUCUCCGGUAGCCAAGAUUAAGUCUAUUCGGGUUCUGUUAGCCAUAGCUGCAUUUCAUGACUAUGAAAUAUGGCAGAUGGAUGUCAAAACCGCUUUCCUUAAUGGAAAGUUGGCUGAAGAUGUUUACAUGAGUCAGCCAGAGGGUUUUGUCAGCAACGAGUACCCUAAUAGAGUGUGUAAGCUUGAGAAAUCCAUUUAUGGAUUGAAGCAAGCACCUCGCAGAUGGAAUCUUUGCUUUGAUGAAAAGGUCAAGGAAUUUGGCUUUUCUAGGAGUGAAGAUGAAUCUUGUGUGUAUGUCAAGGCUAGUGGGAGUAUAGUUAGCUUUUUGGUAUUGUAUGUGGAUGACAUACUACUCAUAGGAAACGACAUUCCAACCCUGCAGGAAGUAAAGUCCUGGCUUGGGAAGUGUUUCGCUAUGAAGGACCUUGGUGAAGCUGCCUAUAUUCUAGGGAUAAGAAUCUUGAGAGAUCGGAGUAAAAGACUAAUUGGACUUAGUCAGAGUACCUACUUGGAUAAGGUGCUGAAGAGAUUCAGCAUGCAGGAUUCCAAGAAAGGAGAGUUACCCAUCCAGAGUAACACCAGAUUGAGUAAGACACAAAGCCCUAGCACUGAGGCUGAGAUAGCAGAAAUGAGUCGAACACCUUACGCUUCGGCUGUAGGAUCGAUCAUGUAUGCUAUGACGUGUACUCGACCCGAUGUAGCUUUUGCCUUGAGCAUGGUUAGCAGGUAUCAGGCGAACCCUGGCAAGGCACACUGGACUGCGGUAAAGAAUAUCCUCAAGUACCUACGGAGGACUAAGGACUGGGUCCUUACCCUCGGUGGGAGUGAUGACUUGAGAGUUGUAGGGUAUAGUGAUGCUAGCUUCCAGACUGAUAGGGAUAAUUUCCGCUCUCAGUCGGGCUGGGUCUUUACCCUAAACGGAGGAGCAAUUUCUUGGAAGAGUUCCAAGCAAGAGACAGUGGCAGAUUCUACUUGUGAAUCAGAGUAUAUUGCAGCUAGUGAAGCAGCAAAGGAGGCGAUAUGGCUGAAGAACUUCAUUGGAGACCUUGGAGUUGUACCAGCUAUUAAAGAGCCAAUGGAAAUUUUCUGUGAUAGUGAAAGUGCUGUUGCCUUAGCCAAGGAACCAAGGGAUCAUGGGAGAUCCAGACACAUCGACAGAAAAUACCAUUUCAUUAGACAUCGGAUCGAAGAAGGACUCCUCGUGGCAAAGAGGGUAUCAUCGGAUGAGAACCCAGCAGAUCCCCUCACGAAGGGACUGAGUAGGGUUAAGCAUCUCCAGCAUGCUCGGAGCAUAGGGCUGAAGGAUGAUAUAAGUUUUAGUAGUUAGAUAACCCAGAAAUUUGUAAAGUGUAAUUGACAUUUGAUGAUGAAUAAAAGGUGUUUUAUUUAUGAGUAAAGUGUUGCUAUCUCUUGUCGAUCGUUUACUAUAUUUCUUUUGCAUGUUUUGACUUCCAGAAUAAUUUUGUUUGGUAUAACAUAUUAUUCAAACCUCCACAGUCGGUCAUAUGUUGGAAGUAGAUAUGAAUCAAGACUGUCAUGUUUGGUUGUAGAGGUCUUGGACAAGGCUACAACAAUCAUGAGUGCUCAUAAGUUCUGAGCAUUGGACUCAACCCACGCUCACUGGAAUCACUUCAUGGAAUUCUAUCUCGAGUGAUCGUGAGACGGUAAUAUCAUAUAAGUCUUCAAACCUAGAGAUAUGAUUUGUUACUUACAAGUUGGUUAUGCAUUGACUGUACGAAACCGCAUUGGUAACUCGAUGUUAUAAAACGUACUUUUGUGUGUAAUUCAAUGAGUGGUAGAACAAACAUAUGAGUCGAAGUUUAUCUGUUCCUUCUUGGAUUAGAAGCUGAUAUCUGGGCCCCUCGAUGAUUUUGUUUUGACCCAUGUACCGGGCCCGGUCAGAACUAAGUUGAUGUGUUCAAUUAAGUUCUAUGUCAAACAAAUCGGAAAUCGGGAAACAAAUGCUGGACAAUAAGCAAGACAAUGUUCCAUGUAUUUGUCCGGCUGAUAUCUAGAACGGAGGAUUAUAUGAUCACUUAUCUUAAAUGGCGUACCAUCAUCUUCUCAGUUCCGAGAGACCUUGAAAGAGCUACGAUUGCCGGUCGGUUCCUGAAGUACUAGAGAUAUAGUUAUUAGACUUAUCCAAGUGGGAGACUGUUGGAUAAGGUGUCUAAGUCCAUAACUAUUUCGGGCUUGUACUUGACCCGACCCGGCAUGGUCCAUUUGGGUUGCAUGGCACCAUGCAAUUGGAUAGACUAAAUGAGAGAAAUAACACUUGGAGAUUAUUAAUAUAUUAUAAGUUCUAAUAUAUUAAUAAUAUUAUUUGAUUAGUUGAUCAAAGAAUUAAUUUGGAAUUAAUUAAGUGAUCAAAGGAUAACUAAUUAAAUAUAUGGGUUGAUUAUGUAAAUCAUCCAUAUCUUGUAUAGUGGGCUAAGAGGCUCCAUGGAUUAUCAAGUUGGGUUCUACCCAUAGGAUGCUCCAUGGAUGCUCCAUGGGAGUUACAAACCCAUGGGUCAUGGAAAUGAAGAGUCAUGACACAUUAGGGUUUACAUGGUGUAACCCUAGAUGUGCCAACACUAUAUAAGAGUCCCAUUCUCCACAAAAUUGGCUACACAAGUUGAACACUAAGAAACUAGAGGGCUUGGCCGAUUUUGAGAAGUGUGUGUUAUCUCAAGAGUCUUUCCAAGAGCAUUUGGUGUUGUGUGAAGCAUUUGAGGCAUCACACUUGGGGUGCUAGGCUCACAAGGUUUCAAGGAACACAAGCAACAACAAGGUAAGUUAUUCUAUCUAUGAUUCAAGUUAAAAUUGUUCCCCAUGUAUGCUAGAUAGGAAUAUAACCUUGGAAUUCAACUUUGCAUGAUAAUUAGACAAACAUAGAUCCAAGGUUAUUAGGGUUGCAUGUACACUUAGGAAGUGUUAGAAUGCUCAAAACCCAUCAGUGGUAUCAGAGCCUAGGCUUGUUUGUUUGUUAUUUGUGCUUAAAAGUUGAAGAAAGUCGAAAAUUCUGCUGUCUGACUGAUGGACUCGGCGAGUCCAUGGGGAGGACUCGUCGAGUUCAUGUGUAUCUUCAACCUACUCGGCGAGUAGGUUUAUGCACUCGGCGAGUAGGGUCGACAGAGUGCAGAAUUUCGACUUGAGUUGCUGGAAAUGGAUUAGAAUCAUUACCCUAAAAUGUUUUGGUACUUGAAAACUUAUUUUAGAAGGUGUAAUGUCUUUUCUAACUCAUUUACAACAACUAGUUAUCAAAAUUACAAAGAUUAAAUGUGAUUUUGAUUCUUGAAAGUGUUCAUAUUCAUAUUCUUGUUCUUAUGAUGUUUAGAUGAUCAUAGGAAUUAUUUGUAACCUAUGUGGUAGAUUAAUUCAUGAUCAUAAUGUGUUUUAAUGGAGUCCAUAACUUGUCCUCAAGUUAUGGAAAACCAAAAGUCUCUUGGAUUAAAAACCAUUAAAAGAACACAAGAGUUAGGAAAAAUGAAAAGUCCUCAUUUUAUUACUCUAUUAAACUCAUAAGUUACAAGAAAUGAAAAGUUUUGAAAGUUUACAAAACUUGCCCUCAAGUUUUGGAACAAGUAAAGUUAAGUUAAAACUUUAGUUCCAACCCCUAGAAUUUUAAAAGUUAAAAUUCAACCCUUAUACUUAUAUUAUUAUGAUUUAAUAAUUAUAUAUAUAUGUAUAAGAACAAAGUCGUCUUACCGCUAGUACGCCUCAUUCACGAAGCCGGUCUAUAAGGUGGGUAUAAGGUUGUUGCCUAUAAAAUGGUGACUUAAUGGGUGUCCACUCUCACCCACCGCUUGCUUGAUCGGUGGAGGGUCGUUAGCCGAACGGGUAAGACAAGGACUUAUUAAUUCUCAUUCAAAGUAUGAUGAAUAUUAUAAAGUAACUAAAUGUUUUAUUAAAUUCCCAAUCUUAGUUACUUUAGGAAAAAUGUGAAUAAGGUGCUAUUCCAUGAAAUUACACUUUACACUUUGAUUAAGUCGUUGGUGGAGCGUGUGUGGUUAACCGGCACACUAACUUGGACUUAACAAGGUAGGUAAAGGGUGACUUAGGGUUUAUUAUAGUAUCGAUGGAGCGUGUGUGGUUAACCGGCACAUCGAUUGAGUGAUAAACUUUAAGGGUACCAAGUGAUUUGCAUGGUUACUUCACACCUCGUUUUGUGAUCCUCGGUAUCCCAGUCACAAAACUUGGAGGGCACACUCGAGAUUGAAACAUGCCUUUGAAAAGUUCAUUGAAUCUCAAAGAAUCUAGGAAUUUCUAAGAACCAUUCAAAAACCUAAUACUAAAAUAUUGCGGUUUUCGUGGUGGAAAUUGGUGAAUCGUCAUUCACCUACCUUUCAAAUAUGAUAUAGCUUAGAUUACGGCAUACCUCUUCUAAGUUAUAUUAUAUUGUGAUUGGAUCCUAGCCUUAAUAUUACAUUUGGGUGUUUUAUUAAGGACUCUCUUAUAUCUAAACUAAUCUUGUCCUCUUUCCUUCAGAUGUCUUUCAACAAUGCUUCUGGCUCUAAUCCUAAUGGCUCCUUUACCCUUAUGAACUUGUGUGGGAAAGUCACCUUUGAUGGAUCCAACUUCAAUGAGUGGAUCAGAAACAUCAGGAUGAUUACCCGCUACGAGGACAAAGAAUAUGUCCUUGACAAGGAGCUUAAGGAGAUUGAUGAGUCCACUGCAACUCCUCAGGAGAUCGCUGAAUUUCGGGCACAUGAAAGGGAUGCUACGAAAGUGGCUUGCAUCAUGAUGGCCACGAUGACAGCGGAACUCCAAAAGUCUUAUGAGGAUUUCUACCCUUAUGACAUGCACCAAGAUUUGAUGGAAAGAUACCAUCAAAGUGCAAGACAAGAGAGGUAUGAAAUCAUCUGCUCCAUGAUAACAACCAUGAUGAAGGACGGGGAAUCCGUCACGAGCCACAUGCAGAAAAUGCAAAGGUAUGUGGAUCGUUUGCUGAAGCUUAAUGUGAACUUCCCGGAGGAUCUUGCAAUAGAUAUUAUUUUGCAUUCCUUACCAUCGUGCUAUGAUCAAUUCCGCAUGACAUAUCACAUGAACAAGGAAGAAGUCACCCUCAGCAAACUUCAGGGACUUCUCAAGACCGCAGAAACAGGUCUUAAGGGGAAGUCGGUUGCUAUCACUCCUACUCAAAACUCUACUCCGGUUUUGGCAAUCGGGAAAAGUCGAGGGAGGAAGAGAAAGAGCUCUUCUAAGGGUACCAAGGCUCGGACCCUUGAUGGCUCUUCUUCAAGUGGAACCAAGAAAGGUUUCGUUACUCCUUCUUCUGACCCAAAAGAGGCUGAAUGCUUCUAUUGCCAUGAAAAAGCUCAUUGGAAGCGGAACUGCCCAAAAUACCAGCAAGAUGUGAAGGAUGGGAAAGUUAAACCCAACCAUGCAGGUAUUUACACUAUCAUUUCUAAUAACUCACCCCAUUCUAAUUCUUGGGUCCUUGAUACCGGGUGUGGUAUUCACAUUUGUUGUGACUUGCAGGGACUAAGAAGAAGUGAGGAUGUGGAGCAAGGAAGGAUAAACUUGAUCAUGGGGAAUAGGAAAGCUAUACCUGUUACCAAGAUUGGAGUUUAUACUUUAUCGCUAAGUAGUGGGUUUAGUUUAGAUUUGAAUAAGUGUUGUUAUUCGCCAGGAAUGGCAAGAAAUAUUAUUUCCUUUCAUGCUUUGUACAAACAAGGGUUUACCUUUUCAUUUAAUAAUGAAGUUGGUUCUAUAGAUGUUUUCUAUAAUAAUGUCUUUUAUUUUAAAGCAUUACCUUGUGAUGGUGUGUAUGAAGCUGUAUCUGUUGUAGAUAACUUGGGAAAUAAUGUUUUGUGUAUUGAUUCUACUAAUAAUAACUUGGAUAAAGCAUCUUUAUGGCAUUGUCGUCUUGGACAUAUAAGCAAGAAACGCAUAGGCCAACUCCAAAAGGAUGGAGUCUUGGAGUCGUUUGACCUAAAGUCAGAUGAUAGUUGCGAAUCAUGCUUACUUGGAAAAAUGACAAAGUCACCCUUCACAGGUUCGUGUGAGAGGGGUGAAGGUUUGUUGGACCUUAUACACACGGAUGUGUGUGGACCAUUCAAACAUGCCACAAGGGAUGCUAAUCGUUAUUAUUUGACUUUUACUGAUGAUUAUAGUAGAUAUGGAUAUGUCUACUUGAUCAAGCAUAAGUCAGAGACUUUCGAGAGGUUUAAGGAAUUUAAACAGGAAGUCGAGAAUCAAUUGGGCAGGAACAUUAAGAUGCUUCGAUCCGAUCGUGGUGGUGAGUAUCUUAGUUCAGAGUUCCUCGACUAUCUAAGGGAAUGUGGGAUAGUCUCACAAUUGACACCUCCCAGGACACCACAGUUGAAUGGUGUGGCUGAGAGGCGUAAUCGAACCUUGUUAGAUAUGGUUCGUUCCAUGAUGAGUCGAGCUACGCUACCAAUCUCAUUCUGGGGGUAUGCCUUAGAGACUGCCGCCCAUAUUCUUAAUCUAGUCCCUACAAAGAAAGUUGCCAAAACUCCUCACGAGAUGUGGACUGGUAAAGUACCUAAACUAGACCACAUCAAGAUUUGGGGUUGCGAGGCUUUCGUGAGACGCGAGACUCAUGAUAAGCUCGAACCUCGAAGCGAGAGGUGUAUUUUCAUCGGUUACCCACAACAAUCCUUUGGUUACCUCUUCUACAGACCUAGUGACAAUGUGGUCUUUGUAGCAAGAAGAGGAGUCUUUCGAGAAAGAGAGUUUAUAAGCCAAGGAGACAGUGGGAGGCAAAUUGAUCUUGAAGAAAUUCAAGAAUCAAGCGGUGAAGGAACUUCAAACUCUAGCCCUCAACUUGAGGAGGAAACUCCUGUUGAGCCAAUUGACAAAUCUGUACCUCUGAGACGUUCCACGAGAGUUAGGAGUGCACCUGAGCAUUACUAUGGAUUCCAUAUUACUGCAGAAGGUGAGACACUUAUUAGUGAUGAGACACUAGUAAGUCAAGAUGACCCUAACAGCUACGAGGAAGCCAUGGCAGGCCCCGAGUCUGCUAAAUGGAAAGAGGCUAUGGAUAGCGAGAUACAAUCCAUGUAUGACAAUCAAGUUUGGAACUUGGUUGAAAAUGUACCAGGUCGUAAGACAGUAGGGUGCAAAUGGGUCUUCAAGAAGAAGACCGACAUGGAUGGUAAAGUACACACUUAUAAGGCUCGACUGGUUGCAAAGGGCUUCUCUCAAAUUCCUGGAGUGGACUAUGAUGAGACCUUUUCUCCAGUAGCCAAGAUUAAGUCUAUUAGGGUUCUGUUAGCCAUAGCUGCAUUUCAUGACUAUGAAAUAUGGCAAAUGGAUGUCAAAACCUCUUUCCUUAAUGGAAAGUUGGCUGAAGAUGUUUACAUGAGUCAGCCAGAAAGUUUUGUCAGUACGGAGUACCCUAAUAGAGUGUGUAAGCUUGAAACAUCCAUUUAUUGGUUAAAGCAAGCACCUUGCAGGUGGAAUCUUUGCUUUGAUGAGAAAGUCAAGGAAUGUGGCUUUUCUAGGAGUGAAGAUGAAUCUUGUGUAUAUGUCAAGGCUAGUGGGAGUAUAGUUAGCUUUUUGGUAUUGUAUGUGGAUGACAUACUACUCAUAGGAAAUGACAUCCCAACUCUGCAGGAAGUUAAGUCCUGGCUUGGGAAGUGUUUCUCUAUGAAGGACCUAGGAGAAGCUGCCUAUAUUCUAGGGAUAAGGAUCUUGAGAGAUCGGAGUAAAAGAGUAAUUGGACUUAGUCAGAGUACCUACUUGGAUAAGGUGCUGAAGAGAUUCAGCAUGCAGGACUCCAAGAAAGGAGAGUUACCCAUCCAGAGUAACGCCGGAUUGAGUAAGACACAAAGCCCUAAAACUGAGGCUGAGAUAGCAGAAAUGAGUCGAAUACCUUAUGCUUCGGCUGUAGGAUCGAUCAUGUAUGCUAUGACGUGUACUCGACCCUAUGUAGCUUUUGCCUUAGCCAAGGAACCAAGGGAUCACAGGAUAUCAAGACACAUCGACAGAAAAUACCAUUUUAUCAGACAUCGAAUAGAAGAAGGACUCCUCGUGGAAAAGAGGGUAUCAUCGGAUGAGAAUCCAGCAGAUCCCCUCACGAAGGGACUGACUCGGGUUAAGCAUCUCCAGCAUGCUCGGAGCAUAGGGCUGAAGGAUGAUAUUAGAUUUAGUAGUUAGAUAACCUCGAAAUUAGUAAAGUGUAAUUGACAUUAGAUGAUGAAUAAAAGAUUUUUUGUUUAUGAGUAAAGUGUUGCUAUCUCUUAUCAAUCGUUUACUAUAUUUCUUUUGCAUGUUUUGACUUCCAGAAUAAUAAUGUUUGGUAUAUCAUAUUAUUCAAACCUCCACAGUCGGUCAUAUGUCGGAAGUAGGUAUGAAUCAAGACUGUCAUGAUUGGUUGCAGAGGUCUAAGGUGUUGGACAUGGCUAACACAAUCAUGAGUGCUCAUAAGUUAUGAGGAUUGGACUUAACCCACGCUCACUGGAAUCACUUCAUGGAAUUUGUCUCGAGAUGAUCGUGAGACGGUAAUAUCAUAUAAGUCUUCAAACCUAGAGAUAUGAUUUGUUACUUACAAGUUGGUUAUGCAUUGAUUGUACGAAAACGCAUUGGUAACUCGAUGUUAUAAAACGUGCUUUUGUGUGUAAUUCAAUGAGUGGUAGAACAAACAUAUGAGUCGAAGUUUAUCUGUUCCUUCUUGGAUUAGAAGCUGAUAUCUGGGCCCCUCGAUGAUUUUGUUUUGACCUAUGUACCGGGCCCGGUCAGAACUAAGUUGAUGUGUUCAAUUAAGUUCUAUGUCAAACAAAUCGGAAAUCGGGAAACAAACUGCUGGACAAUAAGUAAGACAUUGUUCCAUGUAUUUGUCCGGCUGAUAUCUAGAACGGAGGAUUAUAUGAUCACUUAUCUUAAAUGGCGUANNNNNNNNNNNNNNNNNNNNNNNNNNNNNNNNNNNNNNNNNNNNNNNNNNNNNNNNNNNNNNNNNNNNNNNNNNNNNNNNNNNNNNNNNNNNNNNNNNNNNNNNNNNNNNNNNNNNNNNNNNNNNNNNNNNNNNNNNNNNNNNNNNNNNNNNNNNNNNNNNNNNNNNNNNNNNNNNNNNNNNNNNNNNNNNNNNNNNNNNNNNNNNNNNNNNNNNNNNNNNNNNNNNNNNNNNNNNNNNNNNNNNNNNNNNNNNNNNNNNNNNNNNNNNNNNNNNNNNNNNNNNNNNNNNNNNNNNNNNNNNNNNNNNNNNNNNNNNNNNNNNNNNNNNNNNNNNNNNNNNNNNNNNNNNNNNNNNNNNNNNNNNNNNNNNNNNNNNNNNNNNNNNNNNNNNNNNNNNNNNNNNNNNNNNNNNNNNNNNNNNNNNNNNNNNNNNNNNNNNNNNNNNNNNNNNNNNNNNNNNNNNNNNNNNNNNNNNNNNNNNNNNNNNNNNNNNNNNNNNNNNNNNNNNNNNNNNNNNNNNNNNNNNNNNNNNNNNNNNNNNNNNNNNNNNNNNNNNNNNNNNNNNNNNNNNNNNNNNNNNNNNNNNNNNNNNNNNNNNNNNNNNNNNNNNNNNNNNNNNNNNNNNNNNNNNNNNNNNNNNNNNNNNNNNNNNNNNNNNNNNNNNNNNNNNNNNNNNNNNNNNNNNNNNNNNNNNNNNNNNNNNNNNNNNNNNNNNNNNNNNNNNNNNNNNNNNNNNNNNNNNNNNNNNNNNNNNNNNNNNNNNNNNNNNNNNNNNNNNNNNNNNNNNNNNNNNNNNNNNNNNNNNNNNNNNNNNNNNNNNNNNNNNNNNNNNNNNNNNNNNNNNNNNNNNNNNNNNNNNNNNNNNNNNNNNNNNNNNNNNNNNNNNNNNNNNNNNNNNNNNNNNNNNNNNNNNNNNNNNNNNNNNNNNNNNNNNNNNNNNNNNNNNNNNNNNNNNNNNNNNNNNNNNNNNNNNNNNNNNNNNNNNNNNNNNNNNNNNNNNNNNNNNNNNNNNNNNNNNNNNNNNNNNNNNNNNNNNNNNNNNNNNNNNNNNNNNNNNNNNNNNNNNNNNNNNNNNNNNNNNNNNNNNNNNNNNNNNNNNNNNNNNNNNNNNNNNNNNNNNNNNNNNNNNNNNNNNNNNNNNNNNNNNNNNNNNNNNNNNNNNNNNNNNNNNNNNNNNNNNNNNNNNNNNNNNNNNNNNNNNNNNNNNNNNNNNNNNNNNNNNNNNNNNNNNNNNNNNNNNNNNNNNNNNNNNNNNNNNNNNNNNNNNNNNNNNNNNNNNNNNNNNNNNNNNNNNNNNNNNNNNNNNNNNNNNNNNNNNNNNNNNNNNNNNNNNNNNNNNNNNNNNNNNNNNNNNNNNNNNNNNNNNNNNNNNNNNNNNNNNNNNNNNNNNNNNNNNNNNNNNNNNNNNNNNNNNNNNNNNNNNNNNNNNNNNNNNNNNNNNNNNNNNNNNNNNNNNNNNNNNNNNNNNNNNNNNNNNNNNNNNNNNNNNNNNNNNNNNNNNNNNNNNNNNNNNNNNNNNNNNNNNNNNNNNNNNNNNNNNNNNNNNNNNNNNNNNNNNNNNNNNNNNNNNNNNNNNNNNNNNNNNNNNNNNNNNNNNNNNNNNNNNNNNNNNNNNNNNNNNNNNNNNNNNNNNNNNNNNNNNNNNNNNNNNNNNNNNNNNNNNNNNNNNNNNNNNNNNNNNNNNNNNNNNNNNNNNNNNNNNNNNNNNNNNNNNNNNNNNNNNNNNNNNNNNNNNNNNNNNNNNNNNNNNNNNNNNNNNNNNNNNNNNNNNNNNNNNNNNNNNNNNNNNNNNNNNNNNNNNNNNNNNNNNNNNNNNNNNNNNNNNNNNNNNNNNNNNNNNNNNNNNNNNNNNNNNNNNNNNNNNNNNNNNNNNNNNNNNNNNNNNNNNNNNNNNNNNNNNNNNNNNNNNNNNNNNNNNNNNNNNNNNNNNNNNNNNNNNNNNNNNNNNNNNNNNNNNNNNNNNNNNNNNNNNNNNNNNNNNNNNNNNNNNNNNNNNNNNNNNNNNNNNNNNNNNNNNNNNNNNNNNNNNNNNNNNNNNNNNNNNNNNNNNNNNNNNNNNNNNNNNNNNNNNNNNNNNNNNNNNNNNNNNNNNNNNNNNNNNNNNNNNNNNNNNNNNNNNNNNNNNNNNNNNNNNNNNNNNNNNNNNNNNNNNNNNNNNNNNNNNNNNNNNNNNNNNNNNNNNNNNNNNNNNNNNNNNNNNNNNNNNNNNNNNNNNNNNNNNNNNNNNNNNNNNNNNNNNNNNNNNNNNNNNNNNNNNNNNNNNNNNNNNNNNNNNNNNNNNNNNNNNNNNNNNNNNNNNNNNNNNNNNNNNNNNNNNNNNNNNNNNNNNNNNNNNNNNNNNNNNNNNNNNNNNNNNNNNNNNNNNNNNNNNNNNNNNNNNNNNNNNNNNNNNNNNNNNNNNNNNNNNNNNNNNNNNNNNNNNNNNNNNNNNNNNNNNNNNNNNNNNNNNNNNNNNNNNNNNNNNNNNNNNNNNNNNNNNNNNNNNNNNNNNNNNNNNNNNNNNNNNNNNNNNNNNNNNNNNNNNNNNNNNNNNNNNNNNNNNNNNNNNNNNNNNNNNNNNNNNNNNNNNNNNNNNNNNNNNNNNNNNNNNNNNNNNNNNNNNNNNNNNNAACUAGAGGGCUUGGCCGAUUUUGAGAAGUGUGUGUUAUCUCAAGAGUCUUUCCAAGAGCAUUUGGUGUUGUGUGAAGCAUUUGAGGCAUCACACUUGGGGUGCUAGGCUCACAAGGUUUCAAGGAACACAAGCAACAACAAGGUAAGUUAUUCUAUCUAUGAUUCAAGUAAAAAUUGUUCCCCAUGUAUGCUAGAUAGGAAUAUAACCUUGGAAUUCAACUUUGCAUGAUAAUUAGACAAACAUAGAUCCAAGGUUAUUAGGGUUGCAUGUACACUUAGGAAGUGUUAGAAUGCUCAAAACCCAUCAAGGGAUUCAUCAGAAAGAGCAGUUCACCCUGGGGAGCCCCGAUUCUAUUUGUGAAAAAGAAGGACGGGUUGCAUCGGAUGUGUAUAGAUUACUGGGAGCUGAAUAAGGUAAUUGUGAAGAAUUUUUACACACUCCCGAGGAUCGAUGACCUCUUUGACCAGCUAUGGGUAGGAUCUUGAUUCUCCAAGAUUGAUCUGCGUUUAGGAUAUCAUCAGAUGAGGGUCAGAGAGGAGGAUGUACAGAAGACUGCGUUCCGGACGCGCUAUGGCCACUAUGAGUUUGUGGUGAUGCCUUUCGGUGUCACCAAUGCUCCUGCCGUGUUCAUGAUCUCAUGAACCGCAUGUGCAAACCGAUGUUGGAUCGGUCUGUGAUAGUUUUCAUCGAUGACAUCUUGGUUUAUUCCAAGACGCGAGAGCAACAUGAUGAGCAUUUGCGGGAGGUUUUGGAUACUUUGAGGAGGGAGGACUUGUAUGCUAAGUUCUCUAAGUGUGAGUUCUGGUUGUGCGAAGUGCAGUUUUUGGUCACCUUGUCAACCAGGACGGGAUUUCGGUGGAUCCGGCCAAGGUGGAGGCCGUGAUGAGGUGGGAAGUUCCGAGGUCUCCAUCUGAGAUUCAGAGCUUCCUUGGGGUGGCAUGCUACUAUCAGAGAUUCAUUCAGGACUUCUCCAAGAUAGCCGUACCUCUGACCAGGCUGACAAGGAAAGCCGUGGUCUUUUGCUAGGGGCUUGAGCAGCAGGCUGCGUUUGAGACAUUGAGACAGAGAUUGUGCAAGGCACCAAUCUUAGCCAUGCCGAAGGGCAUGGAUGAUUUUGUAGUGUAUUGCGAUGCGUCCACCUCAGGUUUGGGCACGGUAUUGACGCAUAGAGGGCAUGUUAUAGCUUACACUUCGAGGCAGCUGAAGCCUCAUGAGGCGAACAACCCGACGCAUGAUUUGGAGUUGGGGGCGGUUGUUUUUGCCCUCAAGAUUUGGCGUCAUUACCUCUAUGGGGUUCGUUGUACCAUUUACAUGGACCACACGAGCCUGAGGUAUCUCAUGGACCAACCGAAUCUGAACAUGAGGCAACGUCGGUGGUUAGAUGUGGUGAAGGAUUAUGAUUGUGAGAUCCUUACCAUCCGAGAAAGGCUAAUGUGGUGGCCGAUGCGCUUAGCCGCAAGGCAGCGCCGAUCAGAGAUAUCUGCAUGCGGAUUGCCGUGGUGACUCCAUUGUUGGAGCAGAUUUGAGAGGCCCAACAGGAGGCUAUGAAGGAGGAACAUCGGAAAAGAGAGCGUGUUGUGGGUCAGGUUUCCUCCUUCGACUAUGACAGCCGAGGCUUGUUGACCCUCCACCUACCAUGGAGGCGUGCGUCAGACAUUGAUGGAGGAGGUGCACAAAUCCAGGUUUUUUGUCCAUCCCGGGGCGACGAAGAUGUAUAGGGAUUUUUGUCUUGACUAUUGGUGGCCCCACAUGAAUCGGGACAUAACAUGGUAUGUGGAGCGGUGCUUGACCUGUGGAAGGUCAAGGCCGAACAUCAGAGACCACAUGGAAAUAUGCAGUCGUUGGAUAUUCCUAUGUGGAAAUGGGUAGAUAUCACCAUGGACUUUAUCACCAAACUUCCCAGGACCACACAGGGAGUGGAUUCCAUAUGGGUUACUGUGGAUCGGUUGACUAAGAGCGCCCAUUUUAUACCGAUCCAAGAGAGUAUGUCGGCGGAAAAUUUGGCCGACAUCUACAUUCGAGAGGUGGUAGCACGGAACGGGGUGCCAGUAUCAGUGAUUUUUGACAGGGAAGUGCGGUUUACUUCCAGGUUUUGGAAGAAAUUCCACGAGGAGUUGGGUAGUCGCCUCCACUUUAGCACCGCUUUUCAUCCGCAUACGGAUGGUAAAAGCGAGCAGACCAUCCAGAAUCUGGAGGAUAUGCUGCGGGCAUGUGUUCUAGACUUCAGUGGUAGCUGGGAUACUUAUCUCCCAUUGGCUAAAUUCUCCUACAACAACAGAUACCACACGAGUAUUGAUCGUACUCCAUUUGAGAUGUUAUACAGGAGGAAGUGCAGGACCCCGAUAUGUUGGGGUGAGGUUGGCCAGAGGGUCAUGGGGAGCACCGAAGUGGUGCUCAAGACGACAGAGAGGAUCCAGCAGGUGAGGAGCACGCUCCAGACUGCACGGAGUCGACAGAAAAGCUACACCGACAAGCGCCUUUCAGACCUGGAAUUCCAGGUCGGGGAUAUGGUUCCUCUGAAGGUGUCGCCAUGGAAACGAUUUAGGAAGCGGGGCAAGCUGGGCCCCAGGUACAUUGGACCCUUCAGGGUUAUAGCCCGGGUGGGCAGGGUGGCAUAUCGUCUAGGUUUGGCAGCCGAACUCAGUCGGAUCCACAACACUUUCCACGUCUCCCAGCUGCGGAAGUGCCUGGUGGACGACUCGGCGGUGGUGCCCCUAGAGGAUAUUCAGGUUGAUGACAGCCUGAACUACAUUGAGCGGCAUGUGGCGAUCCAUGACCGGAAGUCGAAGGAUCUGAGGAACAAGAAGGUUGAGGUGGUGAAGGUGUAAUGGUAGCACCAGAAGGGCUCGGAGUGGACGUAGGAGCCAGUGGAUGAGAUGAAGGAGCAUUAUCCGGAGCUUUUCUAAGAUAGAGUAGCAGACUUCGAGGAAGAAAUCUAAAAUAAGUGGGGGAGAUUUGUAGCACCCGGUUCCUGGUAUGUAUUUCAUUCAAGUACUUUUCACAAUUUGGACUGAGACUCGGCGAGUUGGUGGCCCAACUCGUCGAGUAGUAGCGACUUGGACCCGGGGGUUAAGUGGCGGACUCGUCGAGUCGGCGACAUGACUCGACAAGUAGACUCUGGCUAGACAAAACCCUAUUCCAAGGGUUUGCACCCUAUUUAAACGUCUUAUUCAACCGCCAUCGUCCCUUAUGCUCUCAGAACCCCCUCACAUCAAACCCUAAUCGUCCUUGUUGAAGAUUUAAGGCCUUUUUGGUGAUUCUUAGUGGUUUGUGGUGGAAAGAAGGAAGGAGAAGCUUGAGGAACCAAGAGGUUGGCCAGAGGAGUCAAACUUGUGCAUCAUCUACAAUUCUUGGAAGGUAUAAAGUCGACACCUUGCUUCUUCUUGUAUUAGAUCCCCUUUUGGGGAGAUUUAGGGCUUUUAUGAGCCAUUCUUGGUGACCAACCAUGAUUGCAAGCAUGGUGGGGGCUAAGGAUUCAGAUCCAGGGUCAUUAAGGGGUUAGAAGGCAGAAAGGGACUGCCUUUGCACCCAUGGAAAGCCCCAUGCAACUCAAGAGCUUCUUUUAGGGUCUUUUUAGCUCAUAAUCCCAUGCAUGCACGUAAAGUUCAUAACUUUAUGUGAUAGAUAUAUCUUAGGAGCCUAGAUCUAUCAUUUGGACAAGUGUUGUACAUCAGAAAUCGAGAAAUGAGACUUGGAUAACCUCGACUCAGCGAGUUGUUCUUGGAACUCGGCGAGUCCGCGACUUGAUUCCCUUUCUCCUGUUAGGGUUCAAAGGAACCCUGCGAGUGUUAGAAUGAUAUUAGAAGGGUUCGGGGGAGUGACCCAAUGCAUUAGGCUUAGCCAUAGACUUGGAGUUCAUAGGACUCGAUGGGUGCAUGAGAAGAAUCGGCGAGUCCAAGGCAAUCUCCCAACUUUUGAAGAUGAACGCGAUGAGUUGUUCAUGGAAUUCGGCGAGUCAAGAAUAGGACUUGGUUAUCGGAUGAGGGUGAAAUCGAAGGGUUGUUCAUACAACUAGGCAAGUAGGAUGAAGGUUCAUUCGAGAUUGUUUUAGAAGGAGAACUCGUUGAGUCAUUGCUAAACUCGACGAGUAGAAGCGUGAAGAAGGACAAAUGAAGGGUAGGGACUUGAUGAGUUGGAGGCCCAACUCGACGAGUCAGGUCAACUGGAGGUUGACUUUGACUUUGACUUGGUCAGGGGUAAAGUAGUCAUUUUACCCUAAGAACAGUUAUCAAUGUCUGACUAAGUGUUUUAUGGGAAUUAUAGCCGGAGGAUCACCGGAGCAGCAGUCAGACAUCUGUCGAGCAACUUUUCAGCAGUCAGGCUUACGAGGUGAAUUACCUUCCAGUAGGGUUGGGUCUAAGGCUACAAUGCCGACCCACCAGUAGAUGAUUAUGGUUGAGAUGGUUAUGUUUGUGAUAAUUGUCUGGUUGCUAUAUCUGUGCUGAGUAUAUGUUAAGUAGUAGUAGGGCACACUAGCCCUGGUUACUGGUUGAAAGAUAUCGAGGCCGAUUAUCGGUUGAAAGAUACCGAAGGGGUGGACAAAACCCACACAUGUAUAGUAGUAUUAUUAUGAUAUGUCAUUAUGUGACUCGGUAUGCUUAUGUAUGUUAUUAUGAAACCAAUAUGUUUAUGACCUAUAAUAUGUGAUAGGGAUAGGGGUGAAAUAGUCCCCAGAUACCGAUUGAAAGAUACCGAAGGGGUGGUUAGUUCCCGGAUACCGGUUCAAAGAUACCGAAGGGGAGAGUAGCUCCCAGUUACCGGUUGUAAGAUACCGAAGGGGAGGAUAGUUCCCGCUUACCGGUUGAAAGAUACCGAAGGGGAGGGUAGCUCCUGGUUACCGAUUGAAAGAUACCGAAGGGGAGGGUAGCUCCUGGUUACCGAUUGAAAGAUACCGAAGGGGAGGGUAGCUCCCGGUGGACGGUUGAAUAAUACCGAUGAUUAUGUGCUAUGGGUAUGACGGGGGAACUCACUAAGCUUCGUUCUUAUAGUUUUAGUUUUGGUUUCAGGUACCUCUUCGUCUAAGGGGAAGUAGCCUGCGGUGUAGCAACACAUCACACACACACACAUGUUUUCCGCAUGGAGUUUCCUGGGAAUGUACUCUGAUUUAUUUUACUUUUGACAAAAUGGUUUAUGGUGACAUGUUUUGGAUUAUUGAGACAUUGGUUUUGACAUGAGAUAUCAUUAUGAAUGUUUUUAUAUCGAUGGUUUUUAUGUUAUAAUUUAUUUAAAAACGAAAAUUUUGGCCUUGAAUUUUGGGAUGUUACAAAUUUUGCAUGAUGUUUAGUUGGGCUAUAUUUUUUUACAUGAUGGUGGAUGUGAUGGGCCUAGGACAUGGAGGUGACAAAUUCAGGGAUCCACCACCUUCGGUAGGCUUUGGUCACAGACAUCACGAUCGGGAUGGUAAGUAUUAUGAUAUAUUUACUAACUAAUUCUAUUAAUUUAUUAUAUGAUAUCAAUAAUAUUUUUAAUUCUAUGUUUUUAUCUGAGCUUCCUAAAAAAAGAAGGGGUCUAUUAAAAAAUAUCCAGCUAGGAAAGUCGAUACGGGUAAACAAGGGAAAGCCCGUGGAGUUGGAGUUCGAUAGGGAGAUCACGUAUUCCCCUGUCGGGAAGCGUGAUAAUUGGUUUACCCAUGAGAUUGGGAGAUAUAUGCGGAUGGACAUGUUGGAUAAGGUGUCAAAGUCCAUAACUAUUUCUAUUAUGUACUUGACCUGGUUUGGCAUGGUCCAGUUGGGUUGCAUGGCAUCAUGCAUUUGGAUAGAGUAAAAUGAGAGAAAUAACACUUUUGGUUUGUUAAUAUAUUAUAAGUUCUAAUAUAUUAAUAGUAUUAUUUAAUUAGUAUUGAUCAAGAAUUAAUUUAGAAUUGAUUAAGUGAUCAAAAGAAGAAUAAUUAAAUAUAUGGAUUGAUUGUGUAAAUCACUCAUACUUCUAUAGUAGGCUAAUGCUCCAUGGAUAAUCAAGUUUGGCUAAAACCCAUAGGAUGCUUCAUGGAUGCUCCAUGGUGGUUAUAUAACCCUGGGUCAUGGAAAUGAAAGGUCAUGACAAUUAGGGUUUACAUGGUGUAACCCUAAUUGUAACACACUAUAUAAGCAUCAUGUUACACACCAAAAUCGGCACCUAAGAGAACAAAGGAGGGAAAGUCGAUUUCUAAGUGUUCUACAUAUCUCUCAAGUUUAUUCCAAGUGCAUUUGGUGUUGUGUGAGACAUUUGAGGCAUCAGACUUGGGGUGCUAGGCUCACAAGGUUUCAAGGAAUCCAAAUCACUUCAAGGUAUGUAAUUCUAGCAAACUUUCAUGAUUAAAGUUCCCCAUGUAUGCUAGAUAGGAUUAAGAACCUUGGAAUUAAAAUUUUGCAUAUAUUUUUGACAAACAUAGAUCCAAGGUUUUAAGGGUUGCGUGUACACCUUAGUAGUGUUAGAAUGCUCAAAACCCUACAGUGGUAUCAGAGCCUAGGUUUGUGUGUUUGAUACUUGAUGCAAAAUAGUGAAAAAGUCGAAUUUCUUGCUGUCUGCACAGGGAACUCGCCGAGUCCAUGGGAGGACUCGCCGAGUCCAAGCAUAUCUUCAACCAACUCGGCGAGUCACUUCCUGCACUCGUUGAGUUGGCCAUGCAGAGUGUAGUUUUUCGACUUUUGCUGCUGGAAAUGGACUAGAAACAUUACCCUAAACUGUGUUGGUGUUAUAAAACUUGUUUUAGUUGGUGUAAUGGUUGUUCUAACCCAUUUACAAUGGGUAAUAUCAAAAUUCCAUGAUUAUAUGUGUUCGUAUGUUCUUGAAAAUUUGAUAUGAAUAUUGAUGUCUAUAGGAGUUCUUGAUAGAUCAUAUGAAUUACUUGUUUAAUGCUUAAUUCAUGAUCUUUAUGUGUUUUAAUGGAGUCCUUAACUUGUCCUCAAGUUAUGGAUAAGCAAAAGUCACUUUGUAUUAAACCCAUUAAAACAACACAUAAGUUACAAAAAAUGAAGAGUCUUCAUUUUAAUAACUCAUAAGUUAUGAAUUGAAAGGUUUAGUUAAGUUACAAUACUUGCCCUCAAGUUUUGGAACAUGUAAAGUCAUCUAAUAAACUGUGACAACCCGAAAUUUCCAUUAUGUACAAUCUAUAUCACUUCAAUAGAAGUUAUAGUGGUUACUGUUAAUUUUCAGACUUUUUCACAUAAGUUUGAGUAAUUCAAGGUUUACAUUUCAGGAAAUAUCAGGAGAGUGGGUGCAAUAGGGUUUUGUGCAACACUGUUAUUCCAACACUCUAUUAUAUUAGAGAUCAUUUCAGGAAUAAAAAUAUUUUCUGCCAAAAAUAUUUCAGGACUAUAAAUAGAUUUCUGAACCAAAUUCAUUCAUUAUUCACAUUUCCAACUAGAGAAAAGCCAUUUUCUCUCUCACGGAUCUUCGGGUUUUUAUACCAAAACGUGAGUAACUCUUUCUAGUAGUGAUUAGAAUGCUUAUUAGAUGCUUAUAACAUGAUUUAGAUGGCUAAAUCAUUAGAUCUAGGAGUUUACUCCCCAAGGUGUUCUUGGGCGGUAAACUCCCGAAACGAAGCCAAAACCGACCUUUGUAUUAUACAACUGCUUAGGACUCUUAUGCAUGAGUGUUAGGGACAAGGAAACAACCAAAAUCCACCCAAGUUUGGGAGUUUACGACCCUAGAUUAUCAUAGGCCGUAAACUCCAAAUUCAAACACAUAAUGAUACUUUUAAGGCUCCUAAAGCCUUAGACAAUUACCUAGACUUGUUCCUAUUAAAUCUAGGGCAUUAAACACAUCAAAGAACACAAACAAAUGAGAGUUUACGGCCCAAGUGUAUCUUAGGCCGUAAACUCCAUAGAAAUGGACAAAAGGGUGUUUUUAAGACACCUAAAGCCCUAGACCUUUACAAGGAAUUGUUUCCACUUAAUUGAAGGACCAAAACUCAUCCAAAUCACUUAACAAAGUGAGUUUACGGCCAAGAGAAUGCUCUUGGGCCGUAAACAUGAAAGAAUGGCACCAAAGUGUGCCUAGGGUCCUCAUUUGCCUUAAACAAUUGUCUAGAACAUGUCCUUCAAAAGCAAGAGGCUUGAAAACAACAAAAACACCCAAUACUUAGAGUUUACGGCCGUAAACUCUAAGGGGAUUGGCCUCAGGGCCGUAAACUCCUAUUUGGAGUAUUUCUAGACCUUAAACCCCUCCAAGGAUGGAACCACCAAGUUAGAAUAAUUCUAGAAAGCAUUUGGGACUUCAAAACACACCAAACACACAUGUUUGGGAGUUUACGGCCGUAAACUCAAGAGUUUACAACCGUAAACUCCAUGUGUGAUGGUUUAUGGGGAGUAAACUCACUUAUAGGGUCCUUUGGAAACCCUAAACACAAAUACCCUGUCCCACAAUAACUUAGAUGCAAUCCUUAAGGCUUAAAACACUUAUAUAAAGUGUUUAUUAUGUCUAGGAUGUCUUAACUUUAUCAAUUAGUGAUUUAAGACUAAUUGAAUGCAUAUAUGUGUGAUUAUAUGUUCAUUAGGAUCGUAGUGUGUGUACAAGUCCUCGCUUGACACCUAGCCAUCCUAUACCGUUCAGUUCAUCCCAAUCACCAACUACAGGUGAGUUCAUACCCCUAAUCAAUAUUUUAAAUGAUUUUAAAUGCUUUAAUGGGGGGGGGGAAUACAAGUAGAAACAAACAUGUUAUUAAAUCAUUGAUAUGUAUUUUAUAACUGUGUUUGUCAUUUAACAGAUUUCACAUGCUACAAAAUGUGAUGCAUGAAAUGGUUUUACAUCUUAAAAGCACAUUGUUACCAAAUGUUUUACCUUUGAAAUGUUUAUUAAAAUGACAUCAAGUCAUUGUUAAUUAUUGUUCAAAACCCAUAAGAUGUCUUACAAAACCAUUUUACAUUCUUGAACUAAACUAUGCAUAUACACUUAUAUUCUUAUAUAUGUAUUGAUGUUAUAGUUUACAUCUUUCAUUUAGUUUCCCACACCCUUGAGUAGUAAGAGUGUAUAAACCUACAUGAUCAACCAGUUAUAUUACAGUAAAUUAUCAUAGGGAUAAUUUGAAGAUAUCAAACAUUACUUCUAUUACAAGGAAUCACACAAGAGUCAGUUCAUUCAUGAGUCUAUACUAGUACAUUACCUGAUACAUGAGUACUUACAGAUGUUUACCUGAUACAUGAAUAUGUUUACAUAUACUUACCUGUUACAUGGACACACAUACAUGAAUACCAUACAGGAACACUUUUACAUAGGUGCAUUAUCCUGUAUUCACUUACCUGGAUACUUGUACUUAGGACUACGAGGAUGAUUUAUUAGUACUUACUGUGUAAAUUGUCUUUCCUAUCUCGGUUCAAUGGGAUAGCUAGGCGGGACUUACCAUUCCGAACCCCACUGAUUAGCACCAGUGGUCGAUGACCAUCUACGGAGGUCUAAGGUUACUACUUAUAUUAGGUAGAUCGAUUGGGACUAACCCUUCCACCCACCUGCUGCUGCUACAGAGGACAAUUGGACAAUCUUCGGAUGUUCAUUAGGUUAUACCUUUCGCUUAUUGCGAUGAUUGUGUUACUCCUAGUACCCAGCGAUGACACUUACAUUAAUACUUGUUUUGGACAAUCUUCGGAUGUUCAUUAGGUUACAUAUUUCGCUUAAUGCGAUGUUGUGUUAGUCCUAGUACCCAGUGACAACACUUACAGUAGUACAUUUUCCUGUUUACUUUAUUUUGUGAUACAUUCACAUAAACGAUGAGUUAGACUAAGCACUUUUAGUACUAGUCAAUACAAAGGAAAAACUAUCAUUUUACAAACAAAACAUUCGGGUCUUGGUAGAAGACUACAUCUCAAACUGAUAGAAAAUAAGGGAUUUUCUAGGGUUUUUCAUACGUACAUCAACAUUUUCAUUUAACGUUUUACAUGGCCUUCAUAACAGAUUUUCACAAACAAGGCAAUGACACUUAUAUACUUAUGAAUUCACCAGCUUUAAAGCUGAUACUCGCUUUCAAAAUAACUUGUAUUCUCAGGUCAUCAGUAGACAGGUACGGAGGCCAGGUUUUGAGAAGACGGAGCAGACAAGUCUCGUCUUUUAUUUUGAUUGUAUAUUUUUGGUGUCUUAUUACAAUGAAAGAACACACAUGUAUUAAAAUUUACUUAUAAUGCAAUGGAUGAUGUUGUUGCUUGUUUAUUAUAUUACACUGUUGUGAUACUGUACAUGACGUCCUCCACCCCUGAACGUUUCCGCCGUUCGUGGUUUUGGGGUGUGACAGAUUGGUAUCAGAGCAUUGUUUAUAGUGAAUUAAGUAUAUCAACCCAUAAAAGAUAUACUAACUAUAAAUACAUGGGAUUAAAACACUCUGUCUCAGAGUUAUACUUUUAAAUAAUAAAAUAUUUAAGUAAGUAUACGUGCCUGCAUUCAUACUAAAAUCAGUGUCACAACGACAAGAACAAAAGUAUUACGAUUGUUGAAUAUCACAAGUAAGCCUGGGGAUAUAUGGUCAGUCUUGGGAAUGGCAUAGCCUGAUCAACUAUGCUGGUCCGAGGAGUGAUUAGAAUAUGCCCAAGAAUGGUUGUGAUAUGGCAACAAGUCUAAAAACUUACCAACACAACCAUAAAGAAAUACCAUAGGGGUAUUUGGUCUUACUGUAAUUAUCUUAGUUAGUUCGUCUAUUUUAGCUAUUUCUUAUAUCCCUUUUCUCGCGUAGAUUAAAAUGGCUGGAUUUCACCAUGGCGAUCCGUACUUCCCAAACCAAGGCAAUGCUGGUUGGCUAGAGGCAGAACCAGAAGAUGAUCACCCAAUCCCUUUGGAUGAUCACCAUGCUGAGGGUUUUUCCGAUAGUUCUGACUCGGAGCCAGAAGUCAACAACCUACCCCCAGCUGCUCAAAACCCAAACCUGAACCCUCGCCCUGUGUUUCAAGGACCCACACCCUUGUGGGCCAUUAACUUGACUGAAUGGAGUCAGGAACAAGGUCAGCCCAUUCCCUACAAUGGAGACCGAAGUUUCUACAACCUCACUGAAGGAGGUUCUGCUGAUAGAGUCCUACCAAUCAUGGUGCGUAGGAUUUUUCGGAACUCGAUAAUAGCUCAGGCGACUAUCAAGCAAGUUUUGGAAGUUGACGCCAACUCUGGUGUUAACACUAUCCACAUUCGCCAACUAGAGUCUGCUCAUGAAAGGACUCUGGUCCGCAAUGCAAAUCUGCAGAGAGAACUUGCUGAAACCCAAGCUGAAGUUAGAGAACUUCGAGCUCAGAAAGCAAGGUCGGACAGGCGUAUAAGGGACAUUGAACGUCUACUGUCGGGAUCGAGGACUCAUGCUGGCAGUUCUCGUCGCCGAUAGAAUCUCGCCGGCUCAUCUUUUGGAUAUAACCUAGUUUAUGUAAAACUUUGGUCUAAUUUCCUAUCUGUAUAAAUCUUAGACCUGUUAAGGGUUCUCAUAGGUCGGUGGAGCGCGUGUGGUUAACCGGCACAUCGAUUGAGUGAAAACCAUUAAGGGUACCAAGUAAUUUGCAUGGUUUCUUCACACCUUGUUUUGUGAUCCUCGGCAUCCAGGUCACAAAACAUGAAGGGCACACUCGCGAUUGAAACAUGUCGUUGAAAAGUUCAAUGAAUCUCAAAAGAAUCUAGGAGUUUCUAAAACCAAUUAAAAUCUAAUAAUUUAUAUUUUGUUUUUCAUGGUGGAAAUUGGUGAAUCGUCAUUUACCUACCUUUCAAGUAUGUUAUAGCUUAGAUUACGACAUCCCUCUUCUAAGUUAUAAUAUAUUGUGAUUGGGUCCUAGCCGUAAUAUUACAUUUGAGUGUUUUAUUAAGGACUAUCCUUGUAUAUAAUCUAAACUUGUUUUCUUCUUUUUAGAGGUCAACCAACAAUGCUGCUUCUGGCUCUAACCGUACUGCCUCCUUCUCUCUCAUGAACCUUUGUGGGAGAGUCAUCUUUGAUUGUUCCAACUUUAUGGAUUGGAUCCGGAACCUUAGGAUGGUCACUCGUUAUGAGGAAAAGGAAUAUGUACUUGAUAAGGAUCUGAAGGAAAUUGAUGAGUCCACGGCUACCCCUCAGGAGAUCGCUGACUUCCGGGCACAUGAAAGAGAUGCUACCAAAGUGACAUGCAUCAUGUUGGCUACUUUGACAGCCGAGCUCCAGAAGUCCUAUGAGGACUACUAUCCUUUUGAGAUGCACCAGGAUUUGAUGGACCGCUGCCAUUAGAUUGCUCGUCAAGAGCAAUAUGAAAUCAUCUCGUCUAUGAUAAUAAACCGGAUGAAGGAUGGUGAACCUAUCACGGGCCACAUGUAGAAAAUUCAAAGGUAUGUGGAUCGUUUGCUGAAGCUAAAUGUGAACUUUCCCGACGAGCUAGCAAUAGAUAUCAUUUUGCACUCCUUACCAUCAUUUUAUGAUCAAUUCCGCAUGACAUACCACAUGAGCAAGGAGGAAGUUACCCUCAGCAAGCUUCAAGGACUCCUAAAGACUGCUGAAACAGGUCUUAAAAGGUAAGUCGGUUGUUACCACUCCUACUCCUACUCCAGACUCUGCCCCUGUCCUAGCAAUCGGGUAAGGUAGAGGGAAAAAGAGGAAGAGCCAUUCGAAGGGUACCAAGGGUAAGACCCUUGAUGGCUCCUCUUCAAGUGGAACCAAGAAAGGUUUCGUCACUCCUUCUUCUGAACCAAAAAUCGCUGAAUGCUUCUAUUGCUAAGAAAAGUCGCAUUGGAAGCGGAACUGCCCAAAGUACCAGCAAGACAUAAAGGAUGGGAAAGUGAAACCCACCCAUGCAGGUAUUUACACAAUAUUGUCUAAUAAAUCACCCUACUCUAACUCUUGGGUCCUUGAUACAGAUUGUGGAAUUCACAUAUGUUUUGAUUUGCAGGGACUAAGAAGAAGUGAGAAUGUGGAGCAUGGAAAGAUAAACUUGCUCAUGGGGAAUAGGAAAGCUUCACCUGUCACCGAGAUUAGAGUUUAUUCUUUUUUGCCAAGUAGUGGGUUUACAUUAGAUUUGAAUAAAUGUUGUUACUCGCCUGAAAUGGCAAGAAAUAUUAUUUCCUUUAAUACUUUGUACAAACAAGGGUUUACCUUUUCUUUUGAUAAUGAAGUUGGUGGAAUAAAUGAUUUCUUUAAUAGUGUCCUUUAUUUUAAAGCAUUACCUUGUGAUGGUGUGUAUGAAGUUGUGUCUAUUGUAGAUAACCUAGGAAAUAAUGUGUUAUGUAUUGAUUCUUCUAAUAAUAAUAAGUUGGAUAAAACAUCAUUAUGGCAUUGUCGCCUUGGACAUGUAAGCAAGAAACGCAUAGGCCAACUCCAAAAGGAUGGAGUCUUGGAGUCAUUUGACCUAAAGUCAGAUGAUAGUUGUGAAUCAUGCUUACUUGGAAAAAUGACGAAAUCACCCUUUACUGGUUCUUAUGCAAGGGGUGAAGGUUUGUUGGAUCCAGUGCACACAGAUGUGUGUGGACCCUUCAAAACUGCCACAAGGGAUGCUAAUCAUUAUUAUUUGAAUUUUACAGAUAAUUAUAGUAGAUAUGGUUAUGUCUACUUAAUCAAGCAUAAGUUAGACACUUUUUGAAAGGUUUAAAGAGUUUAAACAAGAAGUCGAGAAUCAAUUGGGCAGGAACAUUAAGAUGCUUCGAUCCGAUCAUGGUGGUGAGUAUAUUAGUAUAGAGUUCCUCGACUAUCUUAAGGAAUGUGGGAUUGUCUCACAAUUGACACCUCCUAGGACACCACAAUUGAAUGGUGUGGCUAGGAGGCAUAAUCGAACCUUUUUGGAUGUGGUUCGUUCCAUGAUGAGUCGAGCUUCGCUACCAAUCUCAUUCUGGGGGUACGCCUUAGAGAUUGUCGUCCAUAUCCUUAAUCUAGUCCCAACAAAGAAAGUUACCAAAACUCCUCAUGAGAUGUGGAUUGGAAAAGUACCUAAUCUAGACCACAUCAAGAUUUGGGGUUGCGAGGCUUUCGUGAGGCGUGAAACUCAUGAUAAGCUCGAACCUCGAAGUGAGAGGUGUAUUUUCAUCGGCUACCCAUAAAAAUCAUUUGGUUACCUCUUCUACAGACCCAGUGAGAAUGUGGUCUUUGUAGCAAGGAGGGGUGUCUUGAGAGAGAGAGAGAGAGAGAGAGAGUGAGAGAGAGAGUUCAUAAGCUAAGGAAACAGUGGGAGGCAAAUUGACCUUGAAGAAAUUCAAGAUUCAAGUGGUGAAGGAACUUCAAACCCUAGCAGUCAACCUGAGGAGGAAACUCCUGUUGAUCCAAUUGACUAGUCUAUACCUCUUAGGCGUUCCACAAGGGUUAGGGAUGCACCUGAGCACUACUAUGAUUUCCAUAUUACUGUGGAAGGUGAGACACUGGUAAGUCUGAAUGAACCUAAUAGCUAUACGGAAGCCAUGGUAGGCCACGAGUCUACUAAAUGGAAAGAGGCUAUGGAUAGCGAGAUACAGUCCAUGUAUGGCAAUCAAGUUUGGAACUUGGUUGACAAUGUACCAGGUCCUAAGACAGUUGGGUGCAAAUGGAUCUUCAAGAAGAAGACCGACAUGGAUGGUAAUGUACACACAUAUAAGGUGUGACAGGUUGCAAAGGGCUUUUCUCAAACUCCAUGAGUUUAUUAUGAUGAGACCUUUUCACCAGUAGCAAAGAUUAAGUCCAUUAGGGUCCUGUUAGACAUUGCUGCAUUUCAUGAUUAUUGAAUAUGGCAAAUGGAUGUCAAAACCACCUUCCUUAAUGGAACUUUGGCUGAAGAUGUUUACAUAUGUCAGCCAGAGGGGUUUGUCAGUACAGAAUACCCUAAUAGAGUGUGUAAGCUUGAGAAAUCCAUCCAUGGAUUAAAACAAGCACCUCGCAGAUGGAAUCUUUGCUUCGAUGAGAAAGUCAAAGAGUUUGUUUUUUCGAGGAGUGAAGAUGAAUCUUGUGUAUAUGUCAAGGCUAGUGGGAGUAUAGUUAGCUUUUUGGUACUGUAUGUGGAUGACAUACUACUCAUAGGAAAUGACAUCCCGACCUUGUAGGAAGUGAAGUCCUAGAUUGGGAAGUGUUUCUAUGUGAUAGACCUAGGAGAAGCUGCCUUUAUUCUAGGAUAAGGAUUCUGAGAGACCGGAGUAAAAGACUUAUUGGACUUAGUCAGAGUACCUACUUGGAUAUGGUGCUGAAGAGGUUCAGCAUGCAAGAUUCCAAGAAAGGAGAGUUACCCAUCCGGAGUAACACCAGAUUGAGCAAGACUCAGAGCCCGAGUACUGAGGCUGAGAUAGUAGAAAUGAGUCGAGUACCUUAUGCUUCUGCUGUAGGCUUGAUCAUGUAUGCUAUGACUUGUACUCGUCCUGAUGUAGACUUUGCUUUGAGCAUGGUCAACAGAUAUUAGGGGAAUCCUGGCAAGGUUCACUGGACCGCGAUAAAGAAUAUCCUCAAGUACCUGUGGAGGACUAAGGACUGGGUCCUUACCCUUGGUGGGAGUGAUGACUUGAGAGUUGUAGGGUAUAGUGAUGCUAGUUUCAAGACUAAUAGGGAUAAUUUCCGCUCUCAGUCUGGCUGGGUCUUUACCUUAAACGGAGGAGAAGUUACAUAGAAGUGUUAUAAGUAGGAGGUAGUGGCUGAUUCAACUUGCGAAUCAGAGUAUAUAGUGGCAAGUGAGGCAGCAAAGGAGACAGUAAGGCUGAAGAACUUCAUUGGAGACCUUGGAGUUUUACCAACUAUAAAGGAGCCUAUGGAAAUUUUCUGUGAUAGUGAUAGUGCAGUUGCCUUAGCGAAAGAACCAAGGGAUCAUGGGAGAUCCAGACACAUCGACAGAAAAUACCAUUUCAUCAAACAUCGAAUAGAAGAAGGACUCCUUGUAGCAAAGAGGGUAUCAUCGGAUGAGAACCCAACAGACCCCCUCAUGAAGGGACUGUGUAGGGUUAAGCAUCUCCAGCAUGCGAGGCGCAUAGGGAUAAAGGAUGAUAUUAGUUUUAGUAGUUAGAUAGCUCUAAAAUUUGUAAACUGUAAUUGACAUUCGAUGAUGAAUAAAAGUUGUGUUUAUUUAUGAGUAAAGUGUUGCUAUCUUUUGUCAAUCAUUUACUAUAUUUAUUUUGCAUGUUUUGACUUCCAGAAUAUUUAUGUUUGGUAUAUCAUAUUAUUUGAAUUCUCCACAGUCGUUCAUAUGUUGGAAGUAUGUCACACCUAAAAACCAAGAAUGGCAGAAAUGUUCUGGGGCGGAGGACGUCAUGUAAAGUAUCACAACAGUGCAAAGUAGUAAACAAGCAACAACAUCAUCCAUUGCAUUAAUCGUAAAAUUUUAGUACAUGUGUGUUCUUUUAUAGAAUAAGACAUGAAAAUAAGUAAUCAAAAUAAAAGACGAGUCUUGACUGCUCCGUCUUCUCAAAACCUGGUCAUCGUACCUAUCUACUGGUGACUUGAGAAUACAAGUUAUUUUGAAAGCGUAGAUCAGCAUAAAGCUGGUGAGUUCAUAAGUAUUUGGUGUCUUUGAUUGGUAAACCUAUGAAGAAAAGACUUGUAAAUAUUUGAUGAAAAAGUUUGUAUAAGUAUGAAAACCCUAGAAAAUCCCAUAUUUCCUACUAGUAUAAAAUGUAGUCUUCUACCAAGACUCAACUGUUUUGAAGGUUUGCUUCUCUGUAAAAUGAAGGUUUUUCCCAUGUAUAACUAUUAUUAUCAAAUUAUAGUCUACCUCAUCGUUUAUGUGAAUGUGUCACAAGAUAAAAGUAAUAGGUAAAAUUAUAUAAUCAUUGAAAUCAUAUCCUUUUAUCUAGGAUAAUGUCACACCCCAAAACCAAGAACGGCGGAAACGUCCUGGGGCGGAGGACUUCAUUUAUAAUAUCAACAACAAUGUAAAGUAGUAAACAAGCAACAACAUCAUCCAUUGCUUUAAUACAAUUGUAUUCUGUCACAUUUUGAUAAACACUAAAGCAUAAAUCAAAAUGAAAGAUAAGUCUUGAACAAGCUCCAUCUUCCUUUCUCCUUGCAUCGGUACCUGUCUAUGAUGACCUGAGGAUACAAGUAAUUUUGAAAGCGAGUAUCAGCUUUGAAGCUGGUGAGAUCAUAAGUAUUUAGUGUCUUAAUUUGUAUGUAAGAAUUUGUAAGUCUAUGUAUUGAAAGAAUUUGUAAGUGUAUAAGAAUUGUAAGUAUUUGUAAGUCUAUGCAUUGUAAGAAUUUGUAAGUGUAUAUGAAUUGUAAGUGUUUGAAAAACCCUAGAAUCCCUAUGAUUCCUUCUAGUAUAUGAAGGUGUCUUCUACCAAGACCUAACUGUUCUGUGUGUGUGUCUCUUGUAAGAGUAUGUAUUUUUCCAAAGUAUAACUAUCAUUAUCCAAAAAUAUAGUUUGUACAUUUAUGUUUAAGUGAGGUUAUCACUAAAAAUAUGUAAUGGAAAAAUUAACGUAGUACUAAAACGUAGCUCUAAAAGGACUACUACCGUACUAACUACCUUAAGCCGGAUUUUAGGCUAAGGCAUUAUGUGAUAAAUUGCACCAUACUAUCGACUGAUAACAACGACAUAAAGAACGGUCGUAAUAACGGAAUGACGUUUGGCACCCGCAGACCUGCAGGUCCGGCUGUAGCUAGCAGCAAGGUGUAGGAUUGUCAAUCCAGCAUAGAUCUAUACGCAAACUCAACGCUCCCCCUUCAAGAGACUCUGGCCGCAACUCAAGUCAUGAGGUUUUAAGUCAUGCUCCGAUUUAAAUCACAGUAAUUAACGUAUUCUCGUAUAUGUAAUGUAAUGUACUGUUCUAGCUGUAAUGUAAUGAACUGUUCUAGCAAGUAUAGUAAUGUAAUGAACUGUAAUGUUCUAUGUGUGCUAGCUGUAAUGUGUGUUCUCUCUAUCUAGCAAGUAUAGUAAUGUAAACGUUCUAGUAUAGUUGUAUAUGUUCUCGUCCUAGUAUAGUUGUAUAUGUAAUGUACAGUAAUGUUCUAGAAAGUAUUGACUCAUGAAUGAACUGACUCAUUGUAUGAUAUCGCGUUCUAGUAAUGGUUCUAAUAUCUUCCUGAACUACCCAUAUGGUAGCUUACUAGUAACCUAAGUGGUACGUAUGGACGUGGAUGUAUACCCUUGCUACCCAAGGGCAUAUGUUGAACUGGAAGGACCUUUUAUGACUUUAUAUGUACACAUGAUAUAUAACUAAUAUUUAAACGACCUUCGGACGAGUAUCCAAUAUCCCACCAGACCACAUCUCAAGGCGCGAAAAGGAAAUAGGGUGGAUAGCCUUCCUAAGUCUUUUAAACAUUUCUUAUAUAACUAUACAUAUAGAGGCAUGCAAUUUAUAAUAUAAAAGCAUAAAUAAGUUUUGUAAGACAUUUGAAACAUAAAUAUUAUUUUAAGAAAAGAUCGACUUGAUGUCAAUCUAUAAAACAAUUUGAAGGCAUAAGUAUGAUAAAACAGUUUUGAGUAUAAGGAAAACAUUGUUUGAAACACCGUUGUAAAUAAGUUUGAAAGGCAAUGUACAAAGUAAGAUGUACAAUGUAAUAAGUAGUUUAAAACAUAUGUAAUGUUUAUAAAAAUCAUUUGAAGGAAACUGUUUGGUAAAACGGCUAAUGAGUAGCCAAAUCUUUUGAAUGCUGUAUAUUAAUCACAUGUGAUUGAUGUAAUAAGUAAUAUAAUCCUACUUACUAAUCACAUGUGAUUGACAUAAUAAGUAGAAUGAUUCUACUUGUAUCCCCCCAUAAAACAUUUAAAAUAGUUUAAAACAUUAGUUAAGGGGUAUGAACUCACCUGCAGUAAGUGACUGGAAUUGAACGGGCUGUUAUCGUACGGAAGGAUCGGACAAGUGCUUGGUGUCAAGUGAAGACUUAGACACACACAAUGAUCCUAAUUACAUAUGAAGACAUAUGUAUAUAAAUAAUUAGAGAUUUAAUCACUAAUUAUACAAGUAUAAACAUUUAACGCGAGGACAACACUUUUGGUCAAGUGCUAGGAGGCUAAUGGGUUGCAACAAAGGAGUGCAAUGCCCCUAAUGGAAGUUUAGGGUCAAAAGACCAUAUUCAUUGGAGUUUACGGCCCAGGGGAGUAAGCUCCUGGCCGUAAACUCCCAACCAAGGCUUGGAUUGGUACAUUGAAUUACUACAACCUUAGUGGGAAUUGUUUCAAGGCCUAUGUAAGUGUUUGGGCACCAUAUUGACUCCUUUGGGGAGUUUACGGCCCAAAGACCCUUUUCCCUUGGAGUUUACGGCCGUAAACUCCCUUGGGAGGGUUCUUAUGGUUCUUUCAAGUCUCUAUAACAACUAGGAACAAUUCUAGGCUUUAAUACUUGGCUUAAGGAAGGUUUAUGGCACUAAAUGGUACCAUUUUAUGGAGUUUACGGCCUUGGAACCUUUUGGGCCGUAAACUCCCUCACAAAUGGGGUUCUUAGUAUUUUAACUAGUCCAAAACUCAUCUAGGUACUUGCCCUAAUAGUCUCAUGGCCUAAGGAAAGGUUUAGGGUGUCCUUUGACCCCUUUAAAGGAGUUUACGGCCCAAGAAAUACUCUUGGCCGUAAACUCUUCAACAUUUGUGCCUCUCAUGAGUUUUCUAGGUUCUAAACACUUAGGAGUACAUGCCAAAAAUAAAGUCUAAGCCUUAGGGAAAGUUUGAAAGGAUUUUGGCACUUAAACUUGGAGUUUACGGCCUAAGGAGCUUCUUGGCCGUAAACUCCCUUCUAGAAUUGAUUUCUAAUGGUUUUGGUGGCAUAAAUCAUGAGUUUAAGGCUUCUAGGUUUUUGUUCUAAGGCUAAAGGAACAUUGGGCACUCAUUUGUGCCUUCACUUGGAGUUUACAGCCCAAGAGAUGUUCCUUGGCUGUAAACUCCUAAAACUAAAUGGUUUUGAUUGAUUUCUAGCCUCUAAUGCUCAUACAUAAAGUCCUUAACUAGUUGCCUAACACGGAAAAGGGACUAGAUGGCCUUUAGGCUUGAUUUUGGAGUUUACUCCCCAAGAACGUUCUUGGGCGGUAAACUCCCGGAUCUUGCAUUUUAGACAUGUAAACAAUGUUAUUUAGCAUACAACAAGUAUUAAAACACAUCUAGGAAAGUAGACUCAGAAUCUGGGAUGAAAACCCGAAGAUCCGUGAGAGAGAAAUUGGCUUUUCUCUAAUUGGAAUUCAACUAAUGAACCAAUUUGGUUCAGAAUUCUAUUUAUAGUCCUGAGAUUUUUGGCAUAAAUUAUUUCUAUUCUCGGAAUGGAUUCUAGUUACGUAGGGUAAUGGAAUUACAGUGUUGCACAAAAUCCUAGUGCAACCACUCUCCUAAUAACUCCUUAGGUGUAAAACCCUGAAAACUGCCAAACUUAUUCCAUAAGUCUGAAUUUUCACUGCAACUGAUCUACUUCUAUUGGAUUGAAAUGGUUUGAUUAGAAUGGAAAUUUUGGGUUGUCACAGAUAAACAUGAUGCGAUAAAUCUCCGAAUAGUACAACCGAGAACAUACGUAGAUGAAUAGGUCUCGCUGUAGCUAACAGCCAGGUGUAGGAUGGUCAGUCCCAUAGCGUGUAGUGUAUGUACUAGUGUAGUGUAUGUCCUCCCUGAUUCUCAUCAUAGUAAGUUCUCUAGUAUAGUAUAUAGUGUGUAGGAGUAGUAUCUCUUAAUAUAGUAUGUAGUAGUAUCUCUUCAUAUAGUAUGUAAUAGUAUCUCUUUAUAUAGAAUGUAGUAGUAUCUCUUCAUAUAGUAUGUAAUAGUAUCUCUUCAUAUAGUAUGUAGUAGUAUCUCUUCAUAUAGUAUGUAAUAGUAUCUCUUCAUAUAGUAUGCAGUAGUAUCUCUUCAUAUAGUAUGUAGUAUAUUUGUAUAGACUCAUGAAUGAACUGACUCUUGUGUGAUUCCUUGUACUAGGAAUAGUAAAUAGUAUCUCCUAAACUAUACCUAUUAUAGUUACUAGUAAUGUAUGUAUAUGAAUGAAUGAAUGAAUGUAUGCCGUUGCUACCCAAAGGUACUGAACUGACUGAUAGAACCUUUAUGUCUACAUAUGUAUACAUAACAUAUAACUAAUAUUUAGACGGCAUUCGGACAAGUAACCGAUACCCUAAGGCCACAUCCAAACAAGGAAAAGGAAUUAAAGCGAUUUAGCAGUCCUAAGUCCUUUAAACAUUUCUUACAUAACGAUGCAUAUAUUGGCAUGCAUUUGACAAUAUAAAAGUUUAAAAGAAGUUUUGUAAAACGUUUGAAGAGUUUAAUAAUAAAAUCGAUGACUUGAUGUCAAUUUGUAAAAUGAUUUAAAAGCAGUUUGUUGGUAUAAACAGUUUAAAGCAUAAGAAAUCCUUUGUUUGAAAAAAUAGUUAUAACAGAAUUUGAAAGGAAAGAUUUAGUAUAGAAAACAAGUUUGAUAAAGAGUUUAACAUGUAAAAGCGUUUGAGAAAUCAUUUCAAAGUAGUUUGUUUGGCAAAACACAUAAAAGUAGAGUGAAAUCCAUUUGUGUGCUAGUUAUUAAUCACAUGUGAUUGAUAUAAUAACUAGUAUGAUUCAACUUGUAUCCCCCACCCCAUAAAAGCAUUUAAAAACAUUUAAAAGUUUGAUUAAGGGGUAUGAACUCACCUAUAGUGAGUGAUGUGACUAUAAGAUCGGUUUAGGAAGUUGAGUGCCAAUUGCGGACUUGAGCACAAACGAAUCCUAUCAACCACAUAAUGACAUAUGUAUGUAUACAAUUAGUGUUUGUAACAACAAAUUAUUGAAUUGGGACCACCUUAGGGACUAGUAAACACUUAUAUUGAAGUGUUACAACCAUAUAUGACUGUAUAUAGGGGGUAUAUGGCUAUACAUGGGAGUGUAUGGUCAAAAUACACCAUUUGUGUGUGUGUGCGGCCAGGGUGUGCAGCCAUGGUGUGUGUGUGGCCGCACACUCCCCAUGAAGUGUGUUAAAACAUAUUUUAAGGCCUUAGUACUCAUCUAGGAAGGUUUCUUACUUCAUGCUCUAGCUUUAUGUGGAGUUCAUUGCCAUUUUAGGACCUAAAAAGGGUGUGUAUGGUUGAACAUGGUGUGUUCGGCCGUACACACCUGAAGAUCAUGAUAUUUGGCGUUUUUCAUGCAAAUCUUCAAGUGUUCUUGGCAUAUAACAUGUUAUGAUAAGUGUAAAAACGUUAUAGAGGCUUGAAAGGGUGAUUAGGGUCCGAAACUAGUGUGUGUUCUUGGUGUUCUUGACUAGAAAUGGAUGUUUUUAAUGAUCAAAGUAAGGGGAAGGCUAGUUAAGUUCAAGUAUCAACUAUUCAAAGGAAGGAUUAAUUACUUUUAUGAAGAUCAAGAUGAAGAUUUGGAGGGUACUUGAGAGAGAAACGUGUUCCCGCUUUGAUGGAGUGGGGAAAAGUGUUCAAAAAUGACUAAGGGUAGCAUUUAUAGGUGGGAGUGUGUGGCUGGAAUAGGUGUGCGGCCGCACACACCUGUGUGUGGCCAUACACUCAAGUGUGUGGCCGUACACUCCAUGUGUUGGAGUGUUUGGCCCGAGUGAGCUUGAUAUGCAUCGUGUUAUCCCAUUUCUAGGCUCCUAUCUUAGUUUUACUAGGUUUAGAACGCUCUAAUAGACCUUAAACUAUGCUAAAAGAUAGCAAAACGAGUCUAACUUUGAUUACAUUGGUCUAUUGUACAAGAUAGAAAUUUCGGGUUGUCACAUAAUCCCCCCGUUAGAGAGAGUUUCGUCCCGAAAUUAGAGUUUAAGCAAUUAAGUAGUUAUAACUAACUAAACGAAAAGAUGAGGAUAUUUCAAUUUCAUUUAAUCCUCAUUCUCCUAAGUGAAUUCCGAACCUCGCUUGGCGUUCCAGCGAACCUUCACCAUCGGGAUGCGGCUUUGCUUCGUCUGCUUGACCUCACGGUCCAUGAUCUCUACAGGUUCUUCCACGAAGUUGAGGCUCUCGAUGAUCUCGAUCUCAUCGAGUGGGAUUACAAGAGUCUCAUCGGACAUACACUUUUUUAAGUUUGAGACGUGGAAUUUAGAAUGUACGUUACUGAGUUCGUGAGGGUAGGUUGAGUUUGCAAGGUAUAGGAACGAUUCUAUCAAGAAUCUUGAAAGGCUCUAUCUAUCUUGGAUUUAGCCUCCUACGCUUUUUGAAGCAUAUCAAGCCCUUCCAAGGUGGGACUUUCAAAGGAACGUGGUCUCUCUUGGAAUUCCAAAGGUUUCCUUAUCUUGUCAGCGUAGCUUAUAAAUUUGCGAAUUUCUGUAGGCGUCUUUGGUGCUGACUAAUUCUCAACGGUUUUGAUUUUGGAAGGGUCCACAUGAAUUGCCACUUCACUAAGAGUGUGCCUUAGGAAUUCGACUCUUCGAAUCCAAAACUCCCAUUUAGAGGACUUUGCGUAAAGCUUCUCUGAUCGUAAUGUUUCCAAGGUUUGUCAUAUACUCUUUCUUAAAUACGAGAGUAGAUAAGUAUGUCAUAUAUAAGGAUAAUGAAGAACUGAUCCAAGUAAGUUGGCAUACCCUAUUCAUUAAGUCCAUGAAUACUACAAGCGCAUUUGUCUUAUUCGAGAGGUAUCACUACGGACUCGUAGUAUCCGCAACGAGUUCGGAAGGCCGUCUUCAGGACAUCCUCCUCUAACACUCGUAACUGGUGUUACUCGGAUCUCAGAUCGAUCUUCGAAAGGUAAUUCGUUCCUUGCGGUUGGUCAAACAAUUUAUCUAUGUGAGGCAGAGGGUAACGAUUUCCAAAUGGUAAUCUUGUCGAGCUCUCUAUAGUCGAUGCACGUACGAAACAAUUCGUCUUUCUUCUUGACGAACAAGACCUGAGCUCCCCAGGGUGAGAAGCUUGGUCUUACAAAGCCCUUGCAACUAAGUUGAUUCUGAACUCGACUUUGACGUUGUGGAGAUAAUCCUGGGAGUUCUUCUGGAAAGAUAUCGGGAAGAUCAAAAAGAAAGUACGAUUAGUCAUGAAGUAGGGAAUAGGGUAGGUACUACUAUUCUACCUGUAUCCCUUGUCCCCGCUCAGCGAGAAGGCAUUUGAUUGGACUCUAAGUUUAUUUGCAUGGCAGUACGAUCACUCAUCUCCGUCCUGAAGUUCUUAUCAGAAGUCAUAUUUGGUUCAUCAAUCACAACUUCGUGUAUACGAAUCGUAUAUAAUUAAGAUUGAAAAGGUAGUUGAACAAAUGAUUCUUCUUUAAGCUCACAUCCAAACAAGGAAAAUAAGUUAAAGUGUGAUCAUCAAUUCUAAACCUGUAGAACCCUGAUUUUAUACCACCCUUGCGUAUACAUUUCUCAGCGAUAGAUCAAUCGUAUGAGUGUUCGGAUUGAACUUGACGUACCGUACGAGUGGCAUUCUAGGGAGGUUUGCUGAGGUUUCUUCGGGAAGGACACGAAACAUAAGGUACUAUAUGCACGAGUAACUCGGAGUUCUGGAAUGAUGGCUUCGCUAGAAAGGCGAUUUCGAAGAAAAGAAUUUACGCACGAAGCUGAGUAUCGAAUUGAACCAAGUUGUAUGAUAAAAUCGGACUCACUUAGAAAUAAAGGCAUUAGACUUGAUCAUAAAGGCGUUACAGAAAAAACACAACAGUGCAACUUUUAAUAGAGUUUCAGUACUUUAGCUUAACUACAAGACUACUGUUGCGAACAAGGUAUACUAUAAAAAGCAAGUAUACACAGCACGAGGGCCCCUUGACUGACGGGAUCUCGCAAAAGAUAAGACUCGAGUUGUACUAGUUUUUAACAGUUUAUGAGUCUGUUAAAACGAAACGCCUUAUAGUUUCAACAUGGGUCCGGAGUAGUCAUUCCUGCGGCAGUGAUCCUUAGUAUCUUCCCGUCUGCGCCAGAGUUCAUUGUUAUUGGACAGUCCUUCUCGAAGUGUCCUAUCUCACCGCAUUGGUGACAUAUCUGGCUUGCACCAACAUCGGUGGUGGAAGUGAUGUGUCGGGUCGGAGUUAUGCGGACACAGUUGCUUUCAUUGUUUCUCCUUUUCGAACAAUUCCUUUUAAAGUGUCCGAUUUCACCGCAAGCAUAGCAAGCCUGGUUGACUCCGAUGUCAGGGACUUGAGUGAUGGGUCCUGCCGGUGCUCCACAGCUACGAGCAUGGUUCCCUAUUUUGUGACAAUUUCAGCAUUGCAUUUCAUGGCAAGCCCCAUUAUGAUGAAAGUCACACUUCUUACACUUCGGGAGUUUUCCCUUGUAUGGUUUGAUCGGUGCUGAAAUGGCAGGGGUUGCCACUUGUUGCUAUUGCAUGGCAAGUCUUUGGGAUUGCUAGCGCUCCUUUUGGGCUUGAUGUUUUCAUUUCCUAUUCUCGAUUUUACGGAUUUGCAAUUCUAUGACUGUUAUCAUUUGUUUGCUUCUCGGAUCGAUACAACAAUCGGAAUUGUCAACCCCCUUGUCAGCCUUGCUUGUGUUGUCAGCGCUGAGGUUUUCAAGGACAGCUGCUAUGACAGCUGUUACCGCGGCUUGGAAUGUAGCGGCGUCGAUAUGAAGGAUAUGAGUUUCGUCGCUCGGCUGACUAUUUAUGGAUAAUGAAAUAAUUCUGCUAUACGAAAAAAGGAGUUCGUUAGUGAUUAUGGUUAGACCUAGAAGUAUUUCGAUCAUUCAUGUAAAGAGUAGAAGUAAGUUCUCGAGGAUUCGACCUACAUCCCAUUGAUGCAGUCCUAGUAAAGAGUAGAUGUAAGUUCAUAGAAUGGUCACAAGACGUUUGCUAUUUUGAACUAAGUUAUCAUUGGUGGGAGUAUGACAUGAUCCAACCUUCGACAAGAAUUGGAAGUGAUCCUUGAGCUAAAUUACCAUAACUCAAUAAUUUUGACGAAAGUGAGGUUUAGAUAUAGUUCCAAUGAUAGUAGAACGAAUGUAUUUAAACAAAGAUUGACAUAGAAAUUAGCUGACUGUCAAUAUCAUUGAUAUUUAGGAUGUAAUAAGUUUGGGAAAAUUGACCUUGUAGAAGGUCUUACAUCAUAUCUGGAGUAGAAAAGUUUUGACAGCAUAAAGGCCUAACUAAAAGUACUUAAGGUACUGGGGUAGUUACAUAGAAAAGUGCUACAUAGGGCAUACACAAGAAAACUAUUCCUUAUAACAAGGAAGGAAAGAUAAAGCAUCUCCUACUGAUGACGGUCAUCCCUCUGGUGAACCCUUAGUUCAGCCAGUUGACGUUCUAUAUCUAGCAGGUGUCUUUCGUACACCCUCUGGCAUACUCGGAGCUCAAUGACUUCGGCUCGAGUUUCAGCUAGUGCUUGCAGCAGAGUCUCGUGGUCUCUCUCAGAUCUCUCACGAGCAUUUUCAAGGGGAAUGGUGCAGAUGGUAUGCAUUCUUGCAUUGGCAUCAACCUCUACGAUACGAUGCAGAGCUGUCUUGCCUUGGAUUUCGUUUCGGGCAACUCUACGGACCAGGAUUGGCAAAACUCUAUCUGCUGAGCCUCCUUCGCUUAUGUUAUAGAGGCUUUGCUCUCCAUUAAAUGGCAUAGGUUGAUCUUGCUCUUCGCUCCAUGUCUCCAAACAUUCAACCCAAGGAGGCGUCGGGCCUUGAAAAGCCGGACGAGGGUUAGGAUUUGGAUUAGGAGCCACCGGGGGUAGGUUCUCAACCUCAGGCUCAGAUUUAUCACCAUACGAAAAGCCUUCAACAUGGUGAUCAUCCAAAGGGAUUUGAUGAUCAUCUCCUGGCUCUUCUCCAAACCAUCCAGCAUUGCCUUCGUUUGGGAAAUACGGGUCGUCGUGGGGAUGGGGUCCAACCAUCUUAUCUACGUGAGAAAUGGGGAUAAAGAAAUAAUUACUAGACGUACUAUCUAGAUAAUUAUAAGAUAAUCUUCAUCAGUUACUUCAAUAUUUGUAAAGUGCAUACCAGUUAUAUGUAAUCAAAACAGGAUAGGCCUUCGAAUAAGUGACCUUAACUCCAAAUUCACAAGGAACAAGGGGGAAAGCAAAAAUUCACAGAUUCUAAGUCUAUGUCAUCCCAGUUACAUAUAACCUUAGUGUAUCCACUUAGCAACUAUUGACCUACUAAUGAGGAUCUUUAAUUCUCAACUAAGUAAUUAUAGUAACACAAAAGUACUCCUAAUGUCUUCAUUGUAGUAGUGUUGGUAAGUUUUUAGACUGGUUGCCAUAUCACAACCAUUCUUGGGCAUAUGCUAAUCACUCCCCGGACCAUCGUAGUUGAUUAGGCUAUGCCACUCCCAGGACUGACCAUACAUCCCCAAGCUUACUUGUAAUAUUCAACAAUCAUAAUACUUUUGUUUUUGUCAUUGUGACAUUGAUUUUAGUAUGAAUGCAUGCAUGUAUACUUAGUUAAAUAUUAUAUUAUUUAAAAGUAUGAACUCUUUGUCAGAGUAUUUUAAUCCCAUUGUAUUUAUAGUUCGUAUAUCUUUUAUGGGUUGAUAUACUCAAUUCACUAUAAACAAAACUCUGAUACCAAUCUGUCACACCCCAAAACCAAGAACGACGGAAACGUUCUGGGACAGAGGACGUCAUGUAAAGUAUCACAAUAGUGCAAAGUAGUAAACAAGCAACAACAUCAUCCAUUACAUUAAUAGUAAAAUUUUAGUACAUGUGUGUUUUUUUAUAGAAUAAGACAUGAAAAUAAGUAAUCAAAAUAAAAGACGAGUCUUGACUACUCCAUCUUCUCAAAACCUGGUCAUCGUACCUGUCUACUGGUGACUUCAGAACACAAGUUAUUUUGAAAGCGUAGAUCAGCAUAAAGAUGGUGAGUUCAUAAGUAUUUUAGUGUCUUUGAUUGGUUAAACUGUGAAGAAAAGACUUGUAAAUGUUUGAUGAAAAAGUUUGUAUAAGUAUGAAAACCAUAGAAAAUCCCAUAUUUCCUACUAGUAUAAGAUGUAGUCUUCUACCAAGACUCAACUGUUUCGAAGGUUUGCUUCUCUAUAAAAUGAAGGUUUUUCCCAUGUAUAACUAUUAUUAUCAAAUUAUAGUCUACCUCAUCAUUUUAUGUGAAUGUGUCACAAAAUAAAAGUAAUACGGAAAGUUAUAUAAUCAUUGAAAUCGUAUCCUUUUAUCUAGGAUAAACACGACACGGUAAAUCGCCGAAUAGUACAACCGAGAACAUCCGUAGAUGAAUAGGUCCAGCUGUAGCUAGUAGCUAGGUGUAGGAUGGUUAGUCCCGUAGCGUGUAGUGUAUGUACUAGUGUAGUGUAUGUCCUCCCUAAUUCUCAUCAUAGUAAGUUCUCUAGUAUAGUAUAUAGUGUGUAUGAGUAGUAUCUCUUCAUAUAGUAUGUAGUAGUAUCUCUUCAUAUAGUAUGUAAUAGUAUCUCUUCGUAUAGUAUGUAGUAGUAUCUCUUCAUAUAGUAUAUAAUAGUAUCUCUUCAUAUAGUAUGUAGUAGUAUCUCUUCAUAUAGUAUGUAAUAGUAUCUCUUCAUAUAGUAUGUAGUAGUAUCUCUUCAUAUAGUAUGUAGUAUAUUUGUAUAGACUCAUGAAUGAACUGACUCUUGUGUGAUUCCUUGUACUAGGAAUAGUAAAUAGUAUCUCCUAAACUAUACCUAUUAUAGUUACUAGUAAUGUAUGUAUAUGAAUGAAUGAAUGUAUGCCUUUGCUACCCAAAGGUACUGAACUGACUGAUAGAACCUUUAUGUAUACAUAUAUAUACAUAACAUAUAACUAAUAUUUAGACGACAUUCGGAAAAAUAACCGAUACCCUAAGGCCACAUCCAAACAAGGAAAAGGAAUUAAAGCGAUUUAGCAGUCCUAAGUCCUUUAAACAUUUCUUACAUAACUAUGCAUAUAUAGGCAUGCAUUUGACAAUAUAAAAGUUUAAAAGAAGUUUUGUAAAACAUUUAAAGUGUUUAAUAAUAAAAUCUAUGACUUGAUGUCAAUUUGUAAAAUGAUUUAAAAGCAGUUUGUUGGUAUAAACAGUUUAAAGCAUAAGAAAUCCUUUGUUUGAAAACAUGGUUAUAACAGAAUUUGGAAGGAAAUAUUUAGUAUAGAAAACAAGUUUGAUAAAGAGUUGAACAUGUAAAAGCGUUUGAGAAAUCAUUUUGAAGUAGUUUGUUUGGCAAAACAGAUAAAAGUAUAGUGAAAUCCAUUUGUGUGCUAGUUAUUAAUCACAUCUGAUUAAUAUAAUAACUAGUAUGAUUCAACUUGUAUUCCCCCCAUAAAAGCAUUUAAAAACAUUUAAAAGGUUUAUUAAGGGGUAUGAACUCACCUGUAGUGAGUGAUGCGACUGCAAGAUCGGUUUAGGAAGUUGAGUUUCAACUGCGGACUUGAGCACAAACGAAUCCUAUCAACCAUAUAAUGACAUAUGUAUGUAUACAAUUAGUGUUUGUAACAACAAAUUAUUGAUUUGGGACCACCUUAAGGACUAGUAAACACUUAUAUUGAAGUGUUACAACCAUAUAUGAUUGUAUAUAAGGGGUAUAUGGCUAUACAAGGGAGUGUAUGGUCAAAAUACACCAUUUAUGUGCGGCCAGGGUGUGCGGCCGGUGUGUGUGUGGCCGCACACUCCUCAUGAAGUGUGUUAAAACGUAUUUUAAGGCCUUAUGACUCAUCUAGGAAGGUUUCUUACUUCAUGCUCUAGCCUUAUGUGGAGUUCGUUGCCAUUUUAGGACCUAAAAAGGGUGUGUAUGGUUGAACAUGGUGUGUGCGGCCGUACACAUGGUGUGUGUGGCCGUAUAUACCUGAAGAUCAUGAUAUUUGGCGUUUUUCAUGCAAAUCUUCAAGUGUUCUUGGCAUAUAACAAGUUAUGAUAAGUGUAAAAACGUUAUAGGGGUUUGAAAGGGCGAUUAGGGUCCUAUACUAGUGUGUGUUCUUGGUGUUCUUGACUAGAAAUGGAUGUUUUUAAGGAUCAAAGAAAGGGGAAGGCUAGUUAAGUUCAAGUAUCAACUAAUCAAAGGAAGGAUUACUUACUUUUAUGAAGAUCAAGAUGAAGAUUUGGAUGGUACUUAAGAGAGAAACGUGUUCCAACUUUGAAGGAGUGGGGAAAAGUUUUCAAAAAUGACUAAGGGUAGCAUUUAUAGGUGGGAGUGUGUGGCUCAAAUGGGUGUGCGGCCGCACAUACCUGUAUGUGGCCGUACACUUAAGUGUGCGGCCGCACACUCCAUGUGUUGGAGUUUUUGGCCCGAGUGUGCUUGAUAUGCAUCGUGUUAUCGCAUUUCUAGGCUCCUAUCUUAGUUGUACUAGGUUUAGAACACUCAAAUAGACCUUAAACUGUGCUAAAAGAUAGCAAAACAAGUAUAACUUUGAUUACAUUGGUCUAUUGUACAAGAUAGAAUUUUCGGGUUGUCACAAAGUAGGUAUCAAUCAAGACUGUCAUGAGUUGGUUGCAGAGGUCUAAGUUGUUGGAGAUGGCUACAACACUCAUGAGUGCUCAUAAGUUCUGAGUAUUGGAUUUAACCCACGCUCACUGGUAGCACUUCAUGGAAUUUAUCUCGAGUGAUCGUGAGAUGGUAAUAUCAUAUAAGUCUUUAAACCUUGAAAUAUGACUUGUUUCCUAUGAGUUUUGGUUAUGCAUUGAUCGCACAAAAACUCAUUGGUAACUCGAUGUUAUAAAACAUGCUUUUUUGUGUGAUUCAACAAGUAGUAGAACAAGCAUAUGAGUCGAACUUUAUCUGUUCCUUCUUGGAUUAGAAGCCUUACCUGGGCCCCUCGAUGAUUUUGUUUUGACCUUUGUACCGGGCCCGGUCAGAACUAAGUUGAUGUCUUCAACUAAGUUCUAUGUCAAACAAAUCGGAAAUAGAAAAACAAACUGCUGGGUAAUAAGUAAGACAUUGUUCCAUGUACUUGUUCGACUGAUAUCUAGAACAGAGGAUUAUAUGAUCACUUAUCUUAAAUGGCAUAUCGUCAUCAUCUGAGUUUCGAGAGACCUUGAAAGAGCUAUGAUUGCUGAUCGGUUCCUGAAGUCAUACUUGCAGUUAUAGUUAUUAGAGUCAUCCAAGUGGGAGACUGUUGGAUAAGGUUUCUAAGUCCAUAACUAUUUAUGGUAUGUACUAGACUCGGUUUGGCAUGGUCCAUUUGGGUUGCAUGGCAUCAUGCAUUUGGAUAGACUAAAAUGAGAGAAAUAACACUUAUGGUUUGUUAAUAUAUUAUAAGUUCUAAUAUAUUAGUAAUAUUAUUUAAUUAGUAUUGAUCAAGAAUUAAUUUAGAAUUGAUUAAGUGAUGAAAAGAAGAAUAAUUAAAUAUAUGGGUUGAUUGUGUAAAUCACUCAUACUUGUAUAGUGGGCUAAUACUCCAUGGUUUAUAAAGUUGGGCUAAAACCCAUAGGAUGCUCCAUGGUGGUUAUAUAACCCAUGGGUCAUGGAAAUGAAAGUUCAUGACAAUUAGGGUUUACAUGGUGUAACCCUAAUUGUAACACACUAUAUAAGCAUCAUGUUACACACCAAAAUCGACACCUAAGAGAACAAAGGAGGGAAAGUUAAUUUCUAAGUGUUCUACAUAUCUCUCAAGUUUAUUCCAAGUGCAUUUAGUGUUGUGUGAGACAUUUGAGGCAUCACACUUGGGGUGCUAGGCUCACAAGGUUUCAAGGAAUCCAAAUCACUUCAAGGUAUGUAAUUCUAGCAAACUUUCAUGAUUAAAGUUCCCCAUGUAUGCUAGAUAGGAUUAAGAACCUUGGAAUUAAAAUUUUGCAUAUAUUUUAGACAAACAUAGAUCCAAGGUUUCAAGGGUUGCGUGUACACCUUAGGAGUGUUAGAAUGCUCAAAACCCUAUAGGACAUCCCUUUCAACGUAUCUGUUUGGGACAAUGCUUCCCUCGCUUUUAAGGAAUGCAACAAUCAUGCAUCUAAAGGUAACUUGGAUACUAUUUUAACUUUAGUUGUGAUUGGUAUUUAAUUAACUAAAUUUUUUGUGUUUGUAGAAUAAUUUUGAUUUGGAUAAGGUUAACUUGGAUCCCGAGCAUUCAUAGUUGUUGCUGAGCAUUGAUGCGACUCUUGCAAAAAUUUACAGAGGUCGGAAAAGUAAAGACCAUACUUAUUUUAACGAUAUCGGGGGGCAUGCAGAUAUCCCAAUGGCAUUAGACAACCCCCCAAGGGUAUGUCACGUGAAAAUUGGGCGCAAUUAGUCAAACAUUUUCAAACGCCCAAAUUUUAAAAGGGUUCGGUGUCAAACAAAGAAGUGCGUGCAAAAGAACAAGUUGUAAAUAGAGGGGGAUCGUGCUCAUAUAGCAAUUCCCGUUUCAAAGAAGUAAGUUAUGUUAUAUUUAACUGUUUAUUUAAAGUAUAAUUAAUCUAAUUUUUAAUGUUAAAUAUGACAUCACUCUAAUCGAAGCAUUUUGUAAGACUAAUACCAAUCGCCAAGGGGUAUUAAUAGUCUUGAAGUUGAGCAAAAAUAUGUAUGUGGUCAAUUUGUAAUUUCAUAUAAGUGUUUAUAUCGUGAAGGAGUAUUUAGUAAUUUAAUUUUUAUGAUGUUUAUCAUUUUUUGAAAAUACAGCUGGCUUUACUCCAAGAGAUCAACCAACAAACCAAAGCUUCUUUUGAAGCAAGCAGCCUAACACCAAGUGAUAUAAAAAAUUGUUUUGAAAGAAUAUUAGGUGUUCGACGUGGCCAUAUUAGAGGCAAUGGGCGUAAACCUUCUACGGUUGUGUCUAUGUACGACCAGGAACAACCGAUCACACAACCACCACUACAAUCACAGGUAAUUGUUAGUUUAAGUUGAAAAGUAUAAUGCUAUAAUGGAAAAACAAAAAAAAUAUGAUGCUAUAAUGAUAUUUUAGUAAUUUUUGGUGUAGUAUAUAUUACAUUGCUAUAAUGGAAAGUACAAUGCUAUAAUGAUAUGUUGGUUAUGGUUUGAUAUGUUGGUAUUUUGUAUUUUGGUAAUUUUUGGAAAGUACAAUGCUAUAAUGUAUAUGCAAUAUUGUGUAUCAUGUAGUUUGGUUAUAUUUUGAUAUGCUGGUAUUUUGUAGUUUGGUAAUUUUUUGGAAAGUACAAUGCUAUAAUGGAAAAAUGAAAAAAGUAUAAUGCUAUAAUGUAUAUGGAAUAUUGUGUAUGAUGUAUGUUUAGGUGUAUUUGGAAAGUAGAAUGCUAUAAUGAUAUGUUGGUAUUUUGUAUUUUAGUAAUUUUUGGAAAGUAUAAUGUUAUAAUGGAAAAAUGAAAAAAAGUACAAUGUUAUAAUUUAUAUACAAUACUAUGUAUCAUGUAGUUUGGUUAUAGUUUGUUAUGUGAUAUUUUGUAGUUUGGUAAUUUUUUGGGAUGUACAAUGCUAUAAUGGAAAAACAAAAAUAAAAUAAAAUGCUAUAAUGUAUAUAUUGUGUAUGAUGUAUGUUAAGUGUAUAUAGAAAGUAGACGACAUGGUUGUUAUAGUUUGAUAUGUUGAUAUUUUGUAGUUUGGUAACUUUUGGAAAGUAAGAUGCUAUUAUGAUAUGUUUGUAAUAUAUUUUGUUUUUAUUGUAGAUCGAAAUGUUGCAAACAAUACUAAAGGACCUGACAUAUUAUGCGACACUAGAAGAAUGGUUUCGCUCAUUUCUGCCACGAAAUGAAAACGAAGGAAAUGAGGGGAGUGAUGAGGACGAGUAGCUACCCUUUUAGGAUUUAUGUAAUGUUUUGUUUGAGUUAGUAUUUUAGAUAUAUUGCAUUUUGUUUGGAUGAAUAUUUUGGACCAGAUGUCUAUGGAUCAAUAUUUUGUAUUAAAUAUAGUAUUAAGUGUGGUUAAUGUUUCGUAGCAGUUUUUAUGCGUAUUAUAUUGCUUUUAUACUUGUAAUGUUAAAUAAAAAGGAAAAUAAUUUAGCGGUGACAUGUAAGUAUUAGUGGCGACAUAACAUUAACGAUGACUGUAGGCAUUAGUGGCGACAACACAUUUGCGACGACAGAGGGCAUUGGCGGCGACCUAUUGAGCAUUUACAGCGAGGUAAAAACGACGAGCUUUUUAUGGUGACAAAUCGCCGCUAAUAGCUUUAGCGGUGACAUGCAUACUCUUCCGCGGCUACGCAUGUCGCCGCAAAUGAUCAUGUCUCUUGUAGUGGUAGCUUUCCCUAUAAUCAUAUCGAUACCUUUCACACUUACUAUGAAAAUGAACAAAGAGAUAGGAUUACUUGUUUAAAUUUUUGUUUAAUAGGGAAAUUGAAAGUAGGAGAACUAUCGACCCUUUUCCAAAAUUUGUGGUUUCGACCCCAAUGCCUCGGGUAUCUUGGAAUCUGAUUUGGGAUAAUCCAAGAACAAAUUGAUUUGGAAUACAUGCCUAUUUCAAUUAUUAAAACACAAAAAUACUUCUAGCUGAUUGUGUUUUUCUCAGUUAUGCAUAUAGAAGAAGAAGUAGUAGUUUUCAUUUGUAUAUAUAGUUCCGCAACGUUAAUCUUCCAAUUUUAUAUGAGGAAGAUAAUGGUUAUGUAGAACACAACACCUAUUUUAAAUGAACACAAAACAUGGGUUUUUGACAGGAAGAUGAUGGUAAUGUAGGGGCUCUGCCCCUACACCCCGCUAGGGGCGCUGCUCCCAAACCCUAUGUUCCCGAGUCGUGUAUAGAUAUCUAAAUAUUCAUUCCGGACCACAUAUCUUAGAAAUUAACCAAAAAGUACUUGACUAGUCUUGGUUGAAAAUCCUCACUACAUUAAAAUAUUGAUGACAUUAAAAUCACCAAUGUAUAUGUAUAAAUAACUCUAUAUCAAUGUUCUACAUUUGAAUGGUUUGAAAUGCAUUGAUUUAUUUUUUAAGUUGUAAUACAUACAUUUGAUUAGUAUAUCAAUGAUAGCCUAGAAUUUUAUAGAUAACUUGAUUAUUAAAGAUAUAUAAUACAAAAGAGUAUUAUGUGAUUAGGAUAAAUACUGCGAACAUUGAUAAUAGUCCCCAUUUUAAACACUAAUAUGGGCAUCUAGAAUGGGAGUUCAAUGAAGGUUGAAUCCCUAUUCUAAUAAAAGAAUAGUUUUAUUCUCAUUUCGACAUGUGUCAUUCUAUUAUGCUUCUUAAUUAAUGCAUAUGUUAUUCUCUUUUUGCCAUGUGUCACCCUAUUAUGUCAUCUAAUUAAUGCAUGUCAUUUAUCAACCUAUUGAUUAUUCACUAGUUUAUAACCCGUAGGAACCACGGUUAUAAAAUUAAUCAAAUUUUUAUAGUAAAAACUCAAAAUUAUUCAUAAGUUAAUUUAAAUAAAUUAUUAAUUUAAGAGAUAUUUUUUAUUAGUUAUGUGAAAUUAUAAUCAUUGAUUCAAAUAAAUAUAUAAAUUUUUUUUGGUCAAAGGGACAAUUUUUGGAUAACAUUCUCAAACCAACGGAUUUCCACAUUGCUUGAGAAGAAGAUUUGCUUGCUCGAAAAAAAAGCCCAAGAGUUCUAGUAAUACAUAAGCUAAGGACAACCUAGCAUUUUUUGGUCAAAUGGACAAUUUUUCGAUAACAUUAACCCAUUUCCACAAUGCUCUAUGGAGAAGGACAUCUGCUUAAAAAUCAAAUAAAAUCUAGAAAAUGAGUAGUUAUAUAUCUCGAGAACAGAGACUAUAUAUAUUUUAUAUAUUCAUCAAAUAGUGUUUUCUUUUUUAUCCAACGGGAACAAAGUUUUUGUGAAAACUGGGUUAAAUUUAAGCUAGUAAAUCUUGGAUUAGUAAAUUAUAAGAAAAAAACAACAAAGAAACAAACAAAGAAUUAUGUGCUCUAGAAUAAUUUUAAUUGGAAAAUAUUAUAUUAUUUUAAUUUUAAUAUAGCAAUUAUGUAGUGUAUGUAAGAGACAAGUUAUUUACCAGUGGUGCACAACCGUUGAGGGUCCAAAGAAACUGCAACCUAUCAUGUCUUGUGAAAUAUCUGUAUGGAAAGAACGAAUAUCAAAGGGUUGUGGAGCAGAGAAAUGCCACCUGGACGAAGUCAAAAUUAGAAUAUGUGUAGCCAAUCAAAAUGGGAGUAAAGAUCGAAGAAGAUAUACAAGAGUUAGCCAUGUAAUCAUAAUCUUCACUAUAAAGCAGAUGCCCAAACACACUCAUUUUCAUAACUCAAACAAAGACUCCUAAUUUCAAACACACUCUCAUCAAUGGCUGCCUCCACCAUGGCUCUAUCUUCUCCUUUCUCCGGACAGGCAGUGAAAGUAGCUCCAUCUGGUUCUGAGCUUUCUGGGAAUGGACGUGUUUCUAUGAGGAAGGCUACAGUCAAGCAGGUUGCAUCUGGAAGCCCAUGGUAUGGCCCAGACCGUGUCAAGUACUUGGGUCCAUUCUCCGGUGAGUCCCCAACCUACCUUACAGGCGAAUUCCCCGGUGACUAUGGCUGGGACACCGCCGGACUUUCUGCCGACCCCGAAACCUUUGCCAAGAACCGCGAACUUGAAGUUAUCCACUGUAGGUGGGCCAUGCUUGGAGCUCUAGGAUGCGUCUUCCCCGAGCUUUUAGCCAGAAAUGGUGUCAAGUUCGGUGAGGCUGUGUGGUUCAAGGCUGGAUCCCAAAUCUUCAGUGAGGGUGGACUUGACUACUUGGGAAACCCUAGUUUGGUUCAUGCGCAGAGUAUCUUGGCCAUUUGGGCUACCCAAGUGAUCUUGAUGGGUGCUGUUGAGGGUUACAGAAUUGGUGGAGGACCCCUCGGUGAGGUUGUUGACCCACUUUACCCUGGUGGAAGCUUCGACCCCUUGGGGCUUGCUGAUGACCCCGAGGCUUUUGCGGAGUUGAAGGUGAAGGAAAUCAAGAAUGGUCGGCUUGCCAUGUUUUCCAUGUUUGGGUUCUUUGUUCAAGCCAUUGUAACCGGAAAGGGACCAUUGGAGAACUUGGCUGACCACCUUGCUGACCCUGUGGCUAACAAUGCUUGGUCCUAUGCUACAAACUUUGUCCCCGGAAAGUGAGCUUAUUAGUUUUCUUUAAAAGUGUUUUGUAGAUGAAGUGUAUGACAAUUUCUUUGUAAAUUAAUAUGAUAUUUUAUAUGGUUG